This 140820-nucleotide long non-coding RNA is filed under the name Coffea arabica (coffee). Its description in RNAcentral is "long non-coding RNA (CARA_LNC003018)". Lineage: Eukaryota; Viridiplantae; Streptophyta; Magnoliopsida; Gentianales; Rubiaceae. The record is from RNAcentral.
UUUUUUUUUUUUUUUUUUUCUAUAAAUGGUGGUGCGCACGGUAAAACCAUACAUAAGAAAGGUAAGAAAAGAGAGGAAGAAUUAACAUCACAAGUAGAGACCAACCAUUGUCUGACUCAUGAUGAAUAGACCAUUGUCUUUAUUAUCAUUCACAAUGCAUAGAUACUAGUUGAAGAUGCCUUUCAUGUGUCUCAUAUCAAUUACAUUAUACUUAUCCCUUACAUUAUUGUUACAUCUCCUUCAUGCACAUUAAUCCAUUGUGUCUAGACAUUCUUGAAAUAAGACUACCUUCUAUAUCCUUCUACGUAUCUCAAUAUCAAAUCAAGAGUAGUCAAUAGACUUUGUGUUGCUAUUGCGUAUAUUAAAUUUCAGACGGAAAACUUUUAUGUAGAUGCAUUGGUCGCUAACAGGCCAACUUAUUCAUGAAGCCACUUUGAUUAAAUUAGAUUAGUAUUUUUGAUAAUCUUCUUGAAGGAAAAAAAAAAAAAAAAAAAAACUAACUGGUCAUCUUCUUGAAAGAAAAAAAAAAAAAAACUCAAAGCUUUUGAUCCAAAAGAGUGGGUCUGGCCUUUUGAUAAGAUGGAGAUGCGAGACGCAACGGAUAUCCAAUCCGCCAAAGAGUGAUCUAGCCUGCAGAAACCCAGAAUAGGUAUGGACCUAUUUUUGCAGUCCAUCUAGUCCCAUGAACCAAACUAGCCCGUAAAGGAAUCGAGUCCUACAGGACUUCACAUCAAGGACCGUUUUAUUUGCGUGCCAAUAGCCAUAUAAUUGUUUUACUUCAUAAUCUUUAAAAAACUUAACCUCUCAGCCCUCCCUAACCUUUUUCCUGGUACCAAGACUAAAACCUAUGUGCAUAGUGCCAACACACAGCUCCUACAAGUCUCACAACUGACCCAUCUAGAAAAAACUAUGCGAAAAUUGCACAUGAAAACUAUCAAAGAGCAAACAGAAAACCAAAAAUAUUGAAAUUUAAACCAUCAGCAUUUGCGGACCAAAACCAGAUACAAAUGCAGUUAUUGAACAGGACAAUAAUGAAAAAUCUGAUACAAAAAACUGGUACAUACUAAUAGACCAUAAAUUGAACAGCCAUAACUACAUCAGAAGGAAAAGAAUAACGAUAAACAACCCAAACAAAAACAAAAUCAAAAGACACCUCGCCAGCAUCCACCACGAUCACAUCUACAAUAUAAUUGUUGGCCAAAUUGGAUCCUGCAAGAAAAUUUUCACUUUAAAAUCCCAGAUGAAGCUAAACAUGUUUCUGGUUACAUACACUCAACGCAACAUGUUUUGUGUGCCUUCAAAAAAAAGCAUAGAGAUAUGGAACAAAAACAGAUUUCCUUGUGAGCCAGAAUAAUUUGAUAACAAGAGCGAAAAGUGAAGAAUAUAGAUUUGAUUUACGAAUUCCAGCAUUUAAAAAAAAUCUUUUAUUGUAGCAAAACUUUCCAUAGGUGUUUUGGGGGUGUAUUUUGGAGUAUUUUUAGAAUUUAAAAUUUUAGUGGGCUAUUUUUCAAAAUUCAAAAAAAAAAAAUUCACCAACCACCACCCUUCCCUCCUCCCUCCACCACCACCAUCACCCUCACCCUUUUUCUCCCUUCUCUUUCCUCUCUCUUCCUCCCCCUCCCUUUUCCUUUUCCUCUCCCCCCUACUCCCCCAUCAACCACCCCUCUCUCUCUCUCUGGUUGCACCAGUGCGAACUAGAAAGUGACCCCCUUCCCUCCCUCCCCUCUUCGGUCUCUGGUGGUGACCAGCGUGACCAGAUUUGGUCUCACAGGUCGCGACCAAAGAGGGGAAGCUAGGGGAUAAGGUGCUACUCUGGUUCACGUCGGUGCAGCCAAAGAAAAGGAGGGAGGGAGGGGUGAAAGGUUGAAGGUAGGGUAACAAACAAAUCGAACCGUUCGAAUCAAAACUCGACUCGAGUUCGAUCAAUAUUGAGCUCGAAUUGGUCACAUUAAACUCGAGCUCGAACUCAAUAUCAAAAUAUUAAUCUCGUUAACUCGCGAGCCAACUCGUGAACUCGAGUAUAUAUAUAUAUAUAUAUAUUUUUAUUUAUUUAUUAUUUUAAUAAUAAAAUUACAUAUAUAUUCUUAAUUUUUAAUUAUUUAUUGAGAAAACUUAUUUUAUUCAUUUUUAAAAAAAUAAAAUAAUUAUUUUUUAUUUUUUCGAUCUCGAGCUUUAGAUUGACAGUUCGUUGAAUUCGAGUUCAAAUUUGAUAAAAUUAAAUCAAGGCUCAACUUGAUUAAACAAAAACUCGACUUGACUUAAUUCGUUUAUAACCCUAGUUGAGGAGGUGGGUUGGGAAGGGGGAGCGAACUAGAAAAUGACCCCCUUUCUUUCCUUUCUUCUCUAGUGGUGACCAGCGUGACUAGAUCUGGUCUCACCAAUUGCAACCAAAGAUGGGAAGUGGGGGAUGAGGGGUUACUCUGGUUCGUGUUGGUGCGACCUGAGAAAGGGAAAGAGGGGUGGAGGGUCGAGGAGGUAGGUAGGGGAGGGGAAAAGAAAGAGAAAAAGGGAGGAGAAAGGAGAGAGAGGAGAGGGGAGGGGGAGGGGCAGCGAUGGCUGUGGAGUAAGGGAGGAAUAGUGGACGGUGGUGGUGUGUGGUGGUAAUGGGUAGAAGAAGAUAGAGGUGGAAGGUUUAUUUAUUUAUUUUAUUAAUCGUAUAUGAGAUUUGUAUGGAUUAGGUGUUUUUGGAAGUGUGUUAUUAUAGUUUAUUGAAAAACUUGUUUGUGAAAAAAUGGCAAAUCCAUAGAAACCCUUUUUCUGACAAAACAGAAAAAAAAGGCAUAAGUAACUAAAUUACAUAUCCAAAGACCAUAAUUAUCUGAAUUCCCUUUCUUUCUUUUCAUUAGUAAAACAUUUCAUCUUUAGUUGUUAGUUUGUAUUUCUCCUCCUCUUUUGUUGGUGAGAUAUGAAGUCCAAAACUUCAAAAAAAAAUUAACAAAAACUUCUAUCAACAGCAUAAUCAUCAUUGAAUCAGGAACUCUUUAAAUGAUGUUUAAGGGAAUAUAUCAGAUUGCAACUUUUGGACAUACAAGAAUGCCAACUGAUAACUCUCUCAGAAACCAAACAAAAUAGUUAAUAAACAAGAUGAAUUAAAUUUACCAACAACUGGAGCCCUUGGUUGGGUUGUGCUUUGUUGACGAGACCCGCUAGAGCCGCCUCUGGGUUGAGCUGGCAAUGCAAGUACCACCAAAGCUCCAUCACUCGAUAAACUUAUGUUCACGUUACCUUCCAUUUUAAACUUUUACAAAACAGAAUUUAAGGAACUGAAUUUUACUUUUCCAGGAAGGGAUUGGCAAAUAAGCAAAGGAAAAUGACAAAGAACUUGAGGAAGGUAGGAGAAGUUUUAGAGGUAUUUUUUGUGUUUAGGGAGGCCAGGGGAUUGGCGUCAGAGAGGUGUAGCGUGAGGUCACACCGAAGUAUCUUAAAAGCAUAAAUUUAUCAGACUGCACUCCAAAAUACUCGGCAAAUUAAAUGUGCCUACUAAAUUAUUGUCAGAUAGCACAUUUAAGAUCGGAUUCAAAUAACUAUCCUAUCUGAGAAAUGGUAACUAAAAACUCUAUAUUUCGUUGCACACACACAUAAAAAAAAUUGGCAUCUACUAAUUUGACCAUAGUCUCCGGACAUAUGGUGCAUGAUAUCAAGGUUAUGAUAAUAAAAAGAGUCAUUCGUUUCAAAUAUUGAAGGUAAUGAAAAAUUGGUCCCUGAUGAAUUAUAGAUUUGAUAACUUGUAUGAUACAACAUGGACUUAUUACACGAGUUCUCCAAAUCCUAUCAAUAGAGGUUUGUAGCUUCAUUUAAAUGCAACAAAAUUGGUUUUGAAUAGAUAGCAACAAAUUUAGUAACAAAUAAUUAUAAAAAAUGAUGAAAACUAAGCAACCAUGUUGGGAAACAAAUAAAUGUUGGAGAAUGAAUUGGUAGACACCUACUAAGCAAGACAAGCUGUCAAAGAUUGCGCUAAUCCAAGAAUAUAAAACAAGUGCAUAAACAUUUAGCAUAGUCUUGUCUAUCUUACGAUGGAUGGAGACAUUCACCUCAAUUGUUCCAUCCACAUAAACUUCUCUUCAUUCUAUUCCCUCCAAGUUAUGGUAUGAAUUCAUUUAGUAUUGGAACUAAUCUUUUACUUUUCCUAUGAAACGGGCCCUCUUGUCCAAUAAAGAAAGCAUGUCUUAGAAACCAUCCUCAAAUUUUUAAAAGCAAAAAUGCUUGGAAAAUAACUCUAUUAAAGACUUGCUAAACAAUGGGAAAAAACAACUGUGGUAUCAUAAUACGGUAAUUGAAGAACAAAAGUUAAAGAAAACGUACGUGCAACUGAAGUGAUUGAUCGCCACCAUUUACUUUCCUAUCUAUUCAGCCUUCGAAUUAAAGUUUCCGGUAAUAUUUCAUCAAGAUGGGCGGAAUUAGGGUUGCUGAUUGUGGUGGAUGGUCCAUAUGGAGGCCCUUAUGUCGGCCAAAAUGCCAUUAUUUCGGACCAAUCAACAUAAAAUUUGAGCGGGGGUUAAACCGGGAGUCCAUCAAGCGGUCAACAAAAAUAAGAAGAAGAAUAGAAGAUCAUUAGGUUGGUGAGUAGGCAGUUGAGAGAGAGAGAGAUUGGACAUAGUGUCGACUACAGUGGUACUUUUCCGGAUGGCAUAUUACUUACUCCAACUUUUGCGCCAACUUGGUCAGAAGCUGCCUCAAGGACCCCCAUAAGUCGGAAGCUCUGACCCAUGAGAAGGUCCAUUUAUCCUUUUCCAAAUGGGUCGACGGCAAACCUUAAAAGCCCAAUAUUUUUCUCCUUUCCCCCAUCUCUAUCGCUCUUUCUUUUUCCUUUUUUUUUUCUCUCAGCCAUUUUAUUGGAUCUAUGGUUUCCUUAUUUUGUUUGAUGUUGCUUAUUUUUUCAUUGAAUAAAGGGAUAAUUUCAUAAGUCUCCCUUGAGGUUUCUGACAGUCUCACUCUCCUCUCUUGUGGUUUCAAAAAUAUCAGAAACCUCCCCUGAGAUUUAGGAUUUUAUAACAAAAUUAGACCAUGAUAUCAAAAGUGAACAUAAAAAAGUGUUUUCAAGAAAGAGAGGAAAUUUUGUUUCCAUAAAUGCCCCUGAGAUAAGUGUAUAAGUUAUAUUAGUGAAAUAAUAAAAAUUUUAAAAAACCAAAAAUAAAUUAGAAAAAAAGGAUAAUUUCAUAUACAAUAUGUUAUUCAUCAAUAAUAUUAUAUCAAAAGCUUUUACUAGAUGGUUAUUUGUUUCAAUUGCAUAUUAAAUUAACCAUUAGUGCUUAUGAGAGUGCAUUAAAUAUUUAGUAGAGAGGUAGUUUACUUCAAUAAGUAGCAUGUAUAUAAAUACUUAGUGAAUGUACAAUCUGAUUGAAAUAAUGUACACCGUGUUAUUGACCAAGUACGAUGCAUAGAAAUUGUUGAACAUGCAUAUUGCAAUUAGUCAUCGCAGCAAUAUGCAUAAUGCAAUGGUAUGUAUACAUUUGGAAUGGUUAUUGGUGUUUUGACCCACUUGUGCAUCUCCUUACAAGUUGCAGUGGGUAUGUAAUUUUAUCUAUAUGACUAAUACUAAUUUGCCUAUAAACACCUUACACGUAGUGAUAUAUGAGGUAUAAUCAAUUUACAAAUAUAUACAUUAUGUUAUAUGUUAGUUACUUAACUGUGUAUAUCUAUAAAAGGUAGUGUAAUGAUACACAUAAAUUUGAAAUAGUUAGGUGUUAAAAAAACAUACAUCAUGUUAGGUGUUAGUUAUUUGACUAUGUAUACAUGUAAAAGGGAGAUUAGAUAUAGCGUAGAAAAAAGCAAUUACGUGAGUUGGAAUGUAUUUGUCCUGAUAAUCACGAAAUAUUAGCUGACUUGUGAGGUUAUUUAAGUCUUUUUGGCCACGAUGAUGUAAGAAAUGGGACCUAAAUUCUGACAUGAGAGGUUUGUGAUAUUUUUGAAACCACAAGAGAGGAGAGUGAGACUGUCAGAAACCUCAGGAGAGGUAUCUGAAAUUAUCCCUUGAAUAAAUAGGUUUUUUUAUCUGUUUCUUUUUUUCAUUUAUUUUUCUUUUUUGAUCAAGUUUAAUAAGCUAGACAUUUAAAUCUGGGACCUUUUUUUUCCUGUCUCUGCAAAAGAGGGUUUCUUCAUGGAUUACCAUCAUGUUAUUGUCAUGAUAUAAACCUAGUCAUCCCAAUCCUGAGAGUUCAAGCUCACCAUGUAGCAAAUGCAGUGCAUAGUUGGAAAUCGCUCCAAUAGGAGUAAGACUGAAAUUGUGUCCAACAUAAUGAUUAAAUUUGUAAUUCAAAUUCUGAUUCUAGUUUUUUUUACUGCAAAUUUGUGCUACUAAUUGUGGAGCAACCAUUGCAAAAGUGCACACUUUACACGAGAUCAACUUACUCUUAACAUAUAUGCACUACUUAAACUUGUGAAACAUUAGUCAAUAGUACCAACUGCUGAGCAUUGACCUGUUAAGCAAAUGAAAUGCAAAUCAUGAGACCUUUUCUCUUCUUAUGUUUAGGCGUUUAGCUGUUUCUGCCUCUAAGCAUUAUGUGAAAGAUUAUAUGAUGAACUUUGUGGUCCUUGUGCCAAAAUUAUGCAUCUUUAUACCUGCAAUUGAAAGGCACAGCAACUUUGUGGCUUCUGGGCUAUCCUAGGAUGCAUAAUCUUGUCUCCUUGUGUGUCAAUGUCGCAUUGCUGGUCACCAACAUUUUUUAAAAACAUUUUUGAAUUCUUGUCCUUGAGUUUUUUUUCAAGAAAUUUACUUAUCAAUGUGUCAUUGGUUUGUGAUAGCAAUUUGUGUCAUCCAUAACACUCUUGCACAAGUAGUUUAUAUUUGAGGAAUGAUGCCAUCUGGUAAGAAGUAUGUGGUAUGCCAGCAGCAUGUAUUUCUAUGAUGAUUGCACAUUCCAUUUUGUCCAGCUGUAAUGGAUUUAUUGAGUUUGUUUGGAUAGAGAGAAUUUGGUUUGCUUAAUUUAUUCUCACAAAUCCCAAUCACCUUUUUAUUUUCCCAAUCACCUUUUUAUCUCACAUACAUCACAUCACAAAAAGUGCUACAGUAAAUAUCUCAAAUAAAUCAUCCAAAUAAACUCUUAUCCAAACAAACUCAUUGUAUUCUAGUAAUUAGUUUUGUCAUGUUGCAUCUAAUUGUUAGCUUUUCAGUCUUAUAUUUCUCUUUCCAAUGCAUAAGUUGUCUAAUCUCUAAUUCAAAUAUACAUUUGUCUGUUCAUUAGCCAUCCGCUCGGAUACUCCAGAACAAUGGGCUUGAUGGUGUUGCAGCAAAGCAAGUCGCUUUGGUGUAGACAUUUAUUCUAAACACAUGUUGUUUGAGUUGUACCUUGGAUCUCCAUUUCUGGGUCUGUGGUGCCCUUUGGACUUAGAAUUUUUGUUUAACGGGGCUUGCAUGAAUAUUAUCCCUUUAUAAUUUGGCUAUCCCCAACUUGGAUCUUAUAAACUGCCUGGGUUUUGAAUGGAAUGAAUGCUUAAUGUCCAUGAAUUUUUCUUCUUGUUCUUUUUUUCCUUCCCCUUUAUGUUUGUGAACGUAAAAGUAGUCCUUGAUGGUAGCUCGUAGGUUUCUUGUCUUCUGCUUUAAGUGAUAGUUGCUCUGAGUAAUGGUUGUUGGAUUUGUAUUUUCUUCCUAUGCUUACCUUUGAUAAUUUUCCUUCACCAAGAUGUGUUGGGCAUCUGACAACAAAGGGAUGCCCAGUUGUUGUCCGGUCUUCUAUAGGAUGGAUAAAAGAUUUAAAUUCCGACACUGAGAUGGAUGAAAGGUUUAAGAUCUCAUCCUAGGGUUGAAUGUUUGGGGGUAGAUUGUUGGAUUUUUCCUAUGAGCUAACUUUUGUGGUGCAAGAGCCAUAUCUACUGUGAAUAUCAACUCACACCCUACUCCUUCCACAAGGAGCGUGGGAUAAACUCAAUGAUUACAUCCCCAACUAACAGAGUGUUUUCUCCACAAUCAAUGUGGAAUAAACUCAAUAAUUUUCACUUGUCAAUAAAUACUGUGUCCCUUCUAUAAUUAAUGUGGAAUAAAUCCAACAAUUUACAGAAUUUCCCCCUCAAACAUAGUUCAUAUCAACUAACACCCUACUUCCAACAAUUUCCUUCUCACGUAUUGUGGAUUAGAUCACCAACCAUUUAUUCAAGAACUGACGCCCUAAUGAUGCCAUAGAUGAGCAGCGUAGAACCAAUUUGGAUAGAGUAUUAUUUGAAAUAUUACUUAGAAUAAUUACUAUAACACUUUUUGUGAUGUGAUGCAUAUGAGAUAAAAAUGUGGUUGAAAAUAUAAAAAGAUAGAUUAGAAAAUGUAUUUAUGAUACAAGUCAAAUAUUUUUUGUAAAUCUAAACUAUUCAAACACGCCCAAUAUUUAUCCACACAGCUUUCUUAGGCUAUAACAAGAAAACUAGCCCUCUGCUCCUAGGGCUAUUAAUUGGUCGGGUAAUUUUUUUUAAGUAUGGGUUGAGAAAUAAUUCUAGUAUUCGGAUUCAGACCCGGAUUCAUUUACUCUAACAAAACUCGGAUCUAUUUAUUCUAACAAAACAGCGAGUCGGAUACGAAAUAUAGGAUUUCAACCCGUAUCCGAACCUGACCCGAACAAUACGUUAAUAAUUAUAAAAUAUAAAUAUUUCUAAAUACAUUCUUUUUACCAAAUUAACAAAAGUGUUUUUUUUUACCAAAUUAACCAAAUUACCUGUAUCUUAGAUGAAGCAUCUAAGAAAUUAGGAAUUGAAAGAGGCAAACUUGUUUGAUCAGAAAUAUAUUCAUCACAAAUUGCAUAUAAGUGCUUUUUGCUAAAUAUUCUAAGAUCAUGUUGGACAUUUUUGCUAACAUAGAUAAAAGAAAAUGAAUUAUACAUGUUGGAUCCUUUUUUUUUUUUGAGUAGAUCUGGAUUCGAUUUGGGACUCGUCGGAUCCGGUUCCGAAAUCUUAAGCACACGAUGCAUUGGAUAUAUGGGUCGGAUUUGGGUCUAAUACAUUAAAAUGGAUUCGGGUCUAAUACAUUAAAAUGGAUUCGGGUCUACAAUUUUCAAUUCUGACUCGAAUUCGACCAGUUGAUAGGCCUAUUGGCCCCUCCUUACUCUGCUAAAAAAAGAGAAAAAAAAACGACGACAAUAAUAACUUGAUAGUAACAUUUUCUUUUUGUUUGUUUGUUUUAAAAGUCCAUUUGGAUUACUAUAUUUUGAAUAUUUUGUAGAGAAAUAUACCGUAAUAAUGUGAUGUGAUGUAUGUGAGAUAAAAAGGUAAUUGAAAAGAUAAAAAAGUGUAUUGAAAAUUGUAAUGAUGAUGUAAGUAAAUAUAUUUGGAAAAAUAAUUAGCUGUCCAAACAAACCCAAUGUGUUAAAAAAACAUAAAAAUGUUUUGGAGAAAAAUUAUAAUCCAAACGAGCUGGCUUUUAGCCUUUUAGGGUGCUGCUCUGGUCUGGCCUUGGGCUGGCGACCCCAACAAGCCUAACGAACCUCAAACUUGUGCACAGUAGGUAUCAUCAUCAUUUGAAAUAAAAAAGGGUAGUAGUAGGAGGAUUAGGUAUUUCUUUCUGUUGGCGUUGUUGCAUAUAAUUGAGAAUUAGAUCAGCAUCCAUAUACCGUGUAUCUUUUUCUAUAGGCCAUUUCUUCAAAUCUGAUUACUAGUAGUUUUUUUCCCCCGUUUUAAUUACUACUGGUAGAAGUUAGACAUCCCUAAAUUCCGGCAAAAAAAUCACAUAUCACAACUGGAAGCUCCUCCACAUCCCCGGAUCCGGAUCUCUCUCAAGCUCAUCAACUCCGACGACGACGACAAGACACUAGUCAACAAGCUCCACCCCAAUCCCCUUACUCCUCCUCCUCCCUCCCCGCACAAAUAAUUCUACUGCUAACUGGUACUAAUUGGUGUACUUUUUCCCCUUUUUGUGAGCAAAUGGCUUCUGCUAAAUCGUCGUCGCGGUCAAGGCAACCACCAGCUAAAACCACCGCCCACCCCAAAGACUCCGCCAAUAAGCUCGAGGAUAAUCUUAACCUCUUCAAAUCCGAUAAUUUCGACGCCGAUUCCUAUGUUCAUUCCAAGUGUAAUUCUUUCAACGAGAAGGUCCCCCCCCCCACCACCCUCUCUCUUCUACUUAUAUUUCUAUUUUCUUCUCCGUUUCUCUAAUUUAAUAUCUUCAGGAAUUUAAUUACUGCUUCUUAUUGUUUGGACCAACUUAAAGAUUCUUCCUCCCUCUACUGCAGCUCUUAUUGUUUAGACCGCGUAAAUAUUAAAUUUUAGCUGUAAGGAAGGAUUGUAGCUCGUUUCAGAAGACACGUUGCCCACAUAUGACUAUAGAACAACGGAAAUGCGUUCCGAGUUCUUUUUGCCCAAUUUUAUACCACUACUUCCUAACAGCGUUCUUGCCAAUAUUGGGAAAUGGAACAACUUACCUGCUGCGCUUUGGAUGGUUCAAAUUAUUGAAAUUGCGUGGCUUGUAGUUUGAUAACCGUCCCAUUUUUCAUACUCAGCUUCGACCUACUCUUUCUGUUUGCUCUAAUCAUGUCUCUUUUUAUUUGGUCGUGUUUCCACCUGUACCACAUAUGUUGCUAUAACCAUUGGACCCUAAGUUGACCCUCCCUCCUACAUAACUUUCUGUUGAUGAAUAUCAUUUAUAGAAAAGACAAGGCCAAUCUACAAAGUUGUUCAAUCAUUGGCUUAGAAUAUCUUGACUUUGAGAUGGGCUCGACCGUCUAAGUAUUACCAAUAUGCUUCAUUUCCUCCGGCGUAUACCGCAAUUGAGGAAUUUACCAUUCAUUCAUUUUGUCUUUUCAGUACAAUUGCGAUGCUCAUGGACAUUCUGUAUAUUUUAAGUGCUCAAUAAAUUAUCCUGUUUGAAUUGCUUCAUAUGUCAGAACAGCAUACCUCAAGUAGCGAUUGGCCUAGUGACCUAGGUGUAGGACUAACGACACUGUCAUUGCUCUUCAAAAUUUUUGUCCUCCCUCGUAUUUGGUAAUUUGGUUGUUUAUGUAUAUACUACUUAAGGAAAGUGGGAAAAAGAAAUUUGAAACUUAAACUUUCAUCACAGAGUGUUCAAAGAAGGCCUUUGGCUGCAAAAUGAUGCUUCACAUUCAGGUUCCAGUAUCAUCUUAAAGUUCAAUUUCACUUAGUGCACGUAGAAAAUUCUGUCCUAGUUACAAGAAUUGCCAUUAGCUGUUUGUUGAAUACAUACAUACAUACACAUGUGUCUGUGUGUGUGUGUAAUUUACCACGAUAAAUGCUGCCCACGUGCACAUGCUAAAUUACAAAUAUUAGUUGUAUAAAUAAUCAAACUUCUAUCGGGGGGUAGCUAAUCAGAAUUGUGUGGAUUGUGGUCUGGCAGAUUGCAUGUGAACCAUCAUGCUUGUCAGGUUAUUUGUGUACUGAUUCUUUUGACAUUAGUGAGUAAUUCUGUCAUAAUACAAUGGCCUCACAAGUUUUGGGGGGACAGAUUGUGCCUGGAUAGUACAGUACGCAAGUUACUUCAGCUUAAGUAGCAAUGUAAUUCCUAGAUGUCAUGAAUGUUUUUAAUUGCAACAUUAUAAUUUUGCUGCAGUUAAGAUUUCUCUGUUUGGUAUGUGUGUGAUGCUUUGCUCCGCAUGAACGUAUCAGAAAUUUCUGUGUUCUUAAAUGCUGGUGUGUUUCUGUUUGCAGGAAAUAAGGCAACUAUGCUCGUAUCUUCUAGAUCUGAAGAAAGCUUCAGCUGAAGAGAUGCGCAGAAGUGUCUACGCCAAUUAUUCAGCUUUCAUUCGGUGAGCCCUUGGUUAUGUUUGCCUGGAUGAUAAUAAAGAUUUCUUUCGCAGCACUUACCUUUGGCUGUGAAUGACAAUAAAAGGAUCUCAAAUACCCAUAUUGGCAUAUGGACCUGCAACAGAUGGUACAGAAUUUAGGUCCUACAGUGAAAGAGAAAUUGUUCUACGAAAGCUAAUACUAUUGAAUUCAGUGGCAACCGGACCAAGAAAAACAAACUCUGUAAACUAGGAAAGACACUGCUCUGAUCUGGAAGUUUUAUUUGCGACAAACUUCACCGAGAACAUUUGCGACAAACUUCACCAAGUUCUCCGUGCUCAUUUAACAGCCUUAUAGCUGCAACGAAGCAGAGGCACCUGCCAUUUUGAUCGACAAUGUUUUUAAAAGACUGAAGCUUCUUUUUCUAUCAAAAACAGUCAUUUCCAUGUUUCUUUUCUUGGAUUGUCAUAUCUAGUUGAAGAUUUGAAAUUAUUCAGCUGAAAAACUGACACUUGCAUUAAUGUUAGAGAGACUGAUUUGUGUUGUCUUCCCCCAAUACAUGUUGCAUUUAUUUGAAGGUUGAAUUCUUGUUUUAUUGAAAUGAAAUCUUGGGUAGCACUUUCUGGUUUCAUUAAUUUGAUUAUUUUGUUCGCCAAUUUCAAUUUCCAGUACAUCUAAAGAAAUAUCAGAUUUGGAAGGUGAGCUUUCAUCAAUGAGGAACCUGCUAUCUACUCAGGCUACUUUAAUUCACAGUUUAGCUGAAGGAGUUCAGAUUGGUAGCUUGUCUGACUCUGCAGCUGAAGGUUUGGCUGCUAAUGGCUCAGUUAAUGAGGAAGUCACAGAGCCUUCAGAACUGGAGAAAAGGUUAAUCGAGUUUCCUGAUCUUCUUGAUGUGUUGUUAGCCGAAAGGAGAAUAGAUGAAGCAUUGGCAAGGCUUGAUGAAGGAGAACGCAUAGCAGCUGAAGCAAAAGAAUUGAGAACUCUGAGUCCUUCUGUGCUCUUGUCUCUUCAAACUGCUAUUGCUGAACGUAGAAAAAAACUAGCUGAUCAGCUUGCUGAAGCUGCUUGCCAACCUUCUACCCGUGGAGCUGAGCUUCGUGCUGCUGUUUUAGCUCUUAAAAAGCUUGGGGAUGGUCCCCGUGCGCAUAGUUUACUACUCAGUGCACAUUACCAGAGAUACCAGUACAACAUGCAAAGCCUCCGUCCAUCAAGCACGUCUUAUGGAGGAGCGUAUACAGCAGCCCUCUCGCAGCUGGUGUUUUCAGCCAUUGGUCAAGCAGCCAGUGAUUCUUUGGUUAUUUUUGGUAAGGAGCCAGCUUAUGCAUCUGAACUUGUGAUGUGGGCUACCAAGCAAAUUGAGACUUUUGCACUUCUUGUGAAAAGACAUGCAUUAGCCUCAUCUGCUGCUGCUGGGGGUUUGAGGGCUGCUGCAGAAUGUGUUCAGAUAGCUUUGGGCCACUGUUCAUUGUUGGAAGGCCGGGGGCUUGCCCUUUGUCCUGUGCUGUUGAAGCUUUUUAGACCUAGUGUUGAGCAAUCUCUGGAUGCUAAUCUAAAACGGAUUGAAGAAAGUUCUGCUGCUUUGGCUGCAGCUGAUGAUUGGGAACUUGUUUAUCUUCCAGCAGUGACACGUCAAUCUGUCAGGCCAUCCGGUUCAGCUAUGGCAACUAUGGCAUCAUAUCAGUAUAAGUUAUCAACUAGCGCUCACCGGUUCAAUUUAAUGGUCCAGGUACAUAUUCUUUUGCUUUGUUUCUUUCAAAAAACAUUUGGGCAUUUUUUGUUGUUAAAUUUAGUUUCCUUCAUGUUUCCAUUAGGCCUGUUGCUUUUGGACUUGCUUUCUAUAGUCUUUAUGUUAUUUCUUUAAUAGAUCUUUUUUAUGGAAAAGAGUUUACUAACCAUGUUUAGAUCAUGAGAAAGAGUGGGAUUUGCACUCUCUAACUUGCACGCAGACUGCAAUCUGAUUAGUGCUACUACACCUUCUGGCAUAGAUUGAAAUAUCUUGAUGUUGUCAGUUCUUUGAAUGUUCUUGUUGAGGAGUAUUGAUAAGCAGGACCGAGGUAAAGAAAUACAACUGUCUUUAUGAGCAAUAGUUCAUUUUCCUUAUAUUUGUGUCUUCAAUGUUUUAGUAUGAACAAUGUGGCCCAAGAUCAAGGAAAUCAUAAGAGGUUCACCUAUCCUUUUUAAUCAUCUGACAUUCUGCAAAGUUGCUGAUUUCCCUACAUCUUCAUGGAAUAUAUAUAUAUUUUUAUCAGUGAGGUUGAAGGCUAGUCUAUUGGAUUCUGGCUGCUUAAUGAUCCUUUUUCAGUGGACAAAUUGAGUGUUUCUCAGUUUUCUUUCAUCUGCUGAUUCAUGGCAUUCCGUUGCCUUAUACAUCUUGGAUGCUGUUUUCAUGGUUUUUAUUUUUUUAAGUGAGGCUGCUGCUUUAGCUUCCUUGUGACUUUACAGAUUUUAUUUUGGAAUUUAGACUGAAGCCUGCAGGCAAGCAUGAUUUUCAGGGAAAAAAACUGCGCUUGGCCAUGUAUUCUGUUUGUUAUUUACAUGUAGUUUAUAACCAUUUUAACAACUGUUCACCUGUUUCUAUUGUUUGUACAGGACUUUUUUGAGGAUGUGGGACCCCUGCUAAGUAUGCAGCUUGGUGGUAAAGCAUUGGAAGGUCUAUUUCAGGUGUUUAAUUCUUACGUAAACAUGCUCAUAAAAGCAUUGCCUGGUUCCAUGGAAGAAGAAGCCAAUUUUGAAGGCUCAGUGGAUAAUAUUGUUCGAAUGGCUGAGACUGAAGCCCAGCAAAUGGCUUUGCUUGCAAAUGCAUCCUUACUAGCUGAUGAAUUGUUGCCUCGGGCAGCAAUGAAGCUUUCCCCACUGAACCAGGGCAAUUACAAAGAUGACCCUCGUAGAAGAAGUUCAGACAGGCAGAAUCGUCACCCUGAACAGAGGGAAUGGAAGAGGCGUCUUGUGAGCUGUGUUGAUCGAUUGAAAGAUAGUUUUUGUCGCCAGCAUGCUCUAGAUCUUAUUUUUACUGAGGAUGGUGAUAGCCAUCUUACUGCAGAUAUGUAUAUUAACAUGGACGGAGAUGUAGAUGAAAUAGAAUGGUUCCCUUCUGCAGUAUUUCAGGUUCUUUCUUUUUCUUUCUUUUUUUUUUUACCUGUUUUUCUUUUGAAUAUUCAUUUCCCUUCUUUCUGCAAUAUUAAAUGCGUCCUUGACACAACUUUGUUGCUCAUGUACAUUUUUCCUUAAGCAUUUGCUCUAGAUUUUCUCAUCUUUUUAGUAGAUAAAUUAGAUGUUCUAGUUUAUGGUCUUCCUCAGUUUCAACUCUAAAUUGGAUUCCAAGUCCCUUUACAAAGAUGCACCUCGAGGCAUUGUAACGCCUAAGACAUCAUAUCCUAACAGGGACUUCAAUGAUUGAGGAGGUUCUAGUAGCCGAAAGAGGGUUUUCAUAUGCAUGUUUGAUUAUCUGUUAAGUUCUGGCAUCAAGUUUUAUGUCGUGUGCAACUUUGGUUUUGCCAUGUUCUUUAUCAUUGAGAAGGGGUUUAAUUAUGUCAAUUAUUAUAGAAUAGAAUUGAAGUAGCUCUCAAGUUUUGUUAUGGGAAAGGUGAUACUAAUAGAAUUUGAGUUCUGAUUCUGUGUAAUCAUUCUCUGUGAUCCAGGAACUUUAUGCAAAAUUAAACAGAAUGGCCUUCUUAGCGGCUGAUAUGUUUGUAGGCCGGGAAAGAUUUGCAACAUUGUUAUUGAUGAGGCUCACGGAAACUGUAAUCUUGUGGCUUUCAGAAGACCAGACCUUUUGGGAUGAUAUUCAAGAAGGACCUAGGCCUUUAGGUCCUCUUGGUCUGCAACAGGUUUGCAAUCAUUAUUUUGGAUAUGCGUCUGUGCUCUUUUGCCUGAACCCAUUAGUCAUUUCACUGUUCAUUUGUUUGCAGUUCUAUCUGGAUAUGAAAUUUGUCAUGUGUUUUGCUUCUCAAGGGCGGUACCUGUCUAGGAAUUUGCUUCGAGUUCUUAAUGAGAUCAUAAAUAAGGCAAUGAUAGCAUUUUCUUCAACGGGAGUGGAUCCAAAUAGGUAUGAUAUUGCAGACUUAAACUUUUUUGUUCAUGUAAAGUGUCAACAUAAUUGGUUUCUCUUUUCAUUCUGGUGCAUUAUGUGUGGGGAGCACAUAUUGGUAUCAGAAAAUGGUUUUAAAAUCAGUUUGUGAAGAUAUCUUAACUUAGUGAGUGUGACCACGAAAAAAUCAUUCAAAUCAAAUAACUUAAAAGUUCAGAGCACUUUGAAAUAUCUUUCUUGAGGUUGGGGUAAAAGCACCAAGGUGUUUUUGUUCCAAUGUCAAUAGACUAGAACACAUUUAUGGUGAAGUUGUAAAUUUUUAAUGUUCAUGAGAAAAAACAGACAUAUUGACAUAUGGUCUAGUAUAGGGUACUAAGUCUUUCUGGAUGUGGUCUUUUCUAUUUUUGAUGUAUAAAAGUUUGAUGUGGUAGCACACUUUCUAAUAUUUGAGAGUAGCCAAUGUUUAUGCAUUUCUUGGUUACGCUGUAUUUCCUUGCUGUUUAAAUUCUAUACCUAAAACUCUGUCCUUGAACAAUUUUAGAGUUCAAAAUUGGUAUUUAAGUAGUUAUGGGUAACUGUCAUGUGGGACUCCUUGUCUACUACGAAGAGUGUAUUCGUGUAUGUAAAAUGAGUAUAUGUGCAUCCUUUUAUGAGUUUGUAUGCUUCUUUAGGUGCAAGUAUUUUUCUACAGUCCUUUUUAACUUGGUUAGACUGAAAACUGACUUCAAAAACUGUUUGCUAGCGUUCUUCCGGAGGAUGAGUGGUUUGUUGACAUUUGCCAAGAAGCAAUAGAAAGGCUUAGUGGAAAACCAAAAGUUGCAAAUGGAGAACGGGAUCUCAACAGUCCAACUGCCUCCGUCUCAGCACAAUCAAUUUCAUCUGUCAGAUCUCAUGGGAGCUCUUAAAGAACCAAGAUUUAUCAAUUUGUAAAGGUAACAAUAGCAACUAUGGUUAGCCCUCGAGAGACUAUUGUACUCACAUAAGCAAACACCCCCCUUCCCUCCCACCCCGCUUCCCCAUUUCCAUAUCAUUCUGUAAUUUGGCUCCUGCAUAUUCCAUUCUUUCUGCCAUUAGUUUAUGGUAGUGUCAUUCUAUAGUUUUAUGUUUGCCUAUGGUUAGGAAUUCUUUUUGUUUCCGUGUUGGGGAAAGCAGUCUGUAUAUGCGGAUUUGACAAUUCGAUUCAAAAAUUCAUUAUAUUCUUUGACCAUUCGAGGAGUUUGUAUAUGUUGUUUGACGAUUCGAUCCAACGUUCAUUCUAGUCUUUAUGCAUUCUGUUGGCAAUUGUAUUGUAUGCUGAAGCUAUUGGACGUAAUAAAGAUACGUAGGUAAGACUAAAUUAGGUACUUGUGAUUAAUCUGAGAUAUGUAGCAUGCUGUGUCGAAUUUAUGAACUGCCUUAGCAGAGCGCAUCAGGAUGGUCAGUUGUUAUUUUGGAAUCUUUUGUAUACCGGGAUUCGUUUGUUAGUGGGAAUUUGGUGACAGUUCUGAAAGCUAUUGGACCAUUGACAACAUUAGUUCUCAUCUCCGGAUACUGACAACGGCUCUAUGCAUCCUUGCAGCAGGAUGAUGGUUUAUCUGAAUUGGAGUUUGUAUGUAUCAACUAAAACCCAAGCUGCUAAUCGAGAUGGACGAUUCUUUGACUAUUCAACUCAUAAAUCCUAUUGUUUCUCGACACGAGAGGGUAAACAGUCUGCAUUGCACCCUUUUCAGCACAAUAAACUGUAUUUGCAAAGGGUGCAUUGGGAUAUUAACCUUGAGGACAAAAGCCUUGCGAGUCCAUAAUGAAAUGAAUGGUUUCGUUUUGCAAGGUUUAGCAUCCAGUCGUACUUGCACUUCUCUCCAGUUCCUUUCCUCGUAGCAGCAUUUGUGCCAUCGCGGAAUCGAUGGUCGGAGCCUCAUGAUAGAGUUUCUAAUCAUCUUUCCUUAAUCUUUUAGAACUUUACAGCUUAGUAAAGUACUUUACAGAUAAGAACCACUGUGAUUGAUCAAGGGGAGUACUCUGUCAGGUUUAAGGAUUCAAAUCCUGUACGUGACAAUUGGGGAUGGGAGGGUUUUGACCAAAAAAAAAAAAAAAACCUUUACAGCUAACAAUAAUUGCAACAUCUGCUUAUGCAACAGAUUGUUUCCCGAAGCGUACUUACAAAAAAGAGUUUUUAUGAACUACCAAACAUAUGCAAUAUAUCAAUACAACAAUGAAGUUCAGAGCAAUUGUUCAAAGGAUAUUAUUAGGAAGAUAAUACCUUCUCCCAGCACUGAUAAGGACAUUUUUUUCACUGUCUACAUUACGCAUAAGUUCUAGUAACCGGUACUUCACAAGCCAAGUCGCUGACAGAGACUUCAAUCGAGGUUUAGUGUUCCAAGUUCCAACUCGACUAAUUUAACUACUUACCAAACACACCCAAUAUAAGAACUGGUCAUCCGCAUAACGUAACUAGGAUUUCUUUCGAAAUUUAAAAUGGAUACCAUCCCAACAAUCUUCUCCAUCAUUCUGACCCGCAUAGAACUUACCUUGAGUGAUGCGAGAUUACUUGGGGUCCUUCAAAACAUUUUUGUGGUGUUAGGAUGCAUUGUUGCAUAAGCCGUCAUCAAAUCACCAGUAAUCACCACAGGAACACUUGCCAUCCUUGAAAUGGUGGAAACGUUUGUUAUCUCUAACAAUCAAUUCCCUCCCGACAAUCCUUGACAUGAUCUUGAUGGCAUUGUGACAAUCACCACAAACACGAAGGUUCUUGAUGAUCCGCAAAGGUGUCCUGGCAGGUGUACUUAUCAGACCAUAUGCAAUUGCCAGACGUUCACUAUGAUAAAGCAAGGCCUGUUCUUUUGCCUCUUGAUCAAUGUCGUGAAGCACAUAUCUAGUAUCGGGCACAUAAGCUUGUUGUUUCAUAGCUUCUCUCAACUUCUCAUCGUCCUUGUAGAGAGUUGGGCUACGGAACUCCACAAUCCUGUUUCUGCCCUCAAGCAUGUUAACUGCAGACUGCUUCUUAGGCGGAGGCGUUGGAAUCUUAUUCUUAAUGGCCUUUGAAGGCUCAAGAGAAACCAUUAGUUCUUCUGCACGGUCUUCAAGAUCAAUAUCUCCAUGUAUGCGCGCAUAGUUCAUCAAUGCCUCCCAAACAGCUGCUGUUGGUUCAAAUGGAAGUUUUGCAAUGAACUCCUCAGCCUCCGCAAGAUGUCCACAUUUAGCAAGAACUCCAAGAAGCCCCAAAUAAUGCUCGAUUCCGGGUUCAAUGCCGUACUCUGUCUUCAUUGACUCGAAAUGCAAGAAACCUUCAUCGAUUGCAUCAGCACUAGCACAAGCAUCCAUAACAGCAAGAAAAGUCUGCUCGUUGGGAUGUAACCCCAAUUUCCUCAUCUGUUCAAACAUCGCCAAGCCAUCAUCUCCCAAACCGUUGAUGGCAUAUCCAUUGAUCAUUAAAUUCCAGGAAGCCAUAUUCCUAUCAGGCAUGUGAUCAAAAACUCUUCGGGCGUCAACCAUACUCCCGCAGUUAAUGUACAUAUCGAGCACCUUAUUAUUCAACAGAAGAUCACUCCUGCAAGUCGAUCUCAAGAAGUAAUCAUGAACUUUCUUGGCGUCCCCAUAGUUCUUUGACUUCAUACACAAGUCAAAAAGGAGAUUAAAACAAUGAGCAUCAGCAGCGAUUCCCUCCUCCAUCAAUUUGAGAGCUUCAGUAACAUUACCCGCCUCGCAGAGAUUUCUCAAAUCAACAAUACUCAAAGGAGCAAACUCGUCAGUAACAACCUGCAGCCCUUGACCGUGAGAUUGAAGGUUAGCACGGUUCUGAAUUCCCUGCGGAGUAAACCUAACAGACUGACUUUCGUGCUGAGAGGAUUUCCAUGGACUUUGGUCCUGGUAACCCUGGUUAUAACCGUGAUUAUUCUGCGGCUGAACCAAACCAGCACGUCCUCCUUGAUUUUGAUUAGGAAAAUUUUGAGAGUCACGGGGAACCGGGGGGUUCUGCGGAUAAACCCUCUGGUUUUGCUGAAACCCUCCUCCCCCAAAACCUAGACUGCUAUUUGGAGCAGCAGUUGUUGGCGCAGUAUUGCUGACAUUUCCGUGUGAAAAAUGCUGAGGAGGAGGGGGGGGCGGGGACGGCGGAUAAUUGUGUCUAGGAUUGACGUUAUCAUUGGAGAAGUGGUUAAAACUAGCUCCACGACCGCCGCCGCCACCGCCACCCUGGUGGGGAAUGGAAUGUGGUUCUGAAUAACUCUGCCCAGGAUAAGAAGAAGCAGAAGCAGGGUUGGACAUGGGGUGAGGACUUCGAUGAUGAUUAUUAGGAUACCCUCGACGAUUGUGGUCCAUCUGAUUCUGACCACCAGAUGUUUGAUAAUUUGCAGGAGCUGCAGGGGCAAAAAAUUGAGAAGUAGAAGUAGUGAAAUUGUUGCGAGAAACAAAAGUGGCAGGUUUUAGGUUAAGAGUUUCGGCGGAAAGCUGCUUGGAAAUGGAGGAGGAGCGGAUACUAGGACGUACCGAUGCUGCCGCGACGGAGCAAUUACAGAUGAAGAAAAGAUGAGGAAAACGACCUCUUCGCAGACUGGAUUUGAGAUUCAGAGACGCCGCCAUUGCAGAUCACUCCACCCCUAACCUAUCCUAACCCUAUUUGCGUCAAUCUUGGUUAAACCCUAAUACUCCUAAACCCUCUCUCCGAAAAUGGGAGGUUUUUCAUUUGGGGUUGGAAAUGUCGAAGAAAUAUAUUUAUCGUGGCCGGGUUUCUUUCCGGGGGGAGUGGGGAGUUCUUUUUGUUUUGCGAUUAUGUAAAAAAAAAAAAAAAAAAAAAAAAAAAAAAGAGUAGACAAUAUAAUAUUUUUAUGGGAAAAAGAAAAACAAAAGCCAAAUAAAUCUUCACAUCUCACCAUAUACCCUUUUCAAUACCUCUCACAGUCAUAACACUUUGAUAUCUCACAUCACAUCACUUAUAUUCUUACAUUUAAGAGGCAAAAAAGGAGUAAGAAUUAGGGCUCUUACUGCUUAGUGAAAGAGCCCUUUUCUUUUCUCUUUUUUUUUUUUUUUGACCUUUCCUGACACAAAUUAGAGAGAUAAUUCUAAAAGUCCUCCUUCUCGAUCACUGAUCCAACUCUAAUGGUUAUUUUUUUUGUGAAUUUAGAUGUAAAGUUGAAAAAAAAAAGACCAGAAAUAGAAAUAGAAUAUGAGAGAAAAAAGUGUUUCAUUUCAAAUGGGAGCGAUGAAUAAACUCUAAAUAUAACAUGUGAGUAAUUAUUAGUGUAAUUUUCCUUGGUUUUAAGCACAAAAGCUAAAAAAAAAAAACAAAAAAAGGAUUGUAAUUGCUGGUACUUACUAAUCAACCUUUACUAGAAAAAACUUUCAAAAUAGUUUUGACUAAUCCAUAAUAUUAAUAAUGCUCCUAAAAAUCUGUAACUUCAGUACUUCACAUAAAAAGUAUGAAUCAUGAUCAUCCUCAUCAUGAUGUGAGUGGGGAUAACACUUGGUGAAUUUUUCAGAUACUUGGGAAACAAAAAUAAUAAUAAUAACAUGAUGGCCUCUAAGCAUCUGCGACUGUCACAGCAUAUCUGUACUGCUACUUUCUAGUUUUAUCCGAGGCAGAGUUAUACAUGGUAGUAAUUGCUUUCCAACAAAUGGGGAAGUCCAAUUACUCGAAGAGCUUGUACUAUCUUUCUUCUGCCGUCUCCGUGACUAUUACUAUGGCAUCAUGAAUUGGACUUGCAGGCUCUGUUGCAAUGGAGAAGCCUUCAUCAUGAGAGCAAACGCCUUCUUCUUCAUGGUGCUGGUGGUGGUGGUGGAAAAAGCUAAUUGCUGGGCUUGGGGCAAAUUCAUGAUUACUCCCCAGAGAAACUACGUUAACAACUGCUGCUUCGGCUCCUGUGCCUUGCUUCUUGGCCGCCCUGCUCAAGUCCUUCCUUUCUUCAUCAAAUAUUUUUGCCAUUGCAGAAAGUUUCUGGACAACUGAACCAUUAGAGACGAGAACUCCCCUAUUCUCAUAGAAGAAGAUAAGCAAGAAUAUAGCAAGAGCUAGUGAAGAAGACAAUCCAGCUAUCAGGAAAAGCCCUUUAAAACUAUCCAGUGUCAGGCUGUCGGAAGUAGCCACUGCUCCAUAUUGCUCCGAACAAUCUGUUUCUUCCCCAAACCACUCCUUUAGAAUUCUCUUCAUUUUAUCUCCCUCGGUCACGUUUAACACUGCCCUUGAUACAUCAGGUACGAGGGGAGAACCCUUUGGAAAUGCCUGAAAGCAUUCGAGAGCAAUGGAGAUUAACUAAAGCUACAAAUCAUCAACCAUACCAUAUGUGAUCAAGAAAUAGAUGAUUAAUAAUCUCAGAACCUUUUUAGUAUCAGGACUUACAAAUCCAAAGCCAGCAGUCUUGAAUGUCGGACCAACCAUAGUGUACUUUCUGCAGUACUUUGCCAGAAAGAGCCUGAUAUAAGGAAGUUCAUCAACAAUUCCAUCCACUCCUCCAUUUCUGCUACCUUUACGAAGUGCUUCAUCGUACUCUUCAAAUGUGUUGUAGUUUCUAAACUGGGAGGCAUCGAAUUUCUUACUCUUGAGCAGCUCAGUUACAAAGGAACCAGUUUGGUAGCCGAUAUAUUCACCAUUUUUUAUCAGAUCAAAAAGAUCAGUAAUAGUCGGUUGAAGUUGUUGCACUGUCAACAUUGAUGUCAGGCUGGCCGUAUAACUUGAUGUAAGUACUAACACCACAAAUACCCAUAUGAUUACUACAAAUCUUGAUAAAUUGCUCAUGACCUUCUCUUCUGCAACAAAAGAAUGAAGGUUGCAUUUAAAACGAUAACGAGGGAGCAACGAUGCAUUUAUAUGAACCCCAUUGAUUACCAAAUUCAGAUAAACUCUAUGUCCAAUCACUCAGUAAAAGAGUGGGGAAACAAAAGGAUGAAUUGCACCUAUGAUGGGACUUACUAUGAGCAAAAACAAGCGUUGAGAAGGAGAACCAGAAUAUCAUUCCAACUUGCUUCCCUGGUGGACCUCGGAAUUCUUCAUUUAUACGAUGCUCAAGUACCCAAACGACAAAGCCAGUGAAAAUGAAAAAUGCUCCAGUAGUCAGCCAGAGGUCCAUUGUUAGCGGUUUCAUGAAGAUCCAGGCGUUCUUCCUCUCGUCAUCCUUAAUUCGAACAAUGGUGGAAACACCAGACUCUGUGUAAGGCAACGUGAAAUCCACGAACCUUGAUCUAUUUGCUAAUAUGGUCACGUCACCAACCACCGCAUCAUAAUUCUGAUAUCAGCAAAAGUUUAUUAAGUACACAUUUCUCUUCCAAAUAAAAGAGUUAAUAAUGUAGAACUCGUGUAAAGUCACACAAUCCAAAUCAACUUAUAGUACUAGUUUGCUGUCUAAUUAACAAAUUUCAGCCUUACCUCGAGAUAUAUUUGAUAUACAAGAUCAUUGUAAUCUCCCGCACUGUCACCGUCAGGGGUUUCAAAAGGAAUAAAAUCAUAGGAGGCUGCAUAUGGGAGGGACAUCAUGACCUCUUUGAAUACAUCCACACAGAAACCAGUUGCAAUGACAGCAUUUGUUAAGGGAUCCUUUUCCACCUUCACAAAUUCUGGCAAUCCAUUCUUGACCGGAACUCCAACCCUUAACUUCUUUUCAUGACCUGUUGGCAUUUCCCAGCCCUUAGGAACAAUGUUGGACUCACCCGGCCAUAUAAUGAUACCGAUAUUGUCCUUACUAGACUCAUGUACCAAUUGAGCUUCAUUUGGUUUCAGCUUAUCUGAAAUGCCAUAAGUUUCAGUCCAGAACCCAAUCUUCCUCUCCCCUUUUCCAAUUACAUUCACAAUCUCGAAAGCAGAUGGCUGUAGUUGCCCCUCAAUAAUGUGAAAAUCGCCACUCAAUCCAUUGAAUCUGAUAUUUCGGACAGAUUCAAUGAGCUCAGCUCCCAUUCCUGAAGUUCCAAUCAUAUCCAAGUCCGAGAGGUUCUUUCCAUUUAUCACCGCCUUUUUCUUGGAUUGUGGUUGAGCCAUAUUAACGGCUUUCUCUGUCGCCUUUGCUAGUGCGAUCACGGUGUCAUACGCCCAUAGCCCAUAAAUAUUUAACUCGAACCUAUCAAUCUCUGGAUUCUCUUCCCUGAAUCUCUUUCUCCAUCUCUUUGUAAAGAUAUCCAAUUUACUUGAUCUAGGGACAUGAGGCUUCAAUCCCAGUACCCCUUGCAUUGAGUCCACGACCGCAGGUUUAACAGAAUCCAAUAGACUCGUAAGAGCCUCUGUAAUGAUCCAGGCAUAGCCCUGGCUCAUCAUCCCCACUUCAUUUGCUUUCAAAAAUAACCGAGAAGCAAGAGAUGGCAGCAGAUGAACCACAAAGACCCUGGUCUGCAUGGUAAUUAACUUGUAUAGCUCUUCAAGAAUCUGAUCAUCCGAAGCAGCAGGAGAUAUGACACUUCGAUAGGAAACUAUGGUAUUGCUUUCUAGCAUUGCAUCAGUCAAGAAGGGAACUAUUCCACUACCAUAAAGACUGUCCUCAUAGACAAGGACAGCUUUCCUCCAACCAAAAGUUUUAAUAAUCUCUGCUAUGGCUGUAGCCUGAGAGGACGAACAAUGUGCUGCUCGGACAAAAAACGGAGACUCUUUGGGAGAAAGAGAUGGACUUGCGGCUGACGAAAUUACUGGAACUUUGGCUUUGUUCCCGAGAUCGAUAAUAAAAUCUGCUUGUGCCGACGUUUGAGGGCCUAAAAUUGCCUCGACUUGGACAUUUUUGAGGAGGUCUAUGGCUGCAUUCAGAGAUAUCAACGCAUACUUUAAGUAUCAAUAGUAAGCAGUGGUAUAAUUGAGAGAGAGAUUCGGGAAACGAAGAGCCAAAACAACAGAAACACUCGAAAGGGUGCUUUAGUUUUGCAUCCAAAUUAAGGUGGGGAGGGGGAUAUCCAGUACUAUAGUAAUGUACCUGCAGAAGCUGCUUCAACAGAAUCAGAUUUUGAAUCUCUGAGGUGAGCGACAAUCCUAAUGGUAGUGUUAUCCUGAAUGUUGUUGGACCGGUGAUCUUCAAGUGCCAUAAGCAUGGAGGUUUUGGAAAUCUUUCCCACCAGGGUGUCCAAAUCAAGGAUUACCCCAACAUCAACCUUCGUCGCAUUUUGACCAUUCAGGAGGACGACCCAGAAGUUAAUGAUGAUCAAAUGUCGGUAAAGGAGCUUAGUACUACUUUUUACAGGAUUCUGCAUGAGAUUAUCUAGUCAAAAUAAGUAGUUGAGCUCAACUAACAUUCAAAAUAUGUCCAGAACCCCCCCUAUCCCCUACCUCCCCCACAAACAAUUGGCUGGAUCGAGUGUGAGAAAGCAAAGAGCUGAAAGAAGAAAUGAAGACAAGUUUAAAGUUGUUGGCUAAAGUAGGGAUCCUCUGUAUACAUGUGGCUUGAACGAAGUCUCAGCGGUUAAGAUAGACUGUAUACUUGUGGUUGGAACAAAAAUAUUUGAUCAAACAUGGCUGCAGUGCGUAGAAAUCAGUAUGGCUCAAUGAAUCUUGACCUGCUUUGUUGUGGUCUACGACUGAUCAUGAACGUCCAUCCCAUUGCGUGGACUGAGAAUGGUUGACCUUCAUGAGAUGCAGAGCUGCCAAGAACUGUCCUUGUUGUCGCAAUUUUAAUUUCCUCCUUUGGGCCUUUGAUUUGACAGGGAUGGCAACGGGGACGGUUUUGGAGGACCAGGGCAGGAACGGUUAUAGGUGCAACCGAUUCAUAAAGUUAUAUGUAUUUUGCACACGAUAUAAAUUUAUUUGUACAUGAUAUAACUUAUUUUUCAUAAUGUGUAAUUUUAGAACAAAAUUUUGUAAAUUCCAUACAUAUUGUUAAAAAUGAAGUACAAGAUGAUAUCCGAAUCGUAUAAUUUUUUUUGGCCAAAUCUUGACCGUAAACUGUUCAAAAACGAUCAUCAAACCGUCCCUGCCCCAAAUCUCGAUUUUGAUAUAGGGACCUCUUCUCUACAAAAAUAAAAAAAAAAAUUCCACAACCCUAAUAUAACAUAACAUGUUACUUAAUUCAUAUAAAUAUAUUUAUAUAAUAACAAUAGCAUAGCAUUUAUUUCAUAUUAUACAAAUAAAGACACGUAUGGAUAUUAUACAUAUAAGGAGACGUAUGGAUAUUAUUCUAGAUUAAAAUUUAGGUGGCCAUUCCCGUCCCGCGGUCCCCACAGUUGCCAUCCAUCCGUAUUUGACGUUGCAGCUCUUUCCCAAAAAAAAAAAAAAGAAGAAGAAAAUGCUAAUACAGGUCGUAAAUUAUUGAAGUUUGAAUGGAAGACGACACAUUAACUAAACCAAACAGGUCGAAGUACAACCUAGUGUGCCGGUAAUUUGAGUUUGGUCGUUGGAGCAGUGAGUGGAGAGUAACAAUUUCCUCUUUCUCUGCCACCACUCCAUCCUUGGUCCUCUCAAUACAAAACUGGGUUCAUUCUGAUUCUGUUCAAACAAAAACAAAAACAAGAACAAGAACAAAAACAUCCACCGAUUAUGAACACUACUACUCAAUGGGAUGUGGGGAGUCAGUUUAGUUUCUAUAACUGCAUACUAAUGGAUUUGAUUUGCUUCUACAAGUAGAAGCAGAAGCAGAAGCGGGGUAUGCAUCUGUGAGCUGCUUCACUACAUCUCUCAUUGAAGGCCUUUUGCUCGGCUCCUUCUCCGUGCAUCUCAGUGCCACUAAAAGAACAUUGGUAGCCUGCUCCAUGACACUCGAAUCUAUAAAUUCAUCCAAAAGCCCUGGAUCAACUGCAUCCUUGAUUUCUUCUGCUUCAUUCCAAACUGACCGAACCCAGCUCACAAGGUCUUCUUCCCCUUCCCCGUCGUUGAAUGAACAAGAAGGAUCUAGCAGUGGCUUCUUCCUAGUUACCAACUCCAGCAGAACGACCCCAUAGCUAUACACGUCCGACUCCUUGCUCUUUGUUGUUGUGAAUGCAUUCUCUGUCAAAAUUGUCAAAAUACCACAACCACCAGUUAGUACCCUGUGUUAAAAAAAAACCAACACAAUCUAUAAAGAGUUUGGCAAAUGGCAAUGGCACAAACACAUUACAUUAAUUACCUGGUGCUAUAUACCCGACAGUUCCAAUAACUGCGCUGCAUGACAUGGAAGCUGCUUGUUGUUCAUCGAGAAGCUUGGCAAGCCCGAAAUCGGAUAUAUGAGGCUCCCAUUCAGAAUCCAACAGUAUGUUCAUAGGCUUAAUGUCUCUGUGCACUAUUGCGGGAUCGCAGUCAAAAUGAAGAUAUGAUAGUCCUUGAGCGGUGCCGAGCGCUAUCUUAUAACGAAUGCUCCACUCCAAUUGAAGAGGUGGAUUCCGCUCGUGAAGAACGUCGUGCAGGCUUCCAUUCUUCAUGUAGUUGUACAAAAUCAAGCCAUAGUCCUUUCUAAACCAGAAUUCUUCCAACUUGACAAGGUUCCGGUGCCUUACAGCUCCAAUCGUCUGAAUUUCUCUGAUCAUACUUUUGCUUCCACCCCUACUUCCCGCCGACGAAACCUUCUUUACGGCAUACACUCUACCUGAGCUCAAUGAAGCCUUAUACACCGUUCCAUGCGCGCCCCUCCCAAUCACGUACUUACCACUCAGGUUCUCCGUGGCUUCCAUUAUUUCAUUGAGCAGCGAAGAAGCACCUCCUUCAGCAGCAAUUGCAUUUUGCAGUUUAGGUCCUUUCCUCCGCAGGAACAUGUAAGCAAGCCCACCGAGUAGUGAGAUGCAAAGUAAUGAUGACCCCAGCGCUAUCAUUACCGUUCCUACUUUGCUGCGGCCUCUUUUAUUCUCCGAUUGAAUAGUGCAAGGUCUCGAGAAACUCUUCUCCGUACAACUCGAGCUGCCACCUGAAAGACAAUUGACGCAAAGACCCAAAUUUCCUUCAAAUGAAGAAGGAGACGAGUUCAGGAGCUUGAGUAAUGUUGCAGGUACUGGACCAGCAAAAUGAUUGUGGGAGACGUUUAUGAACACCAAUGAGUGCAUGUUAUCAAGGACCCCUAAGCUUCCCGAUAGAUUGUUGGAAGAUAUAUCCAGAUCUUCCAGCAUGUCUAAUCUCCCGAGCUCAGGAGGAACUUGACCCAUCAAUCUGUUACUGCUCAAAUUCAACGACCUCAUAUUUUCACCAGCCUGCGGUGAUCCAACUGAUGCCGGAAUGCUUCCGCCAAAUGAAUUUCCUCCAAGAUGCAGUGUUGAGAGCCUUUCGAAUUCAAACAGAAAAACUGGGAUAUCACCCGCAAAUCUAUUCUCACUCAGACCCAAGGUUGAUAACUCUGUCAGGCUCCUAAAACUGGCUGGAAUCGAGCCAUUUAACAAGUUAUUACUGACUUCAAGUUCCGAGAGCUUUUCACAGGUGGACAGUUGAAAUGGCAAUUCACCUUCCAAACUGUUGUGAGAUAGAUCUAUGGCCUGAAGCUCCACAAGUCUUCCUAGCUCGGGAUGUAUAGGCCCAGAGAGUUUAUUCAUGGAUAGGUCAAUAGAGGUAACUUUUGUUAGAUUCGCCAAGCUUAUAGGUAUUUCCCCACUCAAGUUAUUGCUGCUGAGGUUUAUGUACACAAGGUUGGGAUUCUCUACAAAGUCAGGAAUGAUGCCAGUGAGAUGAUUCUGUUUGAGAAUCAGCCUCGUUAAAUUAGAACAGCUUCCGACACCAGGCGGAAUGCUGCCUCGAAAAUCAUUUUGGCCCAAGUUCAGCUUCCUCAACUGAUUUCCAAAGCAAAGAUCCGGAGGAAUAGGCCCCGUGAAUCGGUUACUAGUUAAAUCUAUUUGCACUAAGGUGCUGUUAAUUCCCAGUCCUUGAGGUACAACUCCAGUAAACUGGUUUUCGAACAGAGACAGGUUCCUUAACUGCUUUAGUUCGGUGAUUUCGAUGGGUAUCUCCCCAGAAAGAUUGUUUUGAUAAACUAGAAGAUUCUGAAGGCUUUGAAUCUUCCAUAUACCAAGAGGGAUUUCGCCAGUCAAAUGGUUGGUAAAGAGAAACAGGCUCUGCAGCUGGCUGAGCUUUUCUAGCUCAACUGGAAUUUGGCCUACUAGUUGGUUUUCCUCUAUCCGCAGAUCAACCAAGGACGCGCACCGUCCCAGCUCCGGUGGAAUUUCUCCUGACAGCCUGUUGUCCGAGAGAUAAAGAUUCAUCAGGUUUCCUAGUUGGGCAAAAGAGGGAGGAAUUGGGCCGGUUAAGGCACAACUGACAGCAGCAAAUUGUGUUAGGCUGCUGCAAUUUCCCAAAGCUGGUGGAAUGCUUCCCGUGAAGUUGUUGAAAGAGAAAACAAAUGUGUCCAUCUCUUUGCAGUUCCCGGAAACGAAAGGAACGUUGCCCUCGAGCAUGUUGCUGCUUACAUCGAAAUAAACCAGGUGCUCAAGACUGUCGAGAGCGUCCGGUAAUGAUCCAACCAACUGGUUGUCACCCAAAUAGAGUUCUUGCAAGGAAGUGCAGUUUGCUAUGGAGGGCGGAAUGGUCCCUGACAAGUGAUUUCCGUAGAGCCACAGAGACACAAGCUCGCUGGCGUUUCCAACAUUGGAUGGGAUGGUGCCGGUCAGUCGAUUGGUGCUGAGGUAAACGGUGUGAAGGGCUGGGAUGGAAAACAAGGAGCGGGGUAGGGUACCAGUCAGAGAAUUGUCGUACAGGCUUAAGUAGGAAAGACGGUACAAGUUGCCGAGGGCGAGAGGCAGUCGUCCCGUGAAGUUGUUGGAAGAGAGAUCCAAGUGCUGGAGACGAGUGGAGUUUCCUAGUUGGGAAGGAAUUGAACCAGAAAAGGCGUUGAAGCUCAAGUCAAGUACGGUCAAGUGAUAUAAACGAGAAAUUUCAGGUCCCAAUUGGCCAGAAAUGCCAUAGCCGGAAAGAUUCAAAGAAACCACGAAGAAUUGAUGACUGGGGUGGCAUUGGACUCCAACCCAAGAAGAGCAAGGGGUGGAAUGGGAAGCAUUCCAGGUAGAUUUGAUGGAAGGAGGGGUAAGCGUCCAAUGCCUAAGAAGUGACAAGAGAGCGGUUCCAUCUGAAUUGAGAGCAGAUACGGCAUAUACAGAUGCGGACAAGCACAAGAAACGCAGCAAACGAAUCACAGCAAAUAUUGCCAUCCUUUUUUCUUUUUUUUUCUGUCUUCGCUUCCCUUUUUAUCCCAAAAAACGAAAAGGAAGGCAGAAAAGCUACGGGAAGAGACGACAGAAACGGUAGGGAAUUAUCGAGAAUUAAAUAGUUACCCUGAAAAGACAAGAAGAAGAAGAAGAAGGAAGAGGAGGAAGAAUGAUUGCAAAGAUGAAUGCGGCAGGAAGCUUACUAGAAUACAUGACCCCAAGUGGAAAUAGGAAGAAGAGUGAUGAGGAGGAGGAGGGUGGUGGGAAGAAAGCAUUUGAGUUUUGAGUAGCAGCAGCAGUAAGCAAGCAGAUGAGGUGGAAGAAAAGGGGGGCGGUGGACGGUCAUGAAUGUUACGAGGCAUCGGCCCCAGCAGCAGUGGCAGUAGAGAGCAUUGAGAGCUGAAUGAGAGGAAGGGGGUUGGUUUGUUUAUUUUUAUAGGAGUUAACGGACAGACUACUACUACUCUACCAUCCUCCUCCUAUUUAUUGUGUUGUUGGUUAGGAGGAACUUUUUUUUAUUAGUAGUAUUAGGAAUUUAGGAUAGAAUAAUAUAAUAGUAAUUUAUUAUUAAGUGUAUCAAAGACAGCAACUACUAAACGACUCACUCGAAACGGGAAGACAGACAACACAGCCCCUAUGCUAUGCUAAUGCUAAUGCUGCUCCCUAAACCCAACUUCCUCAAGUCUUCCCUACUUUACAAAUCCAAUCAAUCAAAAUUUGCAUUAGAAUAAUAGAUGAUGAUCACCUCUUUUUGCUCUCUUUUGACCCACCACCAGUGACCACGCCGGCCACCACCCAGCCCCAUCAUCCUUCCACCGAAUUUAAUUCUUUUUUUUUUUUUUUUAACAAUCCUCCUGUCUCCGUCCUCUUUUUUCCAGCUUCUCACAAUUACUGCUAGGGCCCUAUUUUGGUUACUUGGGAGAAAUCAAAUAGGCAGAAACAGUUUCUAUAUUUCAUUACCAUACGAAUCUAGUAAUGGGAACUGGAGAAUGAGCUUGCAGGAACUGUCUGCCAUUGCCAUUGCCAAUGCCAUCCACCCAACCACACAACACCGUCUCCACUCUACCCGUACGGACUCUUAAAAAUUUAUAUAACUUUCUGGAUAAUUAAACUGCUUGGACACAAAUUUGUUGGUUAGCCUCCUAAUUAUUCACAUCCCAGUUACUAGUUGGCCGGAAUCUUCCAGCUUUCGUUCCGUUUUCUUCAUGUUUGUUCCCGUCCCCCCACAAUAGUAUCGGUGUUAGAACUAGGGCUAAAAAAACGUGGACUAAUUAAAUCAAGGUUGAACAGCCUUUUACUUUUGGUAAAAUAUCAAAUUGGGUUCGAGUUUGAUUUGAUUAACAUAACAUUGAAAUUUACUUACAAGUAAAAAAAACUCAAGUUACCAGAGUUCGACUCAAGGUCGACUUGAUCAUUUAAUUUCAGCUCAACAAAUAAAGAAAUAAUCUUGAACAGAAUUUCAAAUUCGUUAAUAUGAACGUUCGAUUUCGUCAGGUUGAUUUACACUCCUACUUGGAACCGCUUCGAUAUCUUUCAUAUACGUCACGCAAUAACAAUAAUGUGGACCGGCGUUCAUUUCCAUAUUUAUUUUGUUUUGCACGUUGUAUGAAUUUUUCAAAGCAAUUCCUCCUUAGUGGAAGUUGUUGGUAAGCGCAUCAACAAGAAGAGGUGAUCCAACUAUUUCAUGCUCAAUUCCUGGAAAAUGGGGUGGGGGAUCAAUUUCUGACGCAACCUUCGGAUGCCAAACUCCAAACUAGAAAAUUGAAUUUGGGCUGCUCUGCUGAAAUUGAAAAUGACUCGUCAAUCACUCACACUAAUAAAGCGGAGAAGAGGGGAAGCAGCACAGCACCUCUUCUUACUCGGUUUCACACACCAAUGACCAACCAAAGUGAGUCGUGAAGUGAAGGAAGGGGGAUUCCGUUGACGUACGCGGUCGCGGACUGAUUUCUUUCCUUUUCUUUUCUCUCUCUCUUUUUCCCCAGGAGCAAAACCUUUCAAACAAAACGAAGCAGCAAUCAGUCAGUCAUAAAGAAGAUGUGGUAAACGGAGUUUCACAUUUAUUUACAGGAGUAGUGGUUGUGGGUUAAAAAGUUCUAACCCACUAAGGCUCCAGCUGAAACUCUUCCUCAAUUAACUCGCAUUUUCCACCUCAUCUCGCGCGGUGGAAGCAGGCACAUACAUCACAGCCACAGGAUCCAUCAUUUCACACACCACCACCAACACAGCCCCCUCCCAAAACCCCCAAAUAUUUUUUAACUUUAGGAAUAACUCAAAAAGAUUUAGUAGUCAGUGAUUAUGUCUGAAGUCUUAGGAGAUGAUCUUUCACUCCUGCGCCUGCAGAAAAGCAUUUAUUAUUUUACCAAACUUAUUAGAGAAUUGCUUCAGACAACCCAAAUUGUACCGUUUCAGAAACCAUUCCAGUAAAAUAUAUUAUUGAUUCUCAAUACUAUAAACUUUUCCCCAACUUAACUAUAAAAUCAAGAUCAAAAUGAGAACAUCUAGUUAGCUAAUGUGAAAUCUAGAUUAGGCUGUUUAAACCAGCCGACGAAGAAGGGCCACAGUCGAUCAGGAACCAAAAAGGUCCUCUGACGUCGUUUGGUUUUAGGGUAUCUUCAACGUUUAGACCCACGACAGACAGAGGUAGGGGAGGAAGAAAUCCUUCCGAGCCUCCUUGCAUGCUAACAUCAGGGCACACGGAUAACUCAGACUACACAAAGCGCAGCGCCGCACUUUGCCCAAACUUUUUGAGUCGAGACAUGAGAUCAAUUACAAGAGACGUUGAUCUACAAAACCUGAAAUUUUACAAUCACAGGGCUAAAACAAAAGAAAAUAAGCGGGGCAACGAACAGAAACGUCCAACAUUUAUUGCUAGGGUAGAUAUAUACUUCAAAUCUUUCUUGUUUCAAUAUUCUCCCUCCCUCCCUCCAUCCCUCCCUCUCUCACUUCACUGCGCUAGACUUCAAACAAGUUGCAGGCAGAGAGCUGGGAAGGCCUCCUAAGCUCAGAGCCAACUUCCAGCCACGUAAAACAACAACUCAACCAGAUGCCAACCUCAAACGUCUAGAAUCAGACUGUCCUACUGGAGUUCUGGUAUCCAGCAACUAGAGCAGAUCACCAAAAUGAACAGCAGCUCCAGCAACAAUUGACCCUGCAUAACAACAAUAGAAUGGACAACAUUCCAGAUUCUUGGAUUUGCUCAUCAUGCAAAGCCUGGACGCCAAGAGCGUCAUAGAGCUAAUGAACUUAUCUUAAGCUUAAGCUUUCAUCGAAAGAUGCUAGUGACAGCAACGUGAUCUGAGUAUAAUUAUCAUGACUUAUGAUAUGGGUUUCUAAAAUUUCCAUGUCAUGAUGAUUGUGCCUGGGGAUGAGCCUCAGUUCAUUGUGACAUAGCAUGGCAUGUGGUAUCCAUGGGAUCUAUAAUACAUAUUGAUGACAUGGAGAAAAUUGGUUUGCAAGGCAACAUGUGUAAAAGAAAAGCAUUCCUGACAUUGUAAAGAGUUGAGGAGUGAAAACCAUAAGAUUCAACAGCUACAAUCCCAUGCACCCUUGACAUAAUAUAUAGAAACAAAAGUCCUAAUCAAGCUAAGAAUCAUUCUAAGAUAGCAUUGCCGGAAUGCAUAUGUCCUGCAUAAGCAAAAUAUAACAUGGCCCAACAAUAUGUUCAUGAGACCAUUUCGUGCAUUCAUUAACAUGUAAGAUGCUAAUGCUGAUGACUUGAUGACAAAAUGGAUGCAUGCAACAGCUGCACGAUGCAUCCUAUCAUAUGUAGUGGUUUGUUUUGCUCAGAGCAUAAAGAACAGAAUACAUCCCCUUCCAGCCAGUCAGCUACUGGUAGGUCAUAGUUGGCACGGCUCCAUUAGCACCGGGAGCAACUGCUGGAUGGUUGGAAUCCUUCCUUCUCCCAAAUGGGUUCUUGGAAUACGUUUCUAAUAUUAAGAGAAAAACAAUGGCCAGGAUAAAAGGAGACACAAAACUAUGUAACUAGCUAGAUUAAGAAAGCAAGAAAAUGUUGAUAUAAAUCUAGAGAGAGAAUGAGGAUGUCAGAGUGUGUACGGCCACACACAGUAGAGACACACAUGCAAACUAAGUCCAGAAAAAGUCAUAUACAAAGGAUAUUGGAUCCGCAUGCCAACCGAACCAGAGCUAGGUAUGACAGCACCCUGCAAAUUAUGAUGCACAUUGGUAGCACUAUUGACAUCCUGCAGAACAAAACCAAGAACUCAAAUGACAAUCUAAGAAAGGCAAACAGCUAUAAGACCAAGGAAUUGCAUCAGAGAGCAAUUGCAUCCUCGGAUACUCACUUCAAACUCAAUGAAGCAGACUGUGUGUCUUUCCUGCCUCAAUACCUUCAUCUGCUUAAAACCAGGUUGUCUAUGGUCAUACAAAACAAAGCACAAGAAAUGAAUUAGUAUCACUGAAGAAACAUUUUCGCUUCUCUCAACAUCUUAAGAAGAAAUAAAAAAUGAAAAAGAUGCAUACGCGCUGAAAAGACUCCUGAGCUCUUCCUCAUUUAUGUUCUCUCCAAGAUUUCCAAUGAACAGUGUGUUGCAUGGCGGGUUGUCCUUAGUGUUCUACAAGACAGCAACAGAACUGCCUCACAAAGGGGAAGCAGAAGAAGAUAAAGAACAGAAAGUACUCAAAAAUUAAUAGUACCGGGAACUGCGCCAGACUGGAACCAAAACUGAGAGCCGGAGAGGAACCGUAGGUAACGGAUCCGAUUCCGGUUCCAGUUCCAGUUCUCUAAAAAUAGAACCAGAGCCAUCUAAAAAAUUUGAGGAAAAAUAAAGCUUGGGCCAAGUCCAUGCUGUCCAACUUGGAAAUAUUCUUAAUUUCUCCAAAAUCCUGUAUCUAGUCUUCUAUUUAAAAUUGUUACUAACAUUCAAUAGUGUGAGGUGAUGAAUAUACAGAAAGCAAUUGCAAUAACCCACCUUUCAAUAAGCUUCCUCUUUUACCCUUUUUUUCUGGGGGAAGGACAGGCAUAUUCGCAUUCAUGGGCACCUUGCUGUACUUUUCAUGAAGUUUCUAUCAUUUUUUCUAUUCCUUAUUCAAUAAUAAUAAUAAAAUCAAAAUCCUACUUUCUUCUAUAUUUAUUUUCUUCACAUCUGCUUUAUUUUAAAUAUAUUGUCACAUUAUUCUCGCAACAGGAACAGGAACCGGAACCAAAACCAGGACCGUAACGGGAACCAGAACUGGAAGUUUCAGAACCCAUUACUGGGAACUGUCAUAUAAGGUGCGGUUUUGGUUCCACCAUUCCAAGGAACCGAAACCAGUAGUUCUAGAACUGUAACCGCAGUUCUAAAACCAUGGCCAUGUCUACUCAUGACGACUUCCCCCCAUAUAAAAGAUAAGUGAAUCAUUACUAUUUUUUGACCUAAAAGCAAAAGAAAGCACUAAAUUCCCCUACAUCAAAAUUUCCAGUAAUGUCCUCUCUUCAUAUGCCCAAAGAUUUAUGCAAACCCAAAAAAAGACAAAAGACAAAGUUAACCAUUAAAAAGAGACAGACUUAGGAUUGGAGCCAAAAUUUAGUAGAUAAUGUAGUCUGAUUGAGCUUUAUACAUUCAGCCUUCUGAAUAAUGACAUUUUAUACAUUAAUCAAAGAUUCUGGAACUCGUCAUGCUUUGCCGUGCUGGCCAAGGAGACUUUCUAACUACACAUAUUAUGGUUUUGAACCCUUACAGGCGGGCAUUUUGACUUUGCUCCCUGACAUAUAUCCAAUAGCAUGAAAGCAGAUGGAACAUAAACAAAACAACGAUACAAACUAUCAGGGUGCAAAAUUCAAGCCAUAUUAUCUGUCUAGAACACAGCAAAAUUGCUAAACUAAGAGACAUGUAUCAAAACAGAAUAUAGAUGUAGGUCACCUGAACAGGUACAUAACUGCUUGGAGCCGAAACAGGGGCAGGAGCAGGCAUUGGUACUGGAGCAACAGGAUAACCAGCAUAUGGAUCAUAUGGUGGGGGGGCUGGAGCCAUAUACCUAAGCCAUACAACAUAAUCUCAGCAAACCAAAAUUUGAUAUCUACAGGCAACUUUGGACAAUCAUCAAACAUAUAUUCGACCAAAUAAUGCACAUGAAGUCAUGCUUCCAUGCAACAGAAUAACUGUGCAAGGGAAAAACAGGCAGCGAGAAAAGCAGUUUACCCAUGGGGCCCCCAAACAGGUGCUGGAGGAGGAUGAAAAAGAGAUGGACUUGAAUAACCUGUGUGCGUAUAAUCACCACCAGUUCGCAAUCGUUUACUCUGAUCAUAUGCAUUUGAGUCGGCAACUAUCCCUGCAGAACAAACAGAAAAUACAUAUCCAAAUGGCGAGAAAAUUUGCACUUUCAGAACCGUAAUACUGAUGUCUGAAGUUAGAUGGAAAAUACUCACCCCUCUUUACAAAAAGAUUCUUCUUGGCCAUCUCAGUGUGCAAUAUCGAAUUUGAUUCGGCAUCAAAAACCAAAUCCUGUAGCCCAUAUACAUCAUUUGCCCAAGAAAACAAAAAGGAGAACAGUUUUAAAAAAAAAAAAAAGAAGAAAAAGAAAAAGAAGGAUCAACUAGUAGAAUAGGGAUAACAGAAGAAAUUGGAGGUGCAAUUACCCGAAGGGCAUCCUUGGCAGCAAUAGCUUGCUGAGGAGUGGCAAAGAGGGCAAAUCCCAUGGGAUGUUCGCCUUUGAAGUUGACCUGAGACGCCUCGUAUCCCGGCAACCAUCUCAGUAGGUUCUGCAGCUCUCUCUCCUUGACGUCCUCAGGCAGCCCAGAUAUGAAAAUUGUCCGAACCUUAGGGGAGAAGCAAAAAGUUUCAAGUUUCACCCCCUUUUUUUAAAUCACUUUCACCGCUACUGUAAUAAUUCGUCGAUGGAAAUCUUACCUCAUCGAUGGGAAGGCGGUUAUGAUUAUCCAUGGGGAUAGGAGCAGGGUGAGGAUGCGGUGGGGGUGGAGGAGGAGGAGCAGCGACUGGAGGCGGAGGAGGAGCUGCGGCCGGAGGCCAUUGCUGGUGGUAGGGGUGAAUUCCGGCACCAGCCAUAAGAAAUUGAGAAGCAAUUGUGAUUCUCCGCUAUUAGGUCGAUCGGAAAUAAACCCUAGCGGUCCCAGGCAAAGGUAAGACAACGACAACGACGGCUAGUGCUGGACCACCACCAAAACCACCAACGCAACGCAACUCUCCGAUGGAUUUGAAUUUUGUACUGCUACUUGCUCGAGAUUUCUUCCUCUCUUCUUCUUUUUUCCUUUCUCGGUUUGCUAAUUUUCCCUUUCCCCAACACCCCAACCAAACUACUUUUUGGUUGAAUUACUGUGGAGAGCCGGAGACCCGGUUCCUUUUUGAAGUUUCGACUAGACCCCUCACAAUUUGUCUGUUUUAACUUCUGCGCCUAUACUAAGUUCCUUUUGGAAUUUUCUCCCUACUUUAAAUGAUUUUUUCGAUGAGUUUACUGUUUAAGGGUCAAACUUAGCUCUUAUUGUAUUUAAAUUUUAUCAGAACAUAUCUACUCUCUCUACUCGACUCUGAGAUGUUUGUAAAUAAAAUUUUACUAUCAACAUUGUUUGAUGAAAAUAUAAAAUCAUUGUAAAUCAUGAUUAGGAAUUCUGUAAUUGCCAGCGACAGUUGUGGACUUAAAUUUAUGUAACAAAUAUAUGCACGAGCAUAUUAAAUUUAUGUGGCUCCAAAUUAUUUACCUGCAUUACAAAUAUAAUUUUCAACGCACUUUUUUAUCUCACAUAUAUCACAUCACAAAAAAGUGUUACAAUAAUCAUUCCAAAUAAUAUCGUAUCCAAACACACUCAAAAAUCGGAGAACCGAUCUAGAAAAUACAAUUCAAUGUGCAUGCACCACAAUUAAUUAAGUGAGGCCAAAUACACCAAACAGAUGGUAAUAGGCUAUCAUUUUAUUUUGGCGGGGGAAUUAGAAUUAUUUAGAUAACAGAUUUGAUGAAAAUCGUAGGGGGCCUAUGUAUGAUCAAGCAAGUGUGGUGGCGUUGGCAGAAGUGUCGUCCAAGGAAACAACAACGGCUUACAGAAAACCUUUGAAAAAGGCCCAGGAGCCCAAUAGAGUAAGUGUACAAAACACAGCCCAAACCUGAGUCUAUUGAUCGGCAUCUUUAGUUUAGGAAGUGAAGAAAGCGGGGGAGCCGUCUGUAGUUAGGGUUUUCGGGGCGCAGAGAGCAAAAGCUGGUUGGUUGAAAGGCGACUGAGCGGGAAGCAGCAGCAGCAGCAGCCAUGGCUAGCACCAAAGUUCAGAGGAUUAUGACCCAACCUAUCGUACGUCGUCCCUGACUCCAAACUCACUUUCGUUUCUUCUUUCUUUCCUUUUUUUUGUUUUGGCCUGAACAGUUGAUUUUUUUUUGGGGUCUAAUUGGGUGCGGAUGCAGAACCUGAUAUUCAGGUUUCUUCAAAGCGUAAGUUAUCUUCUUCCUUUUUCUUCUUUCUGUUUGUAAUUAAACGCAUAUUUUGUUGGUCAAUUGUUCAUAUUCAGCCUGCAAAAAACAAGUUCAUGUUGGGGAUUACUUGUUAGUAGUGUAACGUCCAUUCUGUCGACUUUGGCAGAAAGCUCGAAUUCAGAUUUGGCUCUUUGAGCAGAAGGAUUUGAGGAUUGAAGGCCGCAUCAUUGUAAGCCUUCUUUUUCCUUUUUUUUUUAAUUAAAAUUAUUUACUAAUCUUGCUUCAGGUUAUUUAUCCAAUUUCACCUUCGUUUGGGGUUUUGUUGCGGCAUUAUCUUAUCUCUACUCCUUUGUUCCACAAGAUAUUACAGUCGAAGGGAAUGCUGAUUUAGUGUCUUACAGCUCUUGUUCUUUAUUUUGACAGGGUUUUGAUGAGUACAUGAAUUUGGUCCUGGAAGAUGCUGAGGAAGUCAACAUAAAGAAGAAGACCACGAAGCAAUUGGGUCAGUAACUGAAAUGUGCAUUUUUUUCCAUCCUUUACCUGAUUUUUCAUGCUUCUUUCUUUGAAUCACUUCUCUGGUGUUUAUAUUGCCUUUGUUUAGGGAGGAUACUUCUGAAGGGGGACAAUAUCACAUUGAUGAUGAACACGUAUGGCUAAGCUCUCUCUCUCUCUCUCUCGUGAAGCCCAUGUAUAGAAUAAGCUAUCCUGAAACACAUAAGACCAUUGCAUUUUCUUGAAUUUUGCUGAUUUCAUAUUGCAUUUCGUUUUUUGCAGGGGUAAAUGAUGUUCCUGGCUUUGAUGCCUAGAUGUUCGUGAAUGUUUCAGUUACUACCAGCGCACUUGGAUGGUUUAUUUUCAGUGAUGAUGUAUUCUAGAUACUCAAUAGCUUUUCUCUUAUUCAUGAAUUGGGCAAUGGCUUCAAAUUCAAUUGCCUAUUAUGUUUUCUCCUUCGUCAUUAGCCAAUUAGGGAUAAUCUUUAGGCUCAUUAUUAUUUUCGUUUAAGUGUUGUAUUUCCUCUUUUGGGAUGCUGGGACUACUUGCUCUUAUAAAAAAUUUUAACAUGUUUGUGUUUUGAGUAGUAGUUCUCUAAUGAUGACAAUGGAUUUGGAGUUUAAGAAGAGAUGGUAGUGCCUUUUCACUUGAUCAUCCGAUUGUGUCUUUUAGGAUGUUUUAAGUUUUCUUGACGUUCAUUUCAUCCGCAGCAACUUGGUAAAUGCCAGUCCUUUUUGUAAGCGCAGUCUGGACAAGAAACGACAUUUGGAGUUUUGAACAAAGAGCUUACGAAACGUUUUAGAAAGUGGUGUUAGAACUUGGAAGGAAGCAAAGGGUCCUUUUUUUUUUGGCUCUUCUUGUCCUUUUGCAGAGAGAGAGAGAGAGGAGGGGUGUGAUGGUGACGGUAACGGAGGUGGAGGUGGAGGCGGAGGCCAAGGGGGGGCGCGGAGUUAUUUGGGGGUAUUCUACCUAUCGUGGUUGACUAUGACUAUGUCUUUGGAACAUAUGAUCCUAACUGAAAGGAUUUAAAUGAAGCUUGAUAGAACCUCAAAGUUGGUAACUCACCUGCAAUGGUUGUUGAAUCGAAUUGUUUUAACUGAUAAGAUAUAGCGCAAGUUGGAUCACAGAUUGGGAAAGGCUAAAUGGAGAACACUAGUGUGUCAGAUCUAAAUAUUUUCUUGAAUGAACAUUUCGUUCACAUAUCAUGAAACGAAGAUUGAAUACGAAGCAGAAUGCAUGAAAUUUUAUGAAAGGGCCGCCCGCCCCACAGAAAAAACACAAAAUACAAGCCAAUAUACAGCAGUAGACCGCAAUUGAUGUUCCACAAUGAAAACAAAGCAACAACAAUCACUUCCUGACAUUUUGCUACAGAUAAUUAUAUCCCUAUGAACAGUUACAACAGGGUUUCCGUGAAAACUCACCUUCUGGAAGUAGAUAGAGCGCAACACAUGGUUUUGGUAGCAGUCACCUUUUGUUCUCAAAAUAAUCCUCAGAAAGACACCAAAACAUGUCACCAGCAAAAGCGCUCUACAGUUCAAGGAACACGAACUCUUCAACUGCAGGCACUUCCCCCACCUUCUUAAGGGUAUCCUUGUCAGGUUCUUCAUCUACUCCGAUGGCCAUGAUUGCCUUUAUCCUCUUAGCCGUCCUUCCUACGCUCAUAAAGCUGACAUUGACAUUGCUCUCUCCAAGAAUAUUCCCAACUCUCCCAAUCAUUCCGGGUUGAUCAACUUGGCGGCACAGUAUCAGAUUCCCUUCCAAACUAACAUCCACACUAAAUGAUCCCACACCUGUUAAAUGAGGGAUUCCAUACUUCACCUUGCCGUCGAUGCUAAUAUUUCCUGUCUCUGACAAUGCGCUUGCAAAUUUAGAUUGAACAUUGCUAAUUUGAACUUGGAUUGAGUCGACAGGGUACUCAGGGGAGGAGUCAACAAAGACUCGUUCCUCGCUAAUCCGAAGGCCCUUCUGUUUUGCUGUGAAAUCAGCAUUUACCAGGUUUACAAAUGAGAUGGAUAUUGGCUCUAUAAUGCCUUUCACUAUCAUGGCCCUCAGAAGCCUGGUAUCCAAGUUGUCCGGGUCCCGAGCUGAUCUAUAGACGACCUUCACAGAUUGGAUGCCACUCCCACCAGCUACUAACUGCACAGCUAGUCUUCCUAACUUCUCAGCUAAGACAACAUAGGGAGCCAACUCUGACAUCACCUGAGUACAGCAGCCAACCGGAAGACAAUGAAGGAGGGUCAUAGAAACAUCAAUGUCUUCUAGUGAUCACCUCAGCCAAAUGGAAGACAACAAAUAAGGGUCAUAGAAACAUCAAUGCCUUUAAGUGAUUACCUCAGCAGGAACCAUAGGAGCAUUUACAGCAGUUGCCGCAAGUUCCCCUUUCAAUGCACCAACAACGGCCUCAGCUAUUUCAACUGCAACGCCUUCCUGAAUGUGUUUAAAAGGAUGAUAAAGUAAGAAAUGACAGUCAAUUUACAGUUGAAAAUAAUCCCAAAAGAACAGAAAUCUAUACUUGUGCUUCCUUUGUGCUUGCUCCAAGAUGUGGUGUAACAAUGACAUUCUCAUGUUGCACCAAUUUACUAUCUUUUGGCGGUGGCUCCUCUGUGAACACAUCAAGUGCUGCCUGUUGCAUGCCAGGAUAAAAACACGGCUGAGUGGUAGAACGAAGCACCGGAGUUUGGAUUAAAGUCAUACAAAAUAAUAUCGCAAGCAAAGGAAAACACACUCUUAAGAGAACUUUUUGUAACUGACAAAGGUACAAACUGAAGGCUAACCCAACUUUGACUGUCACAUCUGAAAGGUUGAUAUAUGGAAAAUCUAACCUGUAAAACCAAAAGAAAUAAGAGUUAAACCGCGAUGAGCAUACCUGUGCAACUGUACCGCUGUCAAGGGCCCUAACUAAUGCGUCUUCAUCAAUGACACCGCCCCUUGCAACAUUUAUAAUGCGUGCUCCUUUCUUCAUCUUUGAGAAUGUUUCGUCAUUAAAUAUCUUGGAAGUAGCAGGAGUAAGAGGCAUGUGAAGUGAAAUGAAGUCCGCAGUAGAAAUUGCCUCAUCGAAAGAGACUAAAUCCACACCAAUGGCACGGGCUCUAUCUGCCGGGGCAUAGGGGUCAUGUGCAAUAACAUUCAUACCAAGGCCUUUUGCUCGCCUUGCAACUUCAGAACCAACUUUUCCAAAUCCCAUAACAGCCAGUGUUUUCCCAACCAGUGAAACACCAACGUACUUGUUACGUUGCCAUUUUCCUGGAAAAAUCAUGGUUUUUGCACGUUCAAGUAAAAUCUAACUACAAUAAAAUGCUGUAUUGGAAAAUCACAUUGCUCUGCAAACUUGUUCAAUUCCAAUUUGAAGCUCUAAACUACAUAUGUCCAAGCGUAACCGUCAAUAUGAACCUUAUAGUAGAAGACCAAAUUUGAAUUCCGAGCAAAUAUGACAUUGUAUUGGCAGCAAAAUUUACUAAAGGCACGACGUUGUUCUAUAACAGUUGGUGAAUCUGCUUAUGCUACCUAAAAGCAAAUCCUCCAGUUCCCCUUAAAAGAACAGCUGAUAUCUGACAACCACAAUAUCGGGGUAAACCAAGUAAUUUGCACAAAUUGUACUUAUUUCAUAUAUCACCAAGUAUUUAUUUCAUACUCUUGGAAGGCUGUCGCAGAUUUGGGGUAAUUCGUAGUCAGAAUAACUGAGCAUAAGCCCAAACUUCUGUACAGAAGUCAGUUCCGACUAUCAACAGCAUGGAGACCAAAAACUUAAAAACUUCGAAGGGCAGAAAAAAAAAAAAGAAGCAACAUGGAGAAGUAGGAAGGUUUGACGAGUGAAACAUCAUAAACUUCUGAUGUUGCAGGAUCAAAAACUGAGCCUACUAGUAACAGCCGUGGAAAGUAAAAGAGAGUAUCAAGUGUACAAGAAACCCACAGCUGCUAAUAUAUUUACACCAAAAUACAUGUCCAACGGUCUGUCAGUACGUAGCUGCCGAGUAAGCCAAAACUUGAGCACAACGCAUGGAAAAAAAAUAUUAUUAUUACCAUACAAAAAGAAGAAGACGGAUAGAAACAUCCGAUCCCAUCCAACAACUAUUUUAGCCGCGUUUUUAAAAACUGAUCUGAUCCAAGAAAAUAUUUUUUUUAAAAAAAAAAAAAAGAAGAAGAAGAAAGAAUGAAUGAUACGUAAUAAUAGUACUCCACAAGAGUCGAGUAAUUUUGCACAUGAAACUGAAAAUUUUGGUUUACCAGCUUUCAUGGAGGCAUCAGCCUGAGGAACAUUGCGAGCCAUGGAAGCAAGGAGGGCGAUGGCAUGCUCGGCGGCAGCAAUGGUGUUGGCGGUGGGGGCAUUGACGACCAAGCAGCCGAAUUCGGUGGCAGCCUGCAGAUCGACAUUGUCAAUUCCAACACCGGCACGGCCGACGACCUUCAAACGGCCCUGAGCAGCCUGGAAGACCUGUCGGGUGACUUUGGUGCCACUGCGGACGAUGAGGGCGUCGCAGAGGGAGAUCUUGGCGCAGAGGUCGUCGGGGGACAGAUUGUAGGAGCAAUCGACGUUGGCAAAGGUGCGGAGGAGCUGGAGGCCGGCUUCUCCGAGCUUCUCGGAGACAAGAAUGGUGGGUUUGGGAGGGGUAAGGAUUGAAUCACGGAGAGGGGUGGGGUCGGAGAAGGAGAUGGAGGCGGAUUCAACGGCGGUUUUGAGAACGUUGAGAACAGGAGGAGAGGACCUAUUUCUAUAUGGGGCGUAGAGGAGUUUGAAGGAAGCAGAGUUGUUGGAGGGAGUAGGAAGGAAGGAAAGCUUAUUAGUAGGAGUAGGAGAGGAAGGAGGUAAGUCCGAGGAUUGCUGAGUUAUGAGUUUCGUAGAAAUGAAUGCUGCAGCUGCUGCUGUUGCAGAGGAAGCCAUCUCCGUUAUGCGGAGCUGUCUUCUUUUUCUUUUUUUUCCUCGCCUCUCUUUCUCUCUCUUCAGUCUUUCCGGUGCUCUGCGUAGGCACUAGGCAAACAAAAUGGUGAGCUUUCUCGUAUAAAUAUUUGCCCCACGCCCGCCAUCACAAAUGCCCCUCUCCCCCCCCCCCGGGGCCCGGUUUAUGUGUUUUAAUUGUGAUGCUAGACUGUAGAGCAGUGGUGCUCACUGGUGGUAUGAUUGCUGUGUUAGCAUUUCUUUCUCUCUCUCUCUUUUGAUUGCUGUGUUAGCAUUUCUUUCUCUCUCUCUCUUUUUUUUUUUUGGGUUUGGCUAUUGGGCUGGGGUUGGGUUCCCUCUUCUAAUCUCUAAAAAAAAUAAAAAAUAAGAAAGGGUUGUUGGAGACGAUCAAUCCUGUCAUACGUAGUAGUAUGCAUACAAAGUCCAGAGAAUUGAGUAGGUGUGGUGGGUGUAUAAAUAGUGGUGCGAUUUUAGGUAAAUAAUGCCAGAGAGAGGAAGAGCAGUGAGGGAAUAUGCGGGGGUUUGGUGGAGGACGGGAAUCGGGACAAAAUUUUACUAUUGCAGCUUUCCACUUUAAACAUUUGUUGAAUUCCAGCAUCAUUUGAGUCGAGCCUAGGACAAAACUUAAAAAGAAAAAAAAAAAACACACACACACACACACAACGAAAAAGAAGAGCAGCGUGAUGAAUUCGCAGCGAAAAGACGACGAUUUUGUGCUACAGUAAUUCGUACAAUAAGUAAGCGAUGACGCAAAUCAUCAAUUCCUAUAACUCUAUAAUAAGUAACGGAUGACAAUUGACUCUUCGCAACAUUUCAAAUGCCCUUAUCCAUCAAUUUGGACCACCAAGACCUUGUUUGGACGACCAUUUUUUCAAAGAAAAAUUGCUACGUUCUUCGUGAAUAUAUUUUUCAAUCAUCUUUCUAUCUCACAUAUAUCAAAUCGUUACGGUAAUUUUUUUACAAAAAAAAAAAGUCUAGAAAAAUGCAAUCCAAACUUCAUUUCAAUUAUAAUUUCUACAACUCUCUAUUAUAACAACUAACCGAUAACACGAGAAGUUAUUUUGAUACCCUCUUCUUAAUCAAAAAACUUGACUAUUCCACCAUGUGUGUUUGUGCCUUGUAUGGAUGGCACUUACAUUAUUGAUGCAACAUGGGCAGUCGGGCGAUCCUCCUUCGCUGGUGCCUAUGAAGGUAAGGUUUGUCGGUGUUAUGUAAUACUGACCGGAUUCAAUUUCGAGGGAGGCAAGGGUGUGUGUACAAUUUUCUUGAGUAAGUGGGGGGCAAAGUGUGAUUAAAACGUACCACAAUUAUGCUCGUGCUUCUUGUUUUCUCACAUUUUCUGCUGCCAGUAUUUUGUCGUUGGAACUUUAGGGUGUUGUUGGCUGUGGAUCGGUCACCGAGGAUUUUCUCCACAAGCACGCAAGGGGGAGGGAGAAUUGAAGUCGUCGUCGUCAUUUUAUCGCGCACGUUUGUGUAGUUAUCGAAGUGACAGAUAGCUUGAAGUCGUUGUCUCGUCUUCCAGACUAACGCGCCAUCGUCGAGCUUCUUCGGCAUUGAUGGAGCUGCCAGAUUCCACUCACAAAAGUGUACGAGUAGAAGGAUGGCCACCCCUUUCCUGAGGAUGCAAUAGUUGUUUGUUCCCCGCAAAUUAUUUUCGAUACGUACAACUGCUAAAAAAAACAAAAAACAAAAAAAAAGAAAGAAUCUUUUUGUGGAACUAAUGAAUGUAGUACAUUCAUUAUUUACAACAAAAACCAGUGGUAGUAAAUUAAAAAAUAAUACAAAACAAUAUAAAAAAUCAAACAAUUUAUGUGUACACGGUUAUGUUUAAAUAAUAAACAUGUGUUUUAUUGGUCGUGUGAUGUUAGUAAUUGAGUUGAAGUGGGUUAGCGAUGAGAAGUUAUUUGAAGAGUAAAAACGAAAUUUUUAGAGGUGAUGCCGGAUUGUUUACACCAGUUCUCCUCCUGCUCCCACUUUAUAAAUUAUAUUAUUAAUGCUUAGUCACAUAAAAAACGAUGUGUGUGCAAUUCAUAAAUACUUCUUUUAUGAAAUAAUUUUAUAUAAAAUUUUAAGUACUAAAGCAAAUGGUGGUAUUUCAACCUUUUUCUCAUCAAAUGGUUGUUACUUUAGUAGUUACAAUGUUUAGAGUGAGUCGUUUUGUCAAAAUAUGCUUUUAGAUGAGUUAUGGUUAGAAAUGAUUAUAGAUAGAUAUAACAAAAUUUGUAAUGAAAUGCUUCAAAAUUUUUAGAUAUUUAUUGACUAAGCUCUGCCUAGAAGUUAUUAACUAAAACAUAACAGAGCAUUGUGGGGUGGUUUUGAUCUAAGAUAUUUGAGGAUGAGGAAAUUUUUCGGACAGCCUCUAAACUAUUGCUUUCAUAUGAUUUUGACCCCAUUAACUAUAAAUUGUCACAAAUAAGGCAUUUGAAUAAUAAUAAUAAUAAUAAUAAAAGCUUAGUUUAAGGAUUUCUAUCAAUUUUAGCCAUUAGAGGUGAUGGGAUUAGGGGUAAAAUUGACUACAUAAAAAAAUCAACCCACGAAAAUUACCUAAAAAGUUUCGUUGACUGAUUAUUUCAUCAAAUCAGGGUUAGAAAAUGUGGAAGGUGAAAGGCAAGGAAGAACAUUAAAUUCCAUAUUAUUAGUUAACUUAAUACAGUUGGUUUUUUAACCAAAUAGUAGGUUAAAUUUUUUUUUGUUUGAAAGGUUUUGUCCCUAAUUUCUAUAUUUAACGCUCAAAAUUGAUAGAAACCCUUGAACUAUGCAUUUUUUUGUUUAAGAGCUUAUUUGUCACAAAAUUAUCAUCCAACAAUUUCAAGUUGGAAGAAACUUAUUUCUUCUAAAAAAAAAUUUUUAAAAAAAGUAGUAAGCAAUAGUGAUGGUGUAUCACUUUCCCAAUUGAAUGGAAUGUCUUGUUAUUUUCGGUGGGUUGCUCCGGCGGGCCAGAAUAAAUGAAUUGAAAGUGGAAACACCAAUAAUACUCUCAUCGGCCAAUCACGUUCUGCCAAGCUUCUUUCCUUCUUCAACUACUUUUGGACUCCUCUUCUUUUAAAAAGAUAUAUUGAACAGGUAUUCCUCAUAUAGGACCACAAAAAAUGACUUGAACAAAUCAAAGUCAAUCAACCAUUCCCAAAAAAAUUAUUGGGAGCUCGCGGCGCCUUGGCUGGUCGUCAUCAUCAUCAUUAUCAUAAUCAAAAUGUAGGUCUUUGCAAUUUGGUUAGUAGUACUAUUAGCAUCCAUAAUGAUUUACACACAUUCUUUCCGGGUAUAAUCCAUGUGUCACAUCAGCAUUUACUAUCUCCUCUUUUUAUUACACUCUCAUUUACAAUGGAUUCACAGAGUAUAAUAGCAUGAAUCCACAUGCCACAUCAACAUUUCACUAUCUCCUCUUUUAUUAUAUUUUCUCUCCUCUUAUUAUUUUAAUAAUGCACAACUCAUAACCCAUAAAUAAAUAAUUUUAUUAUUUUAAAAGCAAUUAUUUUUAAAAAUAAAUUAUUGACGUGACAUCUCAAAGGUGAAAAUAUCAUAAUAAUUCAUUAUUAAUUAAUAAUACACUAUCUACUGAAUUUAACUCCAUGACAUAAUAUUAAAAUUAAAUAAAAUACAAAUAAUAAUAUAACGAAUACUACUUUUCAUUAUUAUUGCCUCCGAAUCGUUCCAAAAUAUGCUCGACCAAAUCCGACCGAAGUUGAUGAUGUACUUCCUGAUCACAUAGUUCUGCAUUCCUUUGAAAAUAAUGGUGAAAAAUUUUUACUAAACCUCGAGUCACAGAGAUUGUUGGUUCUUCAUCAUCAUCAUGCUAGUUUCUUAUUGCAUUUCUCUCAUCCCUUCUUUGAUGUUUUUUUUAUCAGGUGGGCGAACUUCACGUGUUUCAUUAUCAUCAAUGCCAAAAUUUUGAAUCUGCAUUGGACGAAGAAAUGUAUGUCCCGUUUUCAUCGGUCCUUAUCUUUUGAAGAACGAUGCAUAGGAGAAUCUACCUUCCAUUUCAAAUCAUUUUUUUAACAACACCUACAUAUGUUCAUGUAAAAAAUACUUCUUAUUAUUAUGAUGAAAUAGCUCACAUGCGUGUUGCUUGAUCUGAUCAUCAUUCCCACGUGCUAUGAUGUUUGCCAACCAAUCUGUUGUAAUAUUGGUUGAACUCAUUAACCAUCCGACUCAACCAAUGUCACUAUGAUUUCACUACUUUAUAUUUUCAUGGUAGUUCAGAUUUUCGAUUCUCAUUGAAAUAGUCGACGACUCGUUUCCAUUUUGAGAGUUACUCACAAUGCUGCAAUUUGAAAUUGUGAGUCAAGCAUUUGCAAGCAUUUGUCAUCAUCCACACUCCAUGGAACGCGUUUAUCGUCAGGUUCUUCCACCGCCUCAUUUGUGAGAUUUAUAUUUUCUACCUCACGUUGUGUUGAAUACGGCGGAAAUUGAGAAUUCGAAAUUGACUCCGUUGGUAUUGCAUUAUUUUGUUGACCGGCGAAAUCAAAAUCCUUCCUUAUCUCCGACGGAGUCGUUGAGCCUCCACAACCCAUACCAAGGUUAUAAUACUCCGGUGUAUAGUGAUUUCUCAUAGAAGAAUUAAAAUAAUUAGGUGAAGGAUACAUGGGAAUUUGAUAUGGAAAAUGUGGUUAUAAAUGUAUUUGGACUAUUUAACAUAUUUCUAAAACUAUUGAGAUUCUCAUCCAUAAUGAUAAAAUAAUGAAAUUUAUAAAAUUAUGUAAAGAGAUUGAAAGUAAUGAAUAAGGGAGUAGGAGAGAUAAUGUAGUAAACAAUUGUGAGGUGAAAUAAAAAAAAUUACUUUGUAUAUUUAUAGGAAGUAAAAUAAAUUAUCCGUUGCUAAAAUAUAGUCGUUGUAAAACAAGGACGUUGUAAAAUGAUUGGCUCAAAAAAUGACCGUCGUAAAAUGUUUCAAAAAAUGACCAAGUAAAAUGCUGUCUCAUUUUGGCUAUAUUUGGAUGUUUGCUGGUGUUGUUAUGCCGUUUGGGUGCCAUAGCAUCUUCCAUGACACGCAUCAUCUGUAUUGUACGUGUAAUCUUCGCGGCACGGCUUGAUGUAACGAGGGCAUUAUACCCCCGUUAUACAUUGCCUUGGAUGCUCUAAGUAUACAUACCACCCAACCCGACCAGCCGGCACAGCGCAGCACUGCACAAGCAGAGGAGUAACAGAAAGGGUGGCCCACCGCCAGACUAUUCCAUAAUUCAAAGUUUCAAACCAUUUGAACUUUCCAGCUCCGGGGGGGGCAAGGGCAACCACCUCUCUAGGAUUGAUUCGAUCAGGUCCAGCAAAUAGGAGAACGUUGAAUGUAGAAGCACGGAAUAUGCUAUUGUUUGAUUGGAAUUGGUUGCUAAAUUAGAAGAAUUGGAACUUGGAACAGAGCCAGAACACAAAAAAUUUCUGAGGCUUACUUUUCCUGACCCUAAAACUGCAUUCUGAAUCCAUCAUUAGCCGAUUGACAAAGGAAUCUCAACCACCACCGCUUCUUAUUCCCACCCUAAUGGUUCAAGUUCCCAACCACUGAAUGGUUUAAAAGGAAAACAAAAAAGAUUUUUCUUUCUCGUAAUUUAUUCUAUCUGGUUACAGGGUCGCCAACAAAGCUCAACCUUUUACAUAUCCUAAGGUACAAUUCACACAAGAGUUACAGCGGGCGUCGAAAGAAGAAUCAUCAACCUGAAAAACUUCAAAGAGCUGCGAAAUUCAAACGUAUGAGCUCUUUCAACUUCUUAAAUUUGCAUUUCUUUUUUACUUUUGAAAAACAUAUUAUCAACAAAAGUACCCAUCUCGUUGACAAAACCAAACCAGAUGUCAGCGGAAAAGCCAAUAUACAACAACAGCAGAGAAAGUAGUAUUUAUCUAAUGCUUUUAGCUUGGCGAAGAUAGAAAUGAUCGAUCCGAACAGCAAAUGAAGUCAAGCGCUUCUUCUAUCUCGUUCGCUCCCUCAGAAUCUUCAUGCCAACGUACCUGUCGAAACACAACAACAGGAAAUUAGUCUCUGUCUUUUAACAGUUUCUUUUAAUCAAUCACCAUUGAACUCACCGGCCCAGCAUUAAAAGAGUGGCUUGAGGAUUAGUUCCAGGUGACACUGUGAAUAUUGAACCAUCAACAACUCUAAGCGCCUGAAUUCCCAGAACCCUGAAGUUUCUGUCAACCACCUUUCCUACGAGGCAGCCGCCAUGGUAAUGCCAUAUGGUAUUGACCGUUCGACGACAGAACUCUCCCAUCAGCCUGUCGUUCGAUAGAUCAACAGGCAAUGGUGGUCCUAUGUACCUAAAAUCUCGAUCCCCAAACAACUGAGAGAACUUGAAAUCCUCCAUGGAGCGGCUUCUAAGUACAUCAGCAAUCUUUCUCGUCCCAUUUACGCAUCUCUCAGUAUCAGCAGGGUCACUGAAGUAAUUGAACCUUACUAUAGGGUUCACCCUGACAUCGGUUGAUGCCAAUCUGAGAGAACCAGCUGACAGGGGUCCAACAAUCUUCUCCAUCAAGGUUGCAACGGUAAAAUAGACGGGAGAAGGCGGAGUCCUAGAGAAAAAAUUGUGAGCACGGGAAGCAAAUGGAAUAGCGUUUGAGGCAGCUUCAAGAUAAGCCCCAGAAGAGGUAAUUCCCACCACCUGUAUCAAUGAUUGUUCAAGAGGCACCGGGGGCACAAUGGAAAUGCCAUUUCUUGGAUUGUCAUAUAGGAACUGACCCACGUAAGGAUGGUGAUGCACUACAGGUAUUCCCCACGAGGAGAGAUAAGGCCUUGGUCCAAUCCCACUCAAGAGCAGAAGCUGUGGGCUGCCAAUAGCUCCUGCAGAAAGCAAAACUUCUCCCAUCUCCCGCAGCAUUGCAUGGUGGAACCGACCCGUCUUGUCUCUGAAUACCACCCCAAUCGCUGAUUGUCUGGGAGCUGCAGAAGCCGGUGAAGAAGCGAAAAGAACCCUCUCAACACUAGCGUAUACAGCCACCUUAAUAUUAGAAGGCUUUGCAUAGCUAAGAAGAUCAGCAGCACUGUGCCUCCUACCAGCGCUAUCAAAAGUGGAACCCCCAAUCUUGGUGCCUACAACAUGGUCCAAAGCAAACCCAUUGUAAGGACCGAUUCCAGCCUCCAGCAAUCCAUCCCUAAUGGCAGAUUGCCAGAUCCUGAGUUCAGGCCUGAACACAAUGGCCUUCUCAACCCACUUAUAGGAUUGAUUAACCACCCGAAGAUCCCAGUUGAUUAGUGAAUUCCUGAAGAAAUCCGGGUCGGCUCUGCUGUAGAAACCAGCAUUAAUUGCGCUACUGCCUCCAAGAACUCGGCCUCUGGCGUUGGGAACACCGUCUUCAGAAGUAAAAGCUUGAGCAGGGGAAUCAGUGGCAUCAAGAUCGACGAGAGUUGAGAGGAAACCUUCUUGGGUCAUCAGAUUAGGCAUGCCAUAAGGAACACCGCCUCUUUCUAGAACAAGAACUCGAAAAUUCUCAGACAAUGUGGCGGCCAGAGGACAGCCGGCGGUGCCUCCUCCAACAAUGAUGUAAUCAUAGUAAUCCUCCGAUGGCAUCUCCGUGGCAUUGAACACGAAACCCAUGUAGCUUGGACCUGAAAAACGGCAAAAAUGUGAAUCAUCAUAGGUCAAUUAUUUCAGGAAAAUGGCUGAUUCAUCAGAAAGUUGAAAGAACUUGGAUGGUGUAAAAAAUGAGGAAUCCAGAGAGACAGAGAGAGAGAGAGAAUUACUCUGCUGGGAAAGUGAUUUCGGCAAAGAAAUGAAAGCGGCAACCAUUAAAAACGUCAGAAUUGGAGAGUAAGAGUAAGGAAGUUUAGCCAUUGUUGCCUGGUGACGAAGAAAGAUUGGAUUUAUUUAUGUUUUUUUCUUUUUCUUGGGUGUCGUUUUUUUUUUUGUUUUGGAAGAGGGGGGGGGGGUUUCUUGAAAAGCAGUUGGUGAGGCAGAGAGGAAGGGCGGCGGUGGGUUUUGUUUGAGUUGUUGGAUUCCGGUAAAAGCAGCAGAGGGAGGAGGGACUAGGGAGUGGAGAAAAGAGUCACUGCAGACGUAUGUUUUUGGCGGGAAAUUCAGUUAGUUUAGUUAGCAUCAUCUCUCAUCAGGGAACGAACCACACCGCCUAUUGUAUCGGAUUCGGUGGCGUAGGAAAGGCCAAAUUAUCAUAUUCUCAGAACGACGUCGUUGGUGUGCUGACUCGUACUAGUACCGUGUGAUAUCCAGUUGGGAUCCUCUAUGCCACUACUCGGAGCAGUUGGGAUCCUCUAUGCCACUAUUCGGUGCCAAAUCUAGUGCCAAUCCUACUUAUCACGUGAUGGUAGAAGAAAUUUAAAUAAAUAGCACAUGACAAAUAUAAAAGUGACACUGAAUUAUCACUGAAAAAGUGGCACUGAGGAUCCCGUGUGAUAUCAUAGGACUAUUUAAAUUCCACCCCCAACCUUAAAACCCAAUGAAAAAAGCGAAAAAAAAAAUAAGUUAUACCUAUUCCAAGAGAAGAAAAGAGAAGAAGGGUGACUGGGGGAGCAAUAAAGGGAAUAACAAAAAUGUUUGGGCUAGGCCCAUCAUUUAGCAAACAGGUCCACGAUUGUAAAAAAACAAUCCAGUGGCCGGAGUUCCUGUCUCGACAGUACAGUUGCGGUGUGGAUCAUAUUUGGCCAGCCGCUCGCCUACAAUUUGUACAGUUACAAGAUUUUUUUUUUUUUUUUUUUCCUUUGUACAGGACGGAGCAGACGUUCAGGUUUCUAAUGACCAGUAGUAAAAUAGAAAGGGCUGAGUUGGGAAAGGGUGUUGGGUAUUCAUAGCUACAUACAUUUGAACUCCAACCCUCGUACACCAAAAGUAGGUGGUGAUUUGAAUUUCAUGUGUCGACUGGACAGACACCAAUUGGCACUUUAGCUGAAGCUUUUGGUUCUGCAAUAAAAUUGUCUUCGUCCAGGUAUUUUCCUUUUUCAAUUUUUUCUUGCUCUCCCCUCCCCUUUCUCUAAAUGCUGCCUACUACUAAAAAUUGUACCACAAUUUCUCAUCUUUAUGUUGUUCAACGGACAAGAUUAAGAAAUCAUAAGUAAAAAGGGACAACAUUAAAAAAAGAUGGAAACUUUUGAUUAGGGUUUUAUAUUUCGAUGUUUGUUUUCCUCUAAAUUCGUGGCCGUGGAUGCUACUCAUCACUCUAUCUGUUGAGAUAUCAUACUCUAUUUUAUGGGUAUUGAGGACAUACUGAGUUUGCUUCGGAAAUUGGAAAUUAUCCUGGCUGCCCAUGUUGUCGCUCUGUAUCUGUAGAAAGAUCAAAUUUUGUGGAUAUAGAGACAUAACUUAUUUUGCCUCUGAAAUUGGAAGUUAUUCGACCCAUGUUCUGAAGCAAUUCUGCGCCUUUACACCACUAAUUAGUGCUAGACGCACUGCCAUAUUGUUACCAAAUGAUUGAACCAAUACAUUGAGUUAAUUGACCAAUUGAUUGUACGCUUUCGGGAGGUAAUUGAGUUCAUGCCUUGAUCUGGUAGCAUCCAAUUGAAUUUCAUACUGUGAUCUGGUUGCAUCUUUUCUUAUACGGAUAGAUAUGUGGCAAGUACACUCUGCUUUCCUGAUAGUUGCAAAUGAAGAAGUAUUAACUCUUUUGUGAAACACAGUUCUCAUAGUAUAGUCAUUAACAACUUUGUAGUGGACGGAAAUUCAGUCAAUCCAAUGCCUAAUGUCAUUAUGGAAAUCUUUCCUCUAGAAAUUUAAUUUUUGUAAUUGUUAAGAUAUUGCAUUUUUGAGGAUUCAUGUCUUGGAUCUGUAAGCUUGGCUUGUCAAUUGAAGACUUCCUGGACAAGGAUGGAUUUAAUAUAAACAGCAUUUCUCUAGGUCUUCAGAAUUGGAUAUCAUGAAUUUUUUUGUUUUAGAAUUGAUGGAAUCUUACUUGUUAUGAUCUUGGUUAAGAUUUUCCCAUUUCACAUGGAUUUGAACGACCUUAACAAGGUCUGGGAAGUCAAACCUUUAAGGAGGACUCGAGAAAAUGAGGCCAGGCAAAUUCUUGAAAGAGUAGCUAAACAGGUGCAACCCAUUAUGCGCAAACGGAAUUGGAAAGUCAAAGUUCUUUCUGAAUUCUGGUAAUGAUUUUGCUUUACUUUUCCACAUUCACAUCUCCAGUUCAAGGCAUUUUCAGCAUUUGUUGUGCCACUUUGCUGAUCAAAAGAAUUUGGUUUGCAGCCCAGCAAAUCCGUCUCUUUUAGGUCUUAAUAUAGGAGGGGGUGCAGAAGUUAAGCUGAGAUUGCGCCGACCGAACAAUGAGUUGGAUUUCUUCCCAUAUGAUCAGAUUCUUGAUACCAUGCUUCAUGAGCUCUGCCACAAUCAAUAUGGUCCCCACAAUGCCGAUUUUUACAACCUUUUGGAUGAAAUUAGAAAGGUGGUCGUUUAUCUUAGUAAAGUGAAAAUUCCAACUUGAAACUGCUUCUCCCUUAAGUACUCCUAGUAAGUAUUUGCACAAUUGGAAAUUUCUUUCCUGCUGUCUGGGUUUCGGAAUGGCAGGAGUGCAAAAUUUUAUUUAUUUAUUUAUUUUUUGGGGUGGGGUGGGGUGGGAGAGGACGGUGAGAGCUGGUUUCAAUUACCAUUCUUUCAUAUGUUUAUGUUAGUACUGGGAAAGAUCCAACUCUGAACCUUUUUUUUUUGGCUGAAGUUCUCCUAUUUUGUCAUAAAUGGGAAUUUCUUUUCGUGAUGUCCUGGCACCUUCCUUUAGGUUUUGGCAGGCUGGGAGUUACCUUUUUUGGUUUUUUUUUUUUGGGGGGGGGGGGGGAUUGGUGGGGAGGUUUGUGGGAGGGGUGACACCUGGCUUGAUUUUCCAUUUUGCAGUUCAAUAUGUAGUUCCGUAGUCUCAAUAUGAGUGUCGAUUGUUAGUUUUUCCUUCAAUUGACUUGCUAGAUAAUUCCCCUACAACUGAUUUACCUAAUUAACAAUUUUCAGGAAUGUGAAGAUCUUAUGGCUAAGGGAAUUACAGGCACUGGGCAAGGAUUUGAUCUCCCUGGUAGACGACUGGGUGGCUUUUCCCGUCAGCCUCCUUUGUCAUCACUCCGGCAGUCUGCAUUGGCAGCUGCAGAAAAUAGAGCUCGGCGUGCAGCUAUUUUGCCAUCUGGACCAAUGCGACUUGGUGGUGACAGUAGCAUUAAGGCCGCCCUGAGCCCAAUACAAGCUGCUGCUAUGGCUGCAGAAAGGAGAUUACAUGAUGAUGUGUGGUGUGGUUCCAAAUCUGCAGAAAGUGAAGGAUCUUCUGAAAGUUCUCAAUCCUCUACUGUGCGCGAUAAUGAAUCUGAUCUGAUGUCAAAUCUUGGCAACGCUCAAAGCAGUGGUACUAAAGAUCUUCAGUUGUCGUGGCAGUGCAGCACUUGCACCUUAAUAAAUCAGGUAAAUGUGCCCAUUGCUUUUUCCUGUACUGCAGAGCCAUGGAGUUUUCUCCAAUCAAUUUUCUAGAAACUGCCGUGUAAUUUUAAUUUACAUGCUAAUGGCUGUAAAUGUCUUUUUUUUUUCCAGUUGUUGGAUAUCUGUCUAUCCAGAGCUUAAAUGCAAAAAUAGAAAAAUAAGAAAAACAAAAAUGCAUCUGAUAGUGUCUGCGUAGGUUCUUACAUGACAACCAUAUCUCUUCGUUAAUGGAACGGAUAUAAAUUCAUCUCAAGACCAGUCCACCUCGACCUUUUGCCUCUUUGUUUCAUUAAUUAGGUACUCACUUUCCAGAUUUAAAUUUUACAGCCCCCGGCUCUUAUUUGUGAAGCUUGUGGAACGAAGAAAUGCGCAAGCAAUGGAACAAAGUCAAAGGUUUGGUCUUGUAAGUUUUGCACUCUAGACAACAGUGUUGAGGUUGAGAGGUGCUUGGCUUGUGGGGAAUGGAGAUAUUCGUAUGGUCCACCCACAGUACCUCUGUUGGAAAAUGCAUAGGUACCUGGAAUUGGGAAGUUUAAGUAUAUUAGGGAGAAAAAGAGACGCAUUUUCCGCAAGCACUCUACACCAUGCUGGUUAAGAAGCCUUCAGAUCCAAUCCUUGUCAGUGAACUCCAAUUGCACAGAGGUCUGCAUGGGGUAGUCAACCUGGGCCAACAACAGCUGUGUAGUUGUCCAGCAUGUUGAUGUAUGAAAGCCAAGAAUUUUGUUACUUAUUCUGCCGUUGAAAAAAAUGUCCACGUGUCUCUCACUUCCAAUCGUAAGACACUCUGUAUUUGCUACAUAAAGUGUGGAGAUACGAAUGUAAAAAUUAUGCUUUAGCUGCGAAAAGGACAGUUGUUUGCUUUUCGUGUUGUGAAUUAUAGGCUACCUUCCAUCAGUUAUUACUUUUCUUCUUAAAGAUUGGGCUCGCUCCUGGUAACAAGCUGCUUGCGGGGAUAGCACUGGAAAAAGGGCAGGCUGUUUUCUUUCCUUGUAUGCUUGGAUCUGAAUCUUGAAUAUAGUAACACACACACAGUUAGUUACCUUGAACAAUGGUUAGCGUUCAUUAGUGGGGCAACAAAAAGGGGAAACUGCGCGCGUUUGUUACUUAUUUUGGGAUUUUGGCAAGAGACAGGAUUACCAUCAGAGUAGCAGGUUUCGUUGGAGGGUCUGAUAGACAAGCGCAAAAGGAGCUGGAUGGAUGGGUUUUAGUUAGAGCCAGGCAUAGGUUACUCGGACGCUAUGCUGGAAGAAGAGCAGGAGUGGGAAGUGCCCAGUUAUUGAUCAGAGGGAUUUAAAUAAUAACGGUGGUGUCGUCUCGUCAUGGCAACAAUGUGGGCUGGUUGUAAAGGAAAGGAUCAGAGUCGGACAGAAGAAAUGCAGCAAGAAAGAUAUUUGGUAGAAGCAGCAGCGUAUAGAGAGACGGAUCAACUCAAGUAAGGACAUCUUCUGAAGCAAGGAGUCGGGAGGAGAAAUCGAACGGAUGGACAUCUGGCCUCUCUGGACCUUACCACAUAGUACGCCGUAUAAUCAUACAUACAGUAUGACGGGAAGUCUGCUUCUGCAUCAUCAUCCUGUUUUUCAAAGGCGGUAGAGCCAAGUGUAAUCAAUCCUCUAGGACGGGACCCACAAGCACCAGUCACCCUCGUAAACCAUACGCUUCCUAUCAAUCAAAGAGUAAGUCUCAGUGUGAAGAGGUUUUGGGCAGUUGGGGGAUCGAGAAUUUCUGUCCAAAAAAGAAAAAAAGGGAGUUCCCGGCCCGGUGGAGCGGCAACCCAUCCAUUCCUUGAUCAAUAAGAAUUAGUAAGCCUGCGUCACUUUUGUCAUUGUUCGAAAGGUCAACUCCCGUAUGUCCUUCCUUCCUUGCUUUGACCAUCACCUCUCCAUCCAAUCUCGAAUAUCUCUCCAUCUCAUCUCUCUCUGGGGACUGACUGCGGAGAGAAAAUAUAUCUUUUUUUUCCCCGAAACGAUAGAAGGCAGGCGGAGAGGAAAUAUAUCAAUGCAUCAAAUUUGUUGAUCAAUUUCGUGUGCGCGCGCGCUCAAUUAUAUUAGGUAAGGACGCGCUCACACACCAACCCCCACCACCAAAAAAAACAAAGCACAGCACGAAAAACAAAAUGCUGACCGCAACGUGCCAUCUAUUUUUCAAAAUGAAGUUCACUGCUAAGUAGUCCACCGGUACUGCUACAGGCAGGUAUACAAAAUAAAGAGGAGGAGGAGAAGGUAAAAGCCAUAAACAACAAGGGAGGGGUCGUUUCUUUGCUUCUUCCUUUUUUUGCUAUUUUUUGUAUAUAUUGUGGCGACUGAGGAGUAGGAGGGGGGGGGGGGCGGGGAACUUUGGGGGGCGGUGUGAAAGGGGGACGUAGAGGAAUCUUUUUUGGACAAGGCAGAAAAAAGGAAAAUGGAGGGACCUGAGAGGGAAGACGGGCUUUUCAAACUUCCGACCAAAGUUUAAGUUUGACCUUUAGUCCUUCGUUUCAAAUCCUCUCUGUCUCUCUCGUGUUUAUACGUACAACUACUACUACGUGCGUGUAUAUUGAUGCAUUGAUAAUUUAAACAAAUCUUUGACUUGCUUGAUGAAAUUUGUUAUCAAUUUGAUUGAAUUAUCGAUGCAAUAAUACAUGUGAUAGUUGUAUAAACACGGGAUAGAGAUGAUUUCAUAAUAAAAGAUUUGAAGCGCUCAGCCUUAUAUGCCACUCCGCUACUAAUUAUUAUUAUUUUUUCUCAAAAUUAAAUUAAACAAAGAGAAAAGGUUUAGUGUAAGUCAACUCCUCUGCGCUGUCCGGGGCGGGGCUUCUUCGAUACUCACUGACCUCUCUAAAGUCCAAGGAGCCUCUGCAGAAACUUCCUCCAUGUAACGUGCAGCAGCAGCAGCAGCAAAUGUAGCAACAUUCGUCUGUGAAUUUGUAACACCAAAACUUUUUUUUUUUUUUUUGCUUUAAUAAAUUUGCAAAUUGUAAAUAUAAAUCAUGUAGAUACUGCAAAUAUGUUGGUUGGUACGCACUUGAGAUGAAAUUUGAUUCAGUGGUAAACUAUACGCACAAUUCAAUUUAAUAAUAAUAUGCAUCUAUCAAACAAUAGUUAUUUUUUCCAUGCAACCAUUCUAGUUAGAUUUGAUCCGCCAAGAUAUUUUUCACGAUUAACCCCAUCAGACAAUUCUAAAAAACAGACAGCAGUAUUUUUUAGUAACUCUGAACUCUCUCCCUCCCUAGUAUUCAAUUUUUUUAUUUACUAUAGUAAUUGGCUAGUUUAAAGAACGUAAAAGCCAAAAAAAAAAAAAAAAAAAGAGCCAGGUACUCCAAAUUUUAAGGUAAAAAAAAAAAAACCCCGUUGACUCGAUAAACUUUCUGAGUCUCUCGAAGUUUGCUUGGCUGCGAAUUGUGUGACCGUUCCAUCCACACGUUCAUUAAAUGGAGCUACUACAUUUUCUACUCUUUUUAGAUUCUUACGAGUGUCGUUUCAGCAAGCAUGCCAAAUUAGUUCCAGCACCUAGAGUUGCUCCAAUUAUCUUCCGCGCACCACCCCCCCAGCCCCCCGGGGCCCCCCUCUCGCCCCUUGUCUUAAAAAAGUACAAAAAAAAAAAGAAGAAGAUAUAGUACCAGUAGUUGGUACCAUGUUGUCUUCAGACGAAUAAACUCUCUAUAGAGCAAUUGAUCUCUACGCUACCAAUUGCUACCAAAGCUGUAAUUAAUUACCCAUAACUUUGCUGCUAUUACACCAUAUGCCACAUUUUGCUGCUAUUCUAUCCUAUCGGUCACUUGGUGGCCUGGCAAUAAGUACCAUCAUUCAUGCACAUGAAAUCAAAGCCCUUUUUUUUUUUUUUCCUCCUCAUCUUUGAUACAGUAGUACUCCUAUAUGAGAGAAAUAAAUGAGAACCCCAAAAAAAAAAAAAAAUUCAAACCUAAAGUACUAUUACUACUACUACUACUUCUACUUAUAAAAUUAAAAAUAAAAUACAACUAGCAAAAGUUUCUCUCUCCUGCCAAACCUAAAGUACUCGUAGCUUUCUUUCUCUUUCACGACUCAAUCAGACAGAAGUCACCCUUGUCUUUCUCUCCUUCCAAGAACCUUCCGCUCUCUCUCCCUCUUGAGGCUCUUCUCAUUCUCUUCCCGUACUCGAUUUUCUCUCGCUUCCAUUUCCUUCCUCUCCCCUAAUUGUACUCCUCCAUUUCCCUCCCCCACCACCAUGGGAUGGGGCUGCCCUCUUUCUUGCAGAAACAACCCCCACGGUAACAAUUAACAACCCCAUCCACCCUGAUCACCCGCCCAAUAAACAAUUAUACCAGUUGCUCAAACACGAACCCCGCCCCCUCCCCUUCUUUCGUCCCAAGCCUUUCUUUUGCUAGAAAAAUUUUAGUACUACUACUUUCUAGUCCCAGAUUUUAUUUUGUAUUUUUCUCUGGGUUUUCCUUUUUUUCUUUUUAGGGGGUUCGUUUAUAGAAAUUCCAUUUCAUUUUUGUCAUCAAUCAAUAACCUAGACAUCUAUAUCUUCAACGAAAGACAACCCAAAACGAACACGGGUGAGGGGAUUUAUUCCGGACCAAUUGAAAACUGGGGGUGGGGUGGCAGUAUCCGUCCGUCCGUUUGUUUAUUGAUACAGUGCUAGUUUUUCCUCCUUUUUUUUUCGGGUGGAGAGGUUUUGGAGGGUGGUUUAGAUAAUCGAUCAGUCGGUCGGUCGGUCAGUCAAAUCAAUCCAAACACCUCUAGAGGAGAGCUAAUCAUGCGACCGAUUCAACCAUCGCCGCCAGCCGCCUCCUCCGCGGCUACCCCUCCCUCUUCCUCCUCUUCCUCCUCCUCCUCCUCCUCCUCCCCCGCAUCAAAUCGGAACCGCUCGCGGCGGCGCCCCGACCUUACUCUUCCGCUUCCCCAGCGAGACCCCAAGUUAGCUGUCCCCCUUCCCCUCCCGCCCACCUCCGCCCCAUCCUCCUCCACCUCCUCCUCCUGCUUUUCCCCUCCCCUAAACUUCUCCCAGCUGGAGAGGAUCAAUCGCAUCGGCAGCGGCAGCGGCGGCACCGUCUACAAAGUCCUCCACCGCCCCACCGGCAAACUCUACGCCCUCAAGGUCAUCUAUGGCUACCUCGAUGACUCUGUCCGCCUCCAGAUCUGCCGCGAGAUCGAGAUCCUCCGCGACGUCGACAACCCCAACGUGGUUAGAUGCCACGACAUGAACGACCACAACGGUGAAAUCCAAGUCCUCCUCGAGUACAUGGACAAGGGCUCCCUCGAGGGGAUCCACAUCCCCCACGAGCCCUCCCUUUCCGAUCUCACUCGCCAGAUUCUCUCCGGCUUGUACUAUCUCCACAAGCGUAAGAUCGUUCACCGGGAUAUUAAACCCUCCAACCUCCUCAUCAACGCCAAGAGGGCCGUUAAAAUCGCCGACUUCGGCGUCUCCAGAAUCCUAGCCCAGACUAUGGAUCCCUGCAAUUCCUCCGUCGGCACUAUUGCUUACAUGAGUCCCGAGAGAAUCAACACCGAUCUGAAUCAUGGCAAGUACGACGGCUAUGCGGGUGACAUAUGGAGCUUGGGCGUCAGCAUACUGGAAUUCUAUUUGGGAAGGUUUCCGUUUGCGGUCGGCAGGCAAGGUGAUUGGGCCACCCUCAUGUGCGCCAUUUGUAUGUCGGACCCUCCGGAGGUGCCGCAGACGGCGUCCAGAGAGUUUAGGGAUUUUAUUGCUUCUUGUCUCCAGAGGGACCCUGCUAAGCGGUGGACCGCCGCGCAGUUGUUGCGCCAUCCCUUCAUCCUUCAGUACAGUUCUCCCAGCUCCUCCUUGGCUAGUGCUAGCUCCGCCAAUAAUCAAACCCAGGUGCUUCAUCAGACCCACCAAUUAUUGCCUCCUCCACGUCCGCAUUUUUCUUCUUCUUGAUUUUUCUUGCCAGCCCCGAGGAAGAAAAGAAAAGUUUUUUUUUUUAAAUUUUACCCCCCCCCCCUCUCUCUCUCUUUUUUAUUGCGAGUUUCAUUGUGUAAGUCUAUUUUCAUGAAAUGGAGAAAAUUACUGUUGACUGAUGUGAUGGAAUGGAUAGUGGAUGAUGUAUUUUAGGCAAAAAGAGAAGGAAUAGAAAUUUGGCGAAAUGGGCAAAGUUUUAAUUUGAAAGGUUGUGUUUAGCUUAUGGUUCAGUAUCAAUCAUUCAAAUUUGCCUUUUGAUGAUGUUUUGCCAUAAGAGGAAAAUCUUUACUUUCGAGAUUAGCUUGAGCUUGCUGCUGUGCUAGUUCUUCUCAUUUGAGUAAGCAAUUUGAUGAUCCAUUGUAUUCCAGCGCUGCUGGAUGGAUACUUUUGGUACAUGGCAUUUUGUGCGUCAAUCGUGAGCACGAAUGAUUGAUGUGUAAAGUGGCAAAUAAUUCUGUACCGGGAAUCUUAGCUUGAGAAAAGAAUGGCAAGGUUGAUUCCUGUAGUUUGAUAAUUGUAGCUGGAAAUUGGUAUAUUUUUAUCAGUUUGACUUGGAACAUUCAGUUUUUAAGUCCUAUGUUGGGGCUAUGUUUGCAUGCAUAGCCCGGGAUUAGGUAGUGCAGAGCAUUGCUUGAGUUAGGUUUCAUUUGCCUUUUGAGAAUAUCUUGUAUGUGAAUGCGGAAGAACCUAUUACUUGGUGGUGGUGUAUCAAUUUCUCUUUUUAAGGGAGGACAAUUCCAAUAACGUGAAAAGUGAAACCUUUCUUUUUGUUUCCCAGACACGUGCAAAUUAGCUUUCCAUUUUUCCCCCCCUUGGUUUCCUAGUGAGAUCAGUGCGCAUGUUCAUAAUGCCUUUCCUUUACUUCUUAUGGUUUUCAUUUAUUGGUGACACAAAUUUUGUCUUCUGGUGUUGUCUCGUGUAUAACGGCUUUCUUACUGUUGUUUUGUAAUUCAUGCACUUGGAAGCUGGAUUACUCUUUUGGGUUUGGCAAGACUGGCUUCUUAAAAGUAGUCAUUUUAGUUCAAUUACUUGGUACUACUAUACUAGCAUCUGCUGGGACAUUCUUAAAUUAUAUGGAUCUUCAAGGUUCGUUCUUCUUUUUCUUUCUUGCGUUUAAGGCUGUUCUACUACUACCAUUAUUUUUCUUCUGGGAGGGAAGGAGGAAGGUGGGUAUUUUUUCGAUUUUUGAAUGGGGAGGGGGGAGUUUCCAACACUUUUCUGGUCUAGGGACCAGGAAAAGUCAUUUGGCCUUGGUUGGUGGGGAAUUGCUCAUAGAAACUAAAGUUGAACUGUUCUUCUGCUGUAAUAAGCAGUAUAUUGUUAUGAAAUUUUAGUGGGGAAUACGGAUCCCUUGUUUUAAGUUUAAUAAAAAAAAAAAAGAAGAAGAUUCUCAUUGGGCAUUAAUUAUGUAACGGGACAAAAUGAAAGCGGUAGGUAAAUGCCUAGCAGGUGAUUAAUGAAAGUUUUGAGAUUGCCGGAUUGUGUCCCUUGGAUGAAUGACCAAUUCAACAACACCAAGACUGAAGGCAGGGCAGCGUCAGACGUCCAUGAGCAGAAUAAGACGGUAAAACUCAUUGAUGGAAGUGCAGUGUCCCAACAAAUCAGAGAGAGAAAGCAUUCUAGCCUGGGAGCCAGUUCUGGGUCAACGUCGACAAAUAUUCCUGCGUCAACAUUAUGUAAAAGUGACUUCUAAACAGUGGCGGGGCCUGAAAAAAUUUUUGAUUGGGCAAAAGUAAUUCUAAAAUUUUUUACCUGCUAUUUUUUAAAUUUUUUAAGAAAAAAAAUUUACUAACAAGUACAAAUGAUAUAUAUAUAUUUCAUAAAAAAUAUCAAAAAAUAAAUUCAAAAUUAUUAAUGUAAUAAUAAUUUUAUUUUAAUAGUAAAUUAAAUUAUUUAUAAUUGUUCAUGACAAGUUUUCAUAUUUUGAUAACGGUUUACAACCUUUUAAUUUGAAACUUCACGAAAUAUAUAUAUUUUUAAUAUAAGUAAUUAAAUAAUUAUUAAUUCUAGGGUCUUUCAUUCUAUUUUGUAAUCGAUUUUUUACUGUAUUCAUCAUUGAAAAAAUCCUUUCUACGAUAACUGUAAUAACAGGUAAAAUCAAAGACAACUUUAAAAGCAUAUAAAUCAAUAGAUACAUAAAACUUCAGGGGGCAUACUUGAAAUUACAUCAAAUUUUUAUAGGUAUUAUAGAAAUUUAAGGGAGGCAGUGGGGUCUAUAAACCAAUAUAUACAUAAAACUUCAGGAGACCAGUUGAAAUUACAUCAAAUUUUUAUAGGUAUCAUAGAAAUUUAAGUUACAUCAAAUUUUCAUAGGUAUCAUAGAAAUUUAAGUGUAAAUCCGCCAUUGCUUCUGAAUGAUGAAUCCUCUUACUACUCCUGCAGUCUCCAGUUGUUGCAUUAUGAAAUGACACGUAAGUAUCAAAGGAACUAUCCAUGCAACUGUCAAAUCUUAUAUUUGAGGAGGAAGAGAGUAGGGCGUGGAGUGAUCAAACAUACGCACUAGUAGACAGUAGUACUUGUUUCCUCCUCCUGUUGAAGCAGAGAGCUCUGAAGGAGGAAGAAGCUAAUGAUCUUUUCUGACUGUCGAUUUUGACCGCUCGGAAUUCAAAAGUACCACGUGCCAUACGUUGAUGGAAUAAACCGUCCAAGACCGGGUUAUGUACCAUAAUAUUUCAAUUUUUUUAAUGUUUGACAGGCAAGUUUUUUGCUACAAGUUUUUUAAAAACUUUAACUACAAUAAUAUCAAAAACUUUUCAAAUUUUUUAAACUAUACACUUCAAAACAUUCAAAAAUUUACACAUUUCAAAAAUUUUGUAGAAAACUUCUAAAGUAAAGUUUUAGACAAACACCCAAAAAACUCACUUGUCAAACGGGGCCAUAAUAUAGACUGUGAUAAAACUGGCCGAGUUUCCAGAUGGUAGUGGUUUAUGACUUUGUGUUCGAACGAGAUGGUGGUUAAUCGCAGGGGCAUGUCCUCCGCAAUAUUUUGUAAAAGUUAAAAAAGGCCUGUUCUCUUUGUCGUUAAAUUUUGUGAAGUCAGAAACGAAUGAACUAGUACGAUUGUGGAACGUUGAGUUGGAUUAGGGCCUGUAUACUUUGCUUUAGCUUUUCUACCUUGAUUGUGACAAAGCCGUUUUUAAAAGGCCCAAAACAAACACACACACGGACUUCCAUACGGCCGACUGACUCACUUAUAAUAAUUGGGCUAAUAUGAAUGGACGAAGACAGAGAGCCCAACUUGUACUUUUCAACUUUCUGACCUUCGGUGAAGUUAAAGAGCAGAUAGAAAAUUUGGACCUGGGGCUUCAGUAAAUUGUAGGUGUGGAGAAUCCCGGACGAUGCAAAUCUGAGUGCCGAUUAUUAUUAAUCUGCAUAACUUGUAAAAAGUCUUGCAAUGCAUAUUAUUAUUAAGGAUUGAUUAUCGAGAUGACAAGCUCCAGUGCAGUACACGACUCGUGUUAAGUACUACUACUAGCAUUAGUUUUCAGAGUAGUGUGCGAUGCUGAUGGACAUGCACGCUCCGCCGUCAAUCAAAUCUAUUAAUUCCAACUUUGCUAAUGCACAUUACAGUGUAUGGAACUUGAAGUCACUCGUGACGCCAAAUCUCUCUGCCACUGUCUUUACAAGCGUCGAAUUUGGGGCGUAAACGGUGGUCAGCUCAAUCGUUCGUAUCGAUUUUUUGUCUAAUUUCACAAGAUGCACCUUACUUUCUUCGUGAUGUAAUUCACUUUUAACAAAAAGUAAUUAUAGAACCUAUUUUUGUGAACCCCGUACGUGACAUUAAAUAUGAUGAACAUGUAUUUAUUUUAGCCUUACAUUUUUUUUAUGACUAAUCUUGGCCAUUAACUGCUCAGGGACGGUCAUUCUAAUGUGUACUUUAUUAAGAUAUCUAUUAUCUCAAACUGGUGUCCCAUUUGACAAAUGAGUUUUUUAGAUAUUUGUCUAAAAUUUUGUUGUAACUAACUCCAGAAUUUGCAAGAAAACUUUUUCAAGCGUGUAAAAACUUUCCUUUUUUCUUUUUCCUUUCUUUCUUCUACUCUUCUUCUUCCCCAUCCCACCACUCUCUCGCCCCAAAACUGGCCGCCGUCGAUAGCCUUGUUUUUUCUUCCCUCUCUCUCCUCUCUCCCUUUUCCUCUUUCUCCUUUCUUAUAUCUUUCCUCUUUAUCCCCUCAUCUCCUCUCUCUUAUGCCGCUACCCUUUUCUUCCCCUUUCCUUUCACCCUGGUCGUAGGACUAGAUGUGGCAAGGUAAGGGAGAGGGGAGUGAGAGAGGGAGGGAGGAGGAAGAGGAAAGACGGUGGAGGAGGAAAAGAGGGAGAGAGAAAAAAAGAAAAUAAUGGUAGUGCUGGUACUGACAUCAACAAUGAUAAUAGUAGCUGAGGUGGGGAAUGGAAGAAGAAGAAAGAAAAAAAAUUGGAUAUUUAAAAAUAUGCAUUUUAAAAAUUUUGAAAAUGGUCACUAAACUAUUUAAAAUGGCACGAGUUAGUCAUUGAACUUCUUUUUUUUAGGCCAAAAAGUUCAUUCAACUCCCUAAAACGAGCCUUUAGGAUCACUUUAUGCUAAAUUAACCAAAUUUGCAAGUUUUCAGGGGCAAAAAUAUUUAAAUAAUGCCACAUUGCUCUCCUUACCAUCCCUGCCGCGAUAGCACCCUCUAUCAUCCUAUGAUUUAAAAUUUGAGCUGAUCUGACUGAUCGAAUCAAGAAAUCAAGCCAUUUGGUCUAAAUCUCUUUAAAAAAUCGAUAGUUAAAUACUCAGUCAAACUCGAUCAAAAUUUGGGCUUGAUUCGGAAUUGAUAAAUUUGAUUAGAACUGGGUUUUUUUGUCCCAAAAUUUCCAUUUUGAUGACUUUUUUUUUUUGGAAAAACAAGCACCAUGAAAUAGAUUAACCAGAAGCAAAGUAGCAUCAAGUAAAUGAGAAAGCAUAUUGUGUUUUGUGAGAAUCUAAUGCAAUAUCCUCUACACUAAAUUGAGGGAUUUUUUUAAAGUCACUGAGAAAGUGUAUAACUUCAAAAUAUCCAAACUAAAAAAAAAAAGAAGAAACCAAACUCAUUGCCAUCCUGACGACGUCUUCUUCUUCUUCACUUUUUUCCCCAUUCCUUUGAUCUUUGAACAACGCCAAGAAUUAGUGUCAAACAAAGUCAGAAACCUACAUUAGGAGAAAUUUUUCAUUCUCUAAAUUAACUAAGCCCGAUUUCAUGCAACUAAAUUUGAAAUAUUUGAAGUUAAAUAGGAGGAAAAAAUGGAAAAGAGCAAAGAAGGAAAGAGAACAAAGAGAAAGGAAAAAAGAAAAUAAUGAAGAAAAAGAUAGUUUUUAUAUGUAUUUGAUUUGUGUGGGAUAAAAGAAAAUAGGAGAGUUAUGGACCUUAUGGCGGAUGGAAAGAAGAAAAAACAAAGAAGAAGAAGCAAAUACAAGAUGAAAAGCAAAGGAAGGGGCGGCUAAGAAAACCAAGCAUUACGUUUAGUAUUUAUUAUCUUUAGAUGCCUUAAAAUUAUUUAAUAAAUUCAUUUUGACUCCACAUUGUUUUAAUAAAAUAUAAAAUUAACCUGUUAUAAUUUCUAAAUUACAUUUUUUACCUAUAGCUUUUAAAAUUUUUAAGUGAAAUGCUUCGGGUUAAGUUUAAACUCAUCAAACCUCUAUAUAAAGUUAUAAGACACCAAUUUCAGAAAUUUUUUUAUAUAUUAUACUGAUUAUAUAUUAUUUAUAUAUAUUUAUGAUAUACUCAUGAUGUCAUCCGAUUUGACAUCAAAGCUAAUGGAUUGAAUUCAUGAUCCCUAAAUGCUGAACGAGAAAAAUGCAACUUUUGUAUCCAAACUUUGGCCCAUGAGCAGUUUUAGUCUCCAAAUUUUGGAUAAAAAUAAAUUCGGUACCCAAUCUUUCAACUAUUGAGUACAUUUAGUAUUGUUGACGGAUUUUUUCCAAUUUUCUACCCAAAAAAGUCAUGUAAUAAUCAUAUGUUCGGCAACUAUUCUAUAAAAAAAGCCAAAAAAAAUGUAAAAAUAUCCUUUUUGACACUAAGUAUAAUGUAAAAUAUUCUUCUGAUACUAAGUACUUAGUUUAAAAACUAAUAAUUUUUUCAAGUAAAAUAUAUUUCUGACACUAAGUUUAAGGACUAAUAAUUUUAUCAAAAGGAUUUUACAUUUUUGGUAUUUUUUUAUACAAUAGUUGCCAGAUACGUGACUAUCAUGUGACUCUUUAUAAUAGCAAUUUGAAAAAAAAUUGUUAAGGGUAUUACAUGUAAUCAAAAGUUGAAAGUUUGAGUACCAAAUUUAUUUUUGUCCAAAAUUUGAGUACUAAAACUGCUUAUAUAUCAAAAUUUGGAUACCAAAUCUCUCUAUUUUUCUUGUGCUGAAUUCUGCCGAGUCAGCAGUCGGUGCUAGUUUCAAAACAUAAUAGCUGCCACCCCCUCAUGUUCUCUUUCCCCUCCACCAUUUCCCCUGCCACUUCCUUCUCUUCUUCCCGUCACCAUUCAUUAUCAAUGUCUCUUUUCAUUGGUUUUCUCCUUCUCCUUCCUAACCAUCGCCCCUUCCUCUUUUCUUUCCCUCCCUCCCUCCCUCUCUCCCAUCACUCGCACCCUUUCUCAUUCCAUCCCCUCUUUCCCUUUCAACAACCCCAAAGAGGAAAAGACGAAAGAAAGCAAUGUUUUAUCAAUAUCAUCAUUUUCACUAUUUCCUUGCAUCAAGAUCAUCAUCGUCAUGGGCAUCGCUUUCCUUUUUGUCUUCUUGUUUGAUAUGAGGCUGUGAUGACACUUCUCUUUCUCUCUGAGUUGUAAGUCGAGCAUGGAGGUCUUGUAACUUAACUAAGCAACCCCCUGUGUUGAAAUGGGCUCUCCAUGCUCAAAUACACUUGGGCAGCGAUAGCAACGCUCAUCCUCUUUGCCUGACUUUCUUGACAGAUUCGAGCCUUUCUUUUUUCUAUAUUUACUCGUAUAGUUUUAGCUUAACAGAAUGAAGUAGCCAAGAGAUGGGUUUUUGCUCCUUCUCUCUGCUUAGCUUGUGAUUUUCUUUAUUAUCUGGUUCAAGGAUUCUACCAGGUUUAUAUCCUAAAAUUCAGAUCUAGUCGCGGGGAUUGAGAGAGAUGAGGGGAUGGGAGGAGAGGAGAGAGAGUGCGGCGGUGGAGUCGUGCAAUAGCGGCGAAGAAGAAUGAGGACGGUGAAGAGGACAAUAAUUAAUGUUGUUGGUAUAUAUAUAAUUUUUUAUUAAUUGUAUUUACUUCCGAUGAAGUUUGGCCAAAAUACGUACUGAUUAGCUUCUAAAGUUUGGUUUUUCUUUUUUAAAGAAAAAUAGAGUAGUGUCAGACAAAAUAGGACAUUUUUACCCUUGAGAACUUACAAUAGCAGGUCAAGUUUGCCUCUUUUUUUUUUUUUUUCCUUCUGUUAGUUUACCGAUCAAAAUGAUUCUUUUAGGGAGGGAGUUGAGUGACCUUUUUAGUUAAAAUAAAAAAAAAAGAUUCUGUAACAAAUUCAGGCUAUUUUAAAUAAAUAGUUUUUACUCGAAAUUAUACCAAUAAAGAAUAAUCUCAUCAGGGACGCUGAAGCUGAUACGGGCUCUCGACCAAGGUGUACUUGAGCAAAACCAGCAGAGAGAAAUCGUACAAGUUUUUAGUGGUACGAUAAUGGAGUUGCCAAAAAAGAAAAUUAAUGACUACGGGCGGUUUGUGAUUGGUCAGGGUCUUCAACCCUUCGGCUCCACAUCUUGUGGUUUGUUUGGAUUGAGCAUUAUUUCUCCAAUUUUAUUUGCUUACAUCAUCGUUACAAUUUUUAAUAUACCUUUUUAUCUUCUCAAUUACCUUUUUAUCUCAUAUACAUCACAUCAUACAAAGUACUGCAGUAGAAAUAGGGAAAUUUGCCAAAUUGGUCCCUAACAUUUACCAAAAACACUUUUUUAGUCCCUAACAUAUAAAAUCAGCCAAAAUUGUCCUUCACAUUUAAAUUGUGAUCCAAUUUGGUCCUAAUGCUCGUUUUUACUCAUUUCUCCGGCUAAAAAUAGCACGCCCCUCUCACGUGGUCAUAUUUUCAUGGGCAAAAUUGGAAAACAAAAGCUUUCUUCUUUCUUCUUGUCCCCUGUUUCUUCUUCUCCAUCGCGACCGAGAGCCCUCAUCACCGCCGCCGCAUCCUCCGCCCCUCCAACCUCGCUUGUCCGCCGCCUCUCUCUACUGUCGCGCGAUCUCUGCUCCGCUGCCCUGCGCACUGCCCUCGUCUCUCUCUUUAGUCGACCGCAUCCUUCCACCAGCUCACCCGCGACCCCAGCGCACGCCGCCCGCUGCUCAGCGCGUCGCCACUGCGCGGCUCUCUUUCAUCCUCUGCCUGCCCCGACGCUGCAGCCCGCAUCCACGAGAAGCAGCCGCCGCCGCUGCUCGACGCCACUGGCGCGCGUCGCAUACCUCACCUCACCUUACUUCACUCCCUCUUUUGAUCACCUCCAAAUAUGCUUCUGUUCAGGUGAACUCAGUCACCGUUGUGGUGAACCUGUCCUUAGAGAAUCGAAGCAAGAUAAAGAUCGUGAGGUCAGGGAUCGUCCCCAGUGGAUCUGGGAUUUGUGUUUUCCAAUUUUGCCCUUGAAAAUAUGGCCACGUGAGAGAGGCGUGCUAUUUUUAGCCGGAGAAAGGAGCAAAAAUGAGCAUUAGGACCAAAUUGGAUCACAAUUUAAAUGUGAAGGACAAUUUUGGCUGAUUUUAUAUGUUAGAAACUAAAAAAGUGUUUUUGGUAAAUGUUAGGGAUCAAUUUGGCAAAUUUCCCGUAGAAAUAUCCCAAAUAACUUACCAUCCAAACAAACCCUGGUUUGGAUUGUCGGCGUACUAGUAGCAGGUACAGUAGUCUUUCUUUACCAAUAUACAGUCCUCAUUUUGCAGAGGUAGACAUUUUAGCACUAGGAUCUACGUAUCCGUCCGGAUUAUUUUCUCGUCCAUUGGCAAGUAGUAGUUACUACCAGUACUCUUAUCUUCAUUUUGAACUUUGAUGAGGAAGAGAGAUGAUCGGAUAAUUAUUAAUUCUCCUCCUCCUCCUGAAGUAUAUGGAGUACGUACUAUGUAUGCUACUUAGAUUGGUGGAUGCACAAUGAAGGACCAGGAUCCCAACAAAGUUCGUUCAUUUAUGGACAUUCAUUUUUAAAUAUUAUCAUGUCUGUAAACCAAAAAUUUAAAAGAAAAAAAGAAAAAGAAAAAACCCCCUUAUGAAUUGUUUACUAACUAAUCGUCUACAAGUUUGAAGAAGCUAAACUUCCCAGAAGCUUCGUCUACCUCAACCCAUUCCCCCUGCUACCCCUUGCCGGCCACUUAACGCCAUCCCCCAUUUCCUCUCUCUCUCUCAAUCUCUUCCGGAACAAGGAAAUUUACCGCAUUUUCCCUUCUUAUCCCUCUCCUUCUUCUCCCUCCUUCUCUCUUUUGUCUGUGGUUUAUACAAAUUUGAAUUUUUCUUCACCUACUACAUCUUGGGUUCAAGCUAGUUGCCCGAUUAGUUCAAGGAAACUGUGAAAUUAGAUUCUUCAUAAGAUUUUCGACCUAACCAGGUAAGAUUUUUGUAGAUAGUUAAACGAAUGUAAGUAUCUUUAUUGUCUUUUCUUCUUUCUAACUGCCACAUUUUUUGCUCUCUAGAAUCCUGAUCUGGGCUCCUCUAUGCUUCUCUUUUCAUUCAUAAUUAUCUUUUCUAUGCUGCUUCGAGCUUCAUUUUUUUUUAUCACAUAUGUUGGGUUGCGAUCUGCGUAGAUAAAGACGGGAUCUUUACAUUAAUCAUUGCUGGUGUGAGUUGACCCCAGUUUUGACUAGCUGGGUACUUAAGUUGCCUUCCUUAGGAUUUACCCACCUUUUCUCAUCCAUUCUGGUUUUUUUUUUAACCUCCUAGCUUAAGUAACUCAGAAAUCAGGAGGCACCCCACAACUCCUUGAUUGAAAUGUAGUUUUUGGUAAUUGCUUAACGGUAAAAAGUUAGAACUUGAUCAGAACAAAAUAGUUCCAGCGGUUCAUAUCUUACAGCAGUUUUCCGCUAACCGGUCCAUAUUUGGUCGUCCCAAAUUCCCAAUUGAGUAUUUCGCUAAUUGGAGAACUUUCUAUCCUUGUAGGGAUACUCUUGCUUUAUGGUUAAUUAUCAUUAGUUGAUUCACUGAGGUGAUUCAGGUGAGCCAUUGUACUGAUUUUGGUCUGUGCUGCUUAUUUGUUGAUAGCAUUUUGAAUCAAAGUUCUCUGCCUUUCUUUUGCUCUUUUUAGUGUCCGGAUUGGCAGUGGAGCUACCAUGGGAUCUGUAGAGAUGAGGUCGACGGAGGACAAGGUAGACCUUGAUUCUGAUGAGGAGAUUCCGUUUAGUUCGUCCCAUUCUGCAAUUAAAAUGCAGUCCACGGAUUGUGAGACAUCUCGGAUCACAUCUCCCAGACAUCUUUCCCAUCGAUGGGUGUUAAGAAAGAUAAACCAUAUCAGCCCCCUCAGGAGCAUUUACGUUGUUCUAAUUAAAGCAAAGAUCAAUAUGCUACUCCCUUUUGGACCACUUGCAAUACUGCUCCACUAUUUAACGGGAAAGCAGGUAAGGGACAUGAAAUUGUCUCCUCAAUCUCUCUUUUCAUUAGAUCUAAUAUGGAAGAGAGUGUGAUAAAAUUUAAAUUUGCAGUCGCAACUGUAUCAGACAUAGUACUUUGCUCAUACAUUUAUUUCUUGGACUGCUUCAUACUCAGGGAUGGGUUUUCUUCUUCAGCUUAGUGGGAAUUACACCUUUGGCUGAGCGUCUGGGGUAUGCAACUGAGUAAGUGUUGGCUUCUCCAGUUUCCAGCUUUCAGCUACUUUAGCUCCUUCUAUUUUCCAUAUCUUAAAGACAGUCACUGAAAUUGUAUUCCAUCAACUGCUGCUGCAGGCAACUAGCAUUCUAUACUGGGUCUACAGGUAAAGCUUUCUUUCUUGGUCUUCUUCUUCUUCUUCUUCUUCUUCUUGUUCUCAUCAUCAUCAUCAUCUCUGCAAUGAGGACUCUUUUGAUUAUAGUGAAGUCUGCUUUUGUUAGCUGUUAGCUGGUGGCUAAGCUUUUUUUUUGGGUCAGUUACAAAGGUUCUCCUAUGCGCCCAAGGGAAAACUAUGAAUCCAUGUCUUCACAUACAUACUCUGUUGCAUGCUAUGUUUUUCUUUAACCUGGUUCUUUAUCAGAAAUAAAUAAUAUUUGGGUGAAUAUGCAGUGGGAGGCCUUCUAAAUGCCACAUUUGGUAAUGCAACAGAAAUGAUAAUUUCCAUGUAUGCAUUGAAGAAUGGGAUGAUUAGAGUUGUUCAACAAUCACUACUUGGUUCUGUUUUGUCAAAUAUGCUACUAGUGCUUGGAUGCGCCUUCUUCUGUGGUGGCAUCGUUCAUCGCCAGAAAGACCAGGAAUUUAAUAAGGUGCACUUUUUAUUCAUAUCAAUGCAUAUCUACUGAGAAUGCUGCUAAUUCUUUGCUAGCACAUCAUCUUAUUUGAUGUAAUUAAUCAUGUGGUGGAGUUAGCAUAAAGAUCCAUGGUGAAAAACUGGAGUUUUUGGAUUGUUUUAGGCCACUGCCCUGGUGAAUUCAGGAUUAUUGCUGAUGGCUGUCAUGGGCUUACUGUUUCCAGCCGUUCUUCACUUUACCCACACAGAGCUGCAUUCUGGGAAGUCAGAACUUGCACUUUCCAGAUUUAGUAGCUGUAUAAUGCUGGUGGCAUAUGCUAGCUAUCUUUUUUUUCAGCUGAGAAGUCACAGGAACCUAUAUGAUAUUAUUGAUUCGGUGGGUACCUCUAUUGACUUAUUCUUUUGGUCUUUCCUUGAUAUUUUUGACCUUCUCUUUGUUGAACCAUCGCAUCUGUAUAGCUCAUGAUAUGCACACUAUGUAAAAUUUUGUUCAGUGAAAUGAUUUAUAAUUUGAUUACUAGACAAGUAGCAGCUGUGCAAUCCAAAAGCCUCAAACCAUUUUUCAAUGGGUAAAUUUUUCUGCCGUUCUUCAGGAGCAGGACAAUAAUGCAGAAGAUUCUAAUGAGGCUCCUGAAAUUAACCAGUGGGAAGCUAUUGGUUGGCUUGCAAUUUUGACUUUAUGGAUUUCUAUACUAUCGGGUUACCUUGUUGAUGCCAUUCAGGUAAUCUCAGCCGUUUCUUUUCAUUGCUGCUUCUCUUAUUCUUUUGUCCCUUGCUAAUUUGUUGGGCUUCUGUCUUAAACUUACCAUGUUUAGUGUUCCUAAAAUUUCAAAUACCUUUUUGGAUACCUGGUAGAGUUAAAUAUCGCUAGUUACGUUAUCUUGAAGAUGGUUUCUGGUCUACUGUUGGAUUACUAUAUGAGGUAUCGUAUACUUAUUAGAACUUGCUAUGUAAAUGGUAAUACCUAGACAGUUGAUGUUUUGUAUAUAUUCAAUUAAUUGGUAGAGUAACAAUGAUUUGGAAUGGAUACAAUCAUAGGCCAUAUAUAUCAAUAUCCAAGGCUUCAAUCCUUCAUCAGUUGUUAAGAUUUCUCCAGAAUUAUCUUUGUUUUCUGUUUAACUUUCUCUGGAAUAAAAGGAUGGAUCUGUCUAACAAGUGCCUGUUGGACACUUGUUAAGAUGUAGUUCGGGUGUUAAGUAUUUGAAAAUGUGAAGCUAAUGAUGGAAAGUGUAUAAAUGUAAUCGUUUAUUUUUUUUGGAUAUAAUUGGUUUCACUCAUUAAGAAACUGUUUGAAUUAAGUUGUUGGAGUUUUUAAUAGCUUACAUUUUACUAUUUUUUGUGUGACAUGUUGUAUAAACUGUUUGAUGAUUAGCUUCUAGACUGAAAGUGUUUGACUUGAUAGUAACUUGACUUUGUUAGACUAAGGAAUCUGUUGCUGGUUUUUCUUUUAGCAUUCCUUGGAUCCAAAUUGAUGUUUUAGUUUUUAAAACCUAUGCCAAGUGAAGGAGUUACAAGGCUAAAAACACAAUGCUAUGAGAUUUCCGUGAAGAGUUUCAAGUGUACAAGGCUACAUGGCUAUAACUAACAGUGAUUUCCUUAUACUCCUACUCAAUGUGUUGACAGAUGCUUAGAAUGUCAUGCUAAAACAUGAUUGCUUAUGACAUUAUACUUGAAUUUGUUGCUUAAUUUUUUCAGGGAGCAUCUGAUACCCUGAACCUACCUAUGGCUUUUAUUAGUGUCAUUUUGCUUCCAAUAGUUGGGAAUGCUGCAGAACAUGCAAGUGCUAUCAUGUUUGCAAUGAAAGAUAAGCUUGUGAGUUUUGAAAAAUUUUCUUGACUAGAUCUUAUUUGUUGCAAUGCAUGUCAAUUUAGAAUCUGUUUUUGCAGGACAUUACACUUGGAGUUGCCAUUGGAUCUUCUACUCAGAUAUCAAUGUUUGUGGUAAGACCUGUAUACCCAGUUAAUUAAACCCGAAUACCUUGACAUUUGUCAGGACUUCAGAACCUUAUUGAACUUCUUUUUAACCAAAUGUGAUAUUUUGCCAAGAAAGGGAGGACAAAAAGAAAAUCUGCUACCUUUUCUUGCCACGACCUCCUUGGAUACAAAAGUGAUGCCAUACAUGGAAAAUUUUUGUUACUAAAAUGGAUAUUCUUAUUUAAUUGCUGUAGCUAGCCUAUAAAAUCAUUGUAGCGUAUUAAUCUUAUUCUGCUGAUAAAUGCAGAUUCCAUUUUGUGUUGUUGUUGGUUGGUUUAUGGGGCAACGGAUGGACUUGAAUUUCCAACUGUUUGAAACUGCUACACUCUUCAUUACAGUGUUAGUGGUGGCAUUUAUGUUGCAGGUUUGCAUAUAUUAUUCUUUUGUAAUCUCCAUAUUUCCUGAUUGUUAUCUCAAUGUGAUUGGGGAAUCUAAAACAUAAACUCUGCUAGACGUUUUUUCUUGCUGAAACAUGUACAAAGUUAGAUUGAAUUGACUUGGACAAAAACUAUGGGGUAUAACAGUGAAAUGGUACAAUGGUGCAAGAUGAAAUUGACUGAUGCUAUUAUUUAAUAGUAUAUCAGAAAUGUCUUAUCUGUCUAUUAUCAUCAGUGGCAAUUAUGUGUAUCAGCGGAUAAUAAGAAAAUCACUUUAGUGGGACAGUAACGCUCCCUGAUGGAAAGUAGUUUUUAGGACCACUUGAUAACGUUUCUCUGGUAAUUGCAGGAAGGGACAUCAAACUAUUUUAAAGGAUUGAUGCUUAUUCUAUGCUACCUCAUUGUUGCUGCGAGUUUCUUUGUACAUGUUGAUAUCUCAAAUGGUAAGUCACGGAUGCUUAAUUUUGAGACAGUAAUAGUAUCUCGACACUGGUAAUAUUUAUCUCUGUGUUUUUUACAAAGCAAAAGCCGUGUUAACAGUGGACAAGGCAAAUUUAGGGACUAAAGCAAGGGAUGAGGUUUACUAAUAACAUCCUCUGGCCCGCCCAAUAAGUUGUGGAUUCCUGCACAUAGGCGCAAAACUAUGUUGAAGGCUAUCAAGAAAUUGCAACAUGCUUUGGUAGUUGGCUUAGUGUUUCAUUUACUCUUGCCUUCUUGGUCAUUAUAGGUCGUCUCCAACAGUUUUAUAGACUUGCCAAAGCUAAAAACGUGUUAGGAUGAAACUGUAGAAUCACUAGGCUUAGCAUGGAAUUUUGUAAUAAUUUCUGGCUGUGCAUCUUGUUGCAGAUGACAAUUAAAUAGGUAGCGAGGAAGGAUGUGACGCUCCAGGCAACAAUAUUGGUUCCUGGUUUUGGGAAAGCAUCAUCAUGGUCGUUGGUCAGUCCAUCGGCCUGUUUUAUGGCACGGGAUAUAGAUUUUGCAUACUCACUCGUACAUGUAUGCAGCUUCACGCUUCCAAAAGAGCAGUCGGCUCGGUGCGCCUGGAAAAAAAGGGUGGUAAAUAGUCAAUUCUUGUAUUUUCUGGCUUUGAUUGUAAUGAGAGAUUAGAAUUCUUUUCAAGCAGCAUUAGAUGAAGCUGGUUUUUGUUUUUUUUUUUGGGGGGGGGAGCUGAGAAGAAAAGAAAUCCCUUCUCAGUUGACAAAGUUUAGGUGUUCCAAAUCAAGAAGUGGAAGUUUUGCUGCUGUUCUUAUUUUGGAAGGCCAAAUUCAUUCAUAUCCUGUACAAUAAAUUGUGCUGUAUGGACCAAAAAUGACUACUGUUUGGUCAAAUACAAAACGCCUAAUUUCGGGCUCUUUUCUUAGCUUCCACCACCAUCAUUUCGGGCGCAUGGGGUCAAGAAACAAGCGCACUUCGACAUUAAUUGGUUCUUGGUCCAACAUUUUCUGAGUUCGCCCCGCUGAGCGGUAAGAGAUGCUGUACUUACUGAUCCCACUUUUUCUGUUCUCUAUUUUUAUCCGCUUUUGUGUUUUUCUUCAUUAGUACGUUUAAAAUUCACCUGAUUACCACGUGAACGUACGCGUUUACUGCACCCCUUUAUUUAGAUUAUUUUCUCGGAUCAAUUUUGCUCUUUAAACAAGAUUAAGGAGUGUUUAGUGGUUAGCGAUUAGCCAAAUCCUUUAAUUCUUCAAUGAGACUUUGUAUUGUACGCUUACUUUGUGUCUUGGCGCCGUUGCUCCUACAUUUGUUCACCAAAACCAUUUAAUAGGCUUCCUCUUCCUGUAAAGUACUAAUAGGAUAGAUUAAGUUACCAAAACAAUAAUAAUAAUAAUAAAAAGAAUAGACUAGCUGCAGUGUAUCUUUAAUCCAUGCAGAAGCUGGUAAACAAAUAGAAGAAUUCUAAUUGUUGUUUUUCCGUCUAAAUUUACAGCUUCAUAAAAGGGAUUUUCAUCCCAAAUAUCAAUGGGUUAAAUAGAAAAAAGAUCCCAACAAUGCCUAGAACCCCCAAAAAAAAAAAAUUUUUUUUUUCCCAAAAUGUUCCAUGACAAAUUAUUCCACAUUAUUUCUUGGUGGGGAAUGCAUUUCUACAACGUAGACCUGCGCAAUAUUGGUGAGGAAAUGGUCGAGUUGAGGUCAUCCAGACGAGGAUCUUGCCUUGAGAAACUUUCUGUCCUCUUGCUUGCUCUGUCCCCAUGCGGCUUUCAAUCAAUUAUAUACGUCAAAUGGGUUUGGAAGAAAUAGGGGGUUUGUCAGACUAAUAAUCCCUUUUGAUAAUAAUGUAGUACUUUUUCUUUUUUCUUUUUUUUUUUUUCCGAAAUAUUGUAUAACACACUCAAAUCAGAUUAAUGGGCAGCAAUUGCCCAGGUUCUGUCAAACAGCAUCUGAUCUGACCAGACCGGGUUGGGGGAGUUGGAUGUUAUGACCAAAGUACCAAGUGAGUGAUUUUUUUUGUGUUUGGUGUAGGAUGGUGGAGGUGAAGGGACGAAAUGGUCCCUCCCUCCGUUUCUUGAGUUCAAACAACAUUUUUUUUGGACGGAAGAGCCAAAUUCAUGCACAUCAACUUACGUUGUUCAGGGGCGGGCAAUUUACUCCUUGCAGGACAAUGACUUGGCUGCCUCCUCCUCAUUCAUCAGAUUAUAUGUUCUCUUUUCUGGACAACGACUUGCAAACCCAAAUGCUUACGAGUAAAGUAAUAUACCACGUCGUCAAAUAAGUUCUUGGAAAAUUUGACGUAUCAUAUAGUAACAGAAUGGACCGAAAACUGCCCCAGAUGAGAAUGAGUUACUUGCUACAGCUUUAAUUUUGCAUCCCGUAAAAAGAAAAGAAAAGAAGAGAGUUUCUCUUUUUCCUGGCUGGUCAACGGCUGCAAGUUUGAUUGAAUACGUUUGGACUUGGGGAAUAAAAUUUAGGUACAGAGAGAAGAAGAAGAGAAGACCAAAAUAUUCUAUUUGUAGUUGUACUACAAUUGACAUGACAUGUGCCCCUGGGUACCAUUUUACACUUUUACCCACCAUCCACCAAAUGUCAACCUCCUCCUCCUCAACCAUACAUCAGCACCCCAUCCCCCGCAGGCAAUAUACCACUAAACACUAAAUACUGCUACUACUACCAGUAAAAUACACCCAAUCUCGUGAUCCAUCUUCUCUACAGCAAUUUUCUACUAGUACUACUUGUUAUCUCUCCUGUUCUGUGAUCCCAAGAGCCAUUCAGCAGCUUUGAGCAUAUAAAAACUAGCAAAGGAGUCACACACACACACACCUCCCCUCUCCUUUUUCCCAAGGUGGUGGUGGUGGUGGGGGGAAUCAAGAUUCAAGAGACUAGUAGUAGAUUGCAAAAAUGAUUAUGUCAAAUAUUGCGAUGACAUCCGAGCGCAACCCGUGGUUAAAGUUAUUAAUCAAACGACAACAAGAUUGCUACUUGGGGUGAAUAUAAGGAUGAAUAUAAAUAUAUAUGUGUAUAAUAAUAUAGUAACAGCAACAAGUUGAUUGAUCAACUUGGGGUGGGAGCAUAAGAAUCCAGUUCAGUGCGACUUGAAAGAAGGUUUAGUUUAAUACAAGUAGUGCAGAGCCCACUAUAAUAUGUCCUUAUCCGGGCAAAGCAAAGUUCCAGAUACGCAGACGGAGCCUCUCUACGCUGCUAUUUAUCUCCCCCAUCCCAGGUUUCAACACAACAUUACCAUCCUACACGCUUUUACCUCAUUCCUCCAUCUUCCUUCCUAUACAAAUAUAUCAUAAUAUACAGAAAGUCCACCACCUAGCCAGCCGUCCCAAAAGUAAACGCUUUUUAACAAUUCAGACCACAGCUUUUUAAUAUUGCUCCAUGUCAACAUCAACCACUAUAUCCUCUCUCUCUCUCCCUCAUGGGGGGUAUGACUAAAGUCUGCACAAACUAAGAUGGAAGGGUUAGAAUACCCCCAUGAUUGAUUAAAACAGAGUAGUAUCUUUUGGCAUCUUCGACUGUCUUCUUCUUCUAAUAAUAAUAUGAUCAAAUAUGACAAGGAAACCUGCAGGCAAUCUCGGCUUUCUCCUCCUCCUCCUCAUCAUCAUCGCCAUCACAGGGCAGCCAUGCUCUUGUCCUCCUCUGUCCCUUCUUCCUCUCCUGCGUCUCACCUUACCACAGUCAAUCCCUUUGGCUCCCUCUUUUCGGAUGUGCUGCUGUCUCUACUUGUCAUAACCCUCUCUUGCUUUGCGACUGCCACCCAUGCCUCCUGCAAUCGCCUGGAUCGUGACUCUUUAUUAUCCUUUUCCACCAGCAUAGCCAGCCCCUCAUCUCCUUUGAAUUGGACUAUCUCGGUUGAUUGCUGCAUCUGGGAAGGCGUUCUUUGUGACAAAAGCGGUAGAGUCGCCAGUUUAAGGCUGCCAUCAAGAGGGCUUGUCGGAACCAUCUCUCCUUCACUGGCCAACCUCAGCAGUCUUUCUCAACUAAACCUCUCACGCAACUUCCUUUCUGGUCCUCUCCCAAAUGGAUUCUUCGUGUCCCUCAAUCACCUGCAGGCGAUUGAUUUGAGCUACAACCGACUCUCCGGACAAUUACCGCCUUCCGAUAAGUUUCCAACAACAAUCCAGCAAGUGGACUUCUCCAGCAACAAAUUUAAUGGAACCGUCCAAUUUACAUUUCUCCAGGAAGCAAUAAACUUGGCAAGUUUCAAUAUCAGCAACAACAGCUUUUUUGGGUCCAUUCCUUCAUUCAUCUGCAGCAUUUCACCCUCCAUUAGACUCCUUGAUUGCUCUUUCAAUCAUUUCAGUGGCUCGAUUCCCCAAGAUGUUAAAUAUUGUUCAAAUUUGGAGACUCUACGGGCAGGUUUCAAUUCUCUCUCGGGUCCUCUUCCUCAUGCUAUUUAUAGCGUGUUGACUCUGCAAGAGAUAUCUUUACCUGGAAACAAACUGAAUGGAUCAAUUAACCAAGAUAUUGCCGGACUCAACAAGCUCAGGAUUUUUGAACUCUAUGCUAACGAGAUUACAGGUACAAUCCCUCCAGAAAUAGGAAUGCUCUCCAACCUGGAAAAUCUACUCCUUCACAUAAACAAACUUCAUGGUACUCUGCCACCAUCUGUCACAAAUUGCACAAGACUCAAACUGCUCAACCUAAGAGUCAACUUACUUGUUGGUGAUCUUUCCAAAUUUGAUUUCUCCAAACUCACCCAACUUGUCACGAUUGACUUGGGGAAUAAUUUUUUCAAUGGUAGCCUGCCGGUAAGCCUUUUUUCGUGCAGAUCAUUGACAGCAGUUCGCCUGGCCACUAAUCACCUGACCGGAGAGAUCCCACCCCAGAUACAUGCACUACAAUCUCUGUCUUUUCUCUCAAUUUCCAAUAACACACUAACCAAUGUCACAAGUGCAAUCAGAAUUUUGACAGGUUGCAAGAAUCUCAGUACACUGAUUCUGUCAAAGAAUUUUUAUAAUGAAUCGUUGCCAGGUGAUGACGGUUUAGUCGAUUCUGAAGGAUUUCAGAAUCUCCAGAUCCUUGGUUUAGGUGGUUGCCAAUUCUCUGGUCAAGUUCCCAGUUGGCUGACUAAGCUGCAAAAGCUUGAGGUCCUCGACUUGUCAGUUAAUAACCUCACAGGCUUAGUUCCAAGUUGGCUUGGAAAUCUGCCAGACCUUUUUUACUUAGAUUUAUCUCAGAACCUCCUCUCAGGAAACUUCCCUGUAGAACUUACUGGACUCCCAAGACUAGUGAGGCAGCAGGGUACUGAUCAAGUGGAUCAGAGUUACUUAGAGUUGCCAGUCUUUGUUCAGCCUGAGAAUGUCUCCAGCUUACAGUACAAUCAGGUGUCUAACCUCCCCCCUGCUAUAUACCUGAAUGGGAAUAACCUCAGUGGCAACAUACCCAUUGAGAUUGGCCAAUUGAAGCGCAUUCAUGUCCUGGAUCUCAGUCACAACAAUUUUUCAGGCAGCAUUCCCAACACGAUAUCUUAUCUUACUAACUUGGAAAAGUUGGACCUUUCUGGAAACCAUUUUUCUGGUGAAAUUCCAGCUUCACUCGGGAACCUCCAUUUUCUGUCUUCUUUCAGCGUUGCAAACAACAAUCUUCAAGGCCCAAUACCCGCAGGAGGCCAGUUUGAUACCUUCCCCAAUGCCAGCUUUGAAGGAAAUUCAGGGUUGUGUGGCCGAUUUCUACGCCCUUGUAGCAAUCAAUCACCAACUACAAACCCCUCAGCAACAAGAAAAAGCCCAAAGAGGAAAAUAAUUAUUGGACUCAUACUUGGAAUCUGUUUUGGCAUUGGAUUCACUGUUUCUGUAGUGGCAUUUUGGAUAUUUUCCAAGAGAAGGAUCCUUCCUAAAGGCGAUGCUGAAAAAACUGAUCUGGAUACACUUUCCUACAACUCUAAUUCUGGACUGUCCACUGAGUUUGGAAAAGACACCAGCAUAGUUGUCUUGUUUCCUGAUAACACAAAGGAUGUUAAGGAUCUCACAGUAUCAGAGUUACUGAAAGCCACAGACAACUUCAACCAAGCAAACAUUGUUGGCUGUGGGGGUUUUGGUUUGGUUUACAAAGCAACUUUGACAAAUGGCACACAGCUGGCUAUUAAGAAGCUUUCAGGAGAUACAGGGUUGAUGGAAAGGGAAUUCAAAGCAGAGGUGGAAGCAUUAUCAACAGCCCAGCACGAGAACCUAGUUGCUUUGCAAGGUUACUGUGUGCACGGUGGGUUUAGAUUACUGAUAUAUUCGUAUAUGGAGAAUGGUAGUCUAGACUACUGGUUACAUGAGAAGCCCGAUGGAGCAGCCCAACUUGAUUGGCCAACCCGACUAAAAAUUGCCCAGGGUGCAAGUUGUGGCUUGGCAUACAUGCACCAGAUAUGUGAGCCACAUAUUGUGCAUCGCGACAUAAAAUCCAGUAACAUCCUGCUGGAUGAGAAUUUUAAAGCACAUGUGGCAGAUUUUGGAUUGUCUAGAUUGAUUCUUCCCUACCGAACACACGUAACCACUGAACUGGUAGGCACCCUAGGUUACAUCCCACCAGAGUAUAGUCAAUCAUGGAUAGCCACUUUGAGAGGGGAUGUUUACAGUUUUGGAGUUGUCAUACUUGAAUUACUGACGGGCAAGAGGCCUAUGGAGAUAUUCAAGCCUAAAGUGUCAAGAGAAUUGGUUGGAUGGGUGCAGCAAAUGAGAAAUGAUGGGAAACAAGAUGAAAUCUUUGAUCCAGUACUGUGCGGCAAGGGCUUUGAAGAAGAUAUGCUGCAAGUGCUUGAUGUUGCCUGCAUGUGUGUCAACCAAAAUCCUUUCAAGCGGCCAACCAUUACAGAAGUAGUUGAUUGGCUCCAUGACAUAGGGUCCAAGAGACAGGCACCAAAAGAAGGGCAAUUGUAUAAAUGAAUAGAGAAACUCCAGAAUUUGUUGUUAAUAUAAAACGUCAAUGGCAGUUUUUUUCCCUUUUUUUUUUUUACCCCCUUCUGAAACGAGAAAAAUAUACGUAAUGUUCAAGUGGAGGAUUGUAUAAAGCUAAAUGUUGCUACCAGUUAGUCAAGCAUACACUUCUAAUAUUGUCAACUAGAAGGAAUUGAUCGCUGUAGUUUCAUGCAGGAGUGUCUUCUUGAAGUCUAAAAGGACCGAUGAGUUCCUCUCUUUAACUAUGGUUUUGGCGAGUAAUGACGAAAAUGAGUAAGGUUUGUCAUAGUUUGGCUUACAGCUACAAGAUGACUUCUGGAAACUUGAAUUGAUUAUUCAGAUUCUCGCAUUUAAGCUAACAAGCAAAAGAACAACAGCCGCAACCUUCUGCUGCUCCAACGAAAAAUCAAGAGCUAAUUGUCGUCUGUACAAAAGUUUGUGAAGCAGCAGGGGCCGGGACAAGUAGAAUGUGGUUGAAAGGGUUUUGAUGAUUUAGCACGAGGUAUAGACUCUCAAAAUUAAAAAAAAAAAAAACCAGAAAAAUGUUAAGAUAGACAAAGCACCAUAAUUAACCAAAAAGGAAAAAAAAAAAGGUCUAUUUGUUCGUGUGUGUGAAUUGACAGGGAAGAAAGUAAAGAAAAGACUCAUCUCAUUCUCAUUCCGUAUUCGUACUUGUUAAAAUGCUGCUGCAUUUUGGUUUGGGCAUUUUCACCGGUACCUGGCGGCCUAUGGCGGCGGAUUUCAAUCCACAAACAGCUGCUCAUCCCACCCAGUAACUAUUACUAAGUAAUACUACUAACAAAUGCCUGCGGCUUGAGGUGGCGGCGGCGCUAACUCCUCCGUUUUUCUCCCGAUUUAUGGCGCCAAUCCUACAGUAUGAGAAAGUUGAAACCUUGCCCCAAGGCCUCGUUUGGACGGAAAUACUUGGAAAGAAAAUACUGACACAGUUACCAACUUUUAAUUGGAGGGGAAAUAAACGGUUAAAAUGCUUCUUUUUUUUUUUUUUUCAAAUGUUAAAGAGAUUGAGGAGGAAAAAUGAAAAAACCAAGGGAAACCAACCAACCAUUUUGGGAGUCUUCAUCAAUUUAGUCCUUUAUCUAUUAAAUUUAUCAAUUUAUUCUCUCAUCUUUAUGAAAUUAAAAAAAAUUCUCUAAUAGAAAAUUAAAUAAUUCUAUUGAAAUUGAUCAGCAGAUGGACAUUUGAAAAUGACCAUUUUAGUCUCGAAUCUUCAAGUCUCUUCAAUUUGGUCUCUUAUAUAUCAUUGUCUAUUAAUUUAUAUAUCAUUACCUAUUGAUUUUGUUUUGUGGAUUUGAGGAUUUAAAUUGAUAGAUGGUGACAUCUAAAUUGGAGACAACCUCGAAGGCAAAGGGAUGAGUUGGUCAUUUUAAAAGGUUCACAUGCCCAAUGACCAAUUUUGUUAGAAUUUUCUAAUUUUUCAUUACAGGUCCCAGAUUGACAUUAUUUUAUAAAGUUGAUGGAAUAAAAUGGUAAGAUUGAUAAAUAAUAAACUGGUAGGAUUGAUUGAUAAAGAACUAAAUUGGCUAAAAUUCUAAACACAGGGGGCCCAAAAUGAUCAUUUUCUCAAAGAAACAUGGCAUAGGAAAAAAAUAACAAUCAAAGGUUUCGUGAUACCAAGUUAGCAAGAAAUAUGCGUUGAGUAACAAGUGUCAAGUAGCAGUGUAAUAUGCAAUAAGUAUUAACCAUAUUCCACUUAUUUCUUCAAAUCCCAUUCAAGUUUGAUCUUCUUUUAAAGUUUUAGUGCGUAGGUUUAUUUUUUCCCUGGUUUCCCUUUUAUUGCUUUAUUUUAUUCAGAAAAUAUGUCAUCAAUAAAAUUUGCUUACAGUUCUAAAGGCAACUAAAUUCAACAAUAGGUGGGAGAGAGAUGAGUUGAAUGAUAAGCGGGGAAGGAAGUGUAAGUGAGAGGUUCUGAAUUCGAAAUCUCCUAUUUAUACUUUAAAAAAAAAAAUCCAACAACAACUAGAGGAAAUUUGAGUUGGGUUAGGUUAAGUAGUAAGACGAGGGAUCUCAAGUUUUAGACCUCAGUUACAGUAUAAAAAAAAAUUCCAACAAUAGUUAGAGGAGGGAUAGGUUGGGUUGGGCGGCAGAGUGGGAGAAAUUGUAAAUAAGAGGUCUUGAAUUCAAGAUAUUCAACUUAUCAAAAGUAUAUAUAUAUAUAUAUAUAUAUAUAUAUAUAUAUAUAUAUUCAAUGAUAGUUUUUUAUUUUCACAACAAAUAAUAACAAACCGAAAACCUUUAUGAUGAAACCCAUGUCGUCUCUUUCCAAUUUUUUAUACUAAAUGUGUGAAAUUAUUCCACUGUAGAAAAAAAGAAAAAAAAGAAAAAAGGGUGUUCGAAAGGUUACUGUCGGUAUUCCAUUUCUUUCGCACAAUGCACUACUUGAUUAAAGAGACAACUAGGUGGAAUUACUCUUUGCAGAGUCACGGGAAUUUGGUCGAACUCAAACACCGAAGUAUCGUUGGAAUCUUUUAAAUCUACUGUCAAUAAUAACAAGUGACUGAACAAAAACUAGUAUAAUUUUACAUGGAUCGAAAUUUACUCUACUGCAACAAAAUAUUCACUCUUGCAAAAAAAAAAAAAAAAAAAAAAAAAGGCAAACCUUCUCUUCAAGCUGUAAGUGUCUGUGGAAGCAACCAUAUAUAACCGAGGUAAAAGUUGUGAACAAUUCCACUCUUGAAGGGCUCAUGCAUUUUAAUACGUUACCUACUAGUAUUAGAGGUGUAGACAAUAAUAUGUUGCAAUUGAUUGCAUUCAAACUUGCAUGAUCCAAGUUUCAAGUUUGCUUAAUCAUUUUGAUGAUUUCAUUCAAAUUCAGUUUGUUUAUUUUUCGAGCAAAAGUAAAAUUAAUGUGUAUCAAACCGAUUCCUUAGAUAUAAAUUUCAAGUUUUAAUACUUAAGUUUGAAUGAAGUAGGAAAUGUUAGUAGUAGUAUAAAUUAAGGGCAUGGAUGUGUUUGGCAGCUAGGUUCCAAGGCAAGUAAUGGAUUUCAAUUUCAGCCAUACUCUUCUUUUUUUUUUUUUUCCAAGAUCAAUUGGAAUGAGUUUCAUAGAUGCUUCAAUUGGUAAACUGCUAAAGAGUAAGGUUUAAUAUUUUGAUAUUACUAAAAAUUUAUCUAUCGUUGCAAAGUUAUUUUUAUCACACUCGUUGUAUUAUUUAUUAUUCCUUAAUUUAUUUAUCAUACACACAACGAGAGUGAUUAUGCAAUAUGAACGAAACGGCAGUUAUGUUACACUUACUUGAUGAAUCCACUCAGACAUUGAAGAUGUUUUUUUUUUAUCAGUCGAGCAUUUUAAAUGCUACUAGCGGUAGGUAGUUUCGUAUGGUUUUCGUUUUUGGUGCGUUAAAUAAUGGGAAGGGGGUAAAAGUUGGGAGUAAUCCGAAGUCAAACAACGACCCAACAAAUAAAUAACUAAUAUGGAAGGCAAAAUAGAAUAUUUGUGCCUUUCUUUGGAAGGGAAAAAAAAGAAGAAAAGGAAUAGUGUGCUGCUUCUUCUUCUUCCAAGUUCCAAGUUCCAAGUAGUAUCAGCAUCAGCAGUGGAGUUAAACAAACUACGAAGUCCGAGUGGGAGUGAGCAAAAGAUCGUCGGGGAAAUGGGAAAGGAGAGGAGGUUGACGGUGUUUUUGAGCAUAAUUUGGGCUCUGACCAUUCUGUAUGGUGAGAUGUUUGCAUAUUGGGUGCCCUCUCUUUGGACUUGUUCUUGGCCUCAUCAUCUUCGCCACUCUUCUUCCUCCUCGGUAAUUAGUAAUAACCUCACCCACCCAACAUAAAGAAAAUUACUUCUUGAAACGUUAAACUCAUUUAACUUAGCUCUGAAAAAACGAUGACCCACAAGUUAUUUCUAGUGGCUGUUUUCGGAUUUUACUUAAUCUGUUGGAUCUUCUGUUCCAGCUAUUGAUAAAAAGAAAGAAAAAAAAAAUCGAAGUUUUCACUUGCCUUGAUUCGUUUUCUCUUUUCUUUAUUUUGGUUAAUAUGCACUUCGUUCGUUAAUCUGAUGGUAGUUUUUAGUUUAUUUCAUCUCUUUCUUUCCAUUUCUGAUGCGGCUCUUUUUUUGCUAGGGAUAUUGCCCAAAUUACUUUAUGGAUUAAUGACGUUGAAUCUAAUCGGCAUAUAAGAUGCCAAAAAAAAAAAGGAUAGAAUUUUGAUUUCAUAGGUGCCGCCUAGAAAUAUGUAUAAGUUGCGCUACGGUCAUCAUCUUUUCGACCAAGGAAGGGAGCGGAAAUGCUGAAUCAAUUACCAAAAUCUGACUCAUACAACUAACUCCAUUGAUGCAUCCGAACAUUUCAUUAGGUUUAGCAUUAUUAAGAGGAGGAGGAUACAGGUUGAUAAAAACAUUCCCGGUUAGGAUCUUCCUGGUUACCAUCAUUUCCUGCAAUUAGCUAAGUAUUUCUUUAGUCAUUACUGCAUGCUCUGAACCAUUGUCACUCUUUUAGGCAAUGCAAAAAGGCGGAAACAUUUUAACACAAGGUCACUCCCCUCGUUGUGCAUUGAUGAUUUACACAAAAGCAUUACAUUGUGGUAGUUGUUGCAAACUCGUAAAGACUCAUUAGCGCAAAAAAGUUUGUUUUUCAAUUGUUAAAUUUACAAAAUUUUCUCGUUUCUUCUUAUCUGUUAUGCUUCAGUAUUUUUGCAACCAAAUACAUGCAGAUUAUUGAAACCCAAACUUUUUUUUUUUUUUGGGUGGCGUGUGUCUCUCUGCCUGAUUGCAGGUGAAGAGACUCAAUGAUUCUGGUGAUUAUGUCAAAAUUGCCGUUCUGGCUGAUCCUCAGGUAAAUCUCCUCGGAAGUAGUUCCAUAAUUGUGUCCAAACAUAAAUACAGAUGUAUGAAAAUACAUGCCUUGGUGAGAUAUUUCAAUGAUUCUGCAAAGCAACUGCCAAUUGAGUACUUAUUUUCAACAGCUCAUGGAUAGGACCUCCCUUCAUCUUUCCCCAAAGUCACUGGCUCUCGAGAUUGCUCAGUUCUACACAGACUUGUUCAUGCGCAGGGCAUUCCUGUUGUCUGUCUUACGUUUCAAACCUGAUGUGCUUCUCUUUUUUGGUGAUUACUUUGAUGGGGGCCCUAUUCUGUCUGACAAUGAGUAAGCCAUUUAAUUUUAUAGGUUUUGUAUGAAAGUUUACACAGGCAUUUAUGCGGUUGAAUCUCUAUUAAAUGUGAAAAUGCAGCUAGACUGUUGCAACACACUCAAUUUUGAUACUGUUUAUCUGAACUUUGUCUUCACAACGACGCAUCCCAUUGUUGAACAGAUGGCAGGAAUCCUUGAGCCGCCUUAAACAUAUCUUUGAUCUGAAUGUGCUCCAGAAAACUAAAAAUAUGAAAGUGUAUUUCCUAUCCGGAAAUCAUGACAUUGGAUAUGAGGCUCUUUACUCCAAAACGCCAGAGGUAUGUUAAUGCAUUAUUCUCUAAAUCUCAUACUACUUGUCAGAAUAAAUCAUUUUCGUUUUCCAGGUCGCUGGAUUAAAUUUAGAUGCUUAACUUGUUCUGGUGAUAUAUCUGAUGCUACUUUCUUGGUAACGAGUGAUCACAAGACAAUUCGAGCUCAGAACCCUAAUAGCUCGUCCAUGAAUGUUCAUCUACAUAGGCAUAUAAGAAUUUGUUUUAUUUAUCUGUGUCAGUUUCUUCUUGAAGCAGUAUCCAUCUAUGGGGUUUUCUGAACAAGUACUGAUUAAUCACUAAUAAUGCAAUUUCUGACACUUCAAUAAUGCAACCCUCCCUCUGAUCAUCUCUCUGGCUUGUUAUCUCUGCAUCUACUUGUCUGCAGGUUAUCAGGCGUUAUGAGGAAGAAUUUGGAGCACGAAACUAUAAGUUUACACUUGGAAAAGUGGAUUUUAUUGCUAUUGACUCACAGACAUUAGAUGGUAAAAGCCAGUGAACACGUAUCUCCAUAUCAUCUGUAAUAGUAUAGUAUCACUUUACUGCAAAAAUUUCUGGAACUCUAACAGGUGCCCAGAUUAUAAUUUGGAGAUACCCAAAAGGUAGAUAAUUUACUGUAUUUCAUAGUGAUUGCCGUGAUCUCCUUGGACAACUAGUUAAUCAUUUUUCCUUGUAUAUUCAUUCUUUGCCAGGCAAAUCAAGGUGCAAUUUUAUGUUUUAUGCAGUCCAAGUUUACAUGAAAACUACAAGGAUAAAACAAGUUUCUUAUCUCAUUAAUUUGUUACUUUUCCCCCUUCAUCUGUUUGACAUGAAAGUGGCUCGUUUCUUUAAACUUCCUAGAUAUCUGUGCACUUGUUGUAUUUCUGCUGGUAAUAACAAAUGUAGUGUGUGUGAUGCUGGUGUAUUACAGAUGAUAUCUCUGACUAACUGAAGCUUAUAACUUGGACUUUAUACUCUGAAGUGUGUGUAAAGCUGCUGGAUACUUUAACUGGCUGUGUAUUUGUACUGCUCAUGACGACCUAGUCUUGUUGAUAAAAGUCAAAAAUCUUUUUCUACUAACUAAUCAAGACUUGGUUGACAUGUUAGACCUUAAGUUGCAAGUAGAUUGACGCUGUCACUUGCUGGACCACAUAAGGAUCUGUAUGGUUGCUAGAAUAAUGGUAUCUUUUCUUGGUCAAUCAAACUCAGUAGGACUGCUUUCCUAAGUUAGCUUUGUUUUGCAUGUCUCUUUAUGCAAUCAUGUGACUUUGCUGAACUACACAAGGAUAUCUGCAGUAGCUUCCUUCUCAUUUGUAUAUUAGAAUUAUUUUCUUUGCUUAAUCAUCUAUAGAUAAAUUUACCUUGUAAGUUGGCGAUACUAAGAGUUGAUGGCAAGAUUUUUGUCCACAGGGAAUUCACAGGGAAAUGUAACCUCUGCCACCUGGAAUUUUAUUGCAAAUGUCUCUCAGGGUAAUUGGCAGCGACUUCUAAGAAAAUCUAUCAUGUUAGAUAAUUACAAUACGGUAUGAAGUCCAUGACAUGCCUUAUGCAUCCAGAUUCCAGUUCAAUGACAAGGGUUCUAUUGACUCAUAUCCCAUUGUACCGGCCAGAUUGGACUCCAUGCGGUCCAUAUCGUUCUUCACCCAUUAUCAAUCAGGUUAAUAUUUUUCUCUCUGCAUUGAGUUAAAUGGCAAUCUUAGAAACAUGUUGGUGCAAGUUAUCACCUUGCAUACAUUUUGUUUAGCUAAAAAUUACUAUCUCUUACUCUGUUCCAGAGGAUUUUGCGUGCCCCAGAAAAUCAACAAAUAUUGUAAGCAUCUUAUUGUGUUCUGCUUCUUUGACUGUAUGUGGUGGAUUACAGUCCUUCAUGGAAUGGAUGUUGGGGUAUGACAUGAUACUUUUCCUCUGAUCUAUUAAUACAGGUAUCAAAAUUAUGUCACUGAGAAAUCGACAAAUAACUUACUGAACAUGAUUAGCCCAGUAUGUAAACUCUUCCCUCCUUAAUGAUCUAUCAGAGCUUUGGAAAAUCAGACUUCGAAAAAACUAAGCUACUUGAGGGAUUCAUUCUUGGCGGUACUAAUCUGCGUUUGUAAACUUCAGGCACUAAUCCUUUCAGGGCAUGAUCAUGAUCAGUGCAAAGUAACCCACAUCACUAAGCACGGUCCCGUGGAGGAGGUAAGCACUGCAUUAACUUGGCAAGAUAUACUUCCAGUAACAGUGCAACUUUUGAUUAUUUACAUCAUGCAGCAUACUAUAGGGACUAUCAGCUGGCAGCAGGGAAACUUGUUCCCUUCUUUUAUGCUGUUAUCUGCUAGUAAUCUCAGCUCUCCAGAUGGUUUGGCUCUAGAAGAUGUUGUAUACGCCCAUCUCUGCUUUCUACCUGUUCAAACAUACAUAUACAUAUGGUAAUUCAUAGUUAGUUAAUACUGCUGCCGUUGGCGUGUAAGUUUUUGUUGGCUUCAUUCUGAAACAUCAUCUGAUGAGAAUUUCAGGUAUAUGGUCCUGUUCAUCAUGACCCUUCUCAUUGUUCUCUUUUGGCCUGCAAAAGAGGAAUUAUUCUCCCAUUAUAUUGGCAAUUUCAAGCUAUGCUUCAGGAGUCUGUUCGAUGGUAGUGUGUUUGGCAGGGUAAUAAAAGAGAAAAAUGAAGAUGAGAACUUUGAGUACGAGAUGAUGUGGGAUGCCGAAGGAUCGAUGCACCUUAUCAAGAAAGCGUCAAAGUCCCCUCCUAAAAGUUCAGGUGACAACGCUUCGGUGGAAAGGUAUCAUGGGGCCUAGUUGAGGUGCUACGUAUUGUCAGUCUAUUUCUUACUGUGGGAUUAUGUUUUGUUAUGUUUGCAUUCAGCAUCUAUUAUAUCUAUGCCGGAGCAUCUUUUACUCUCUUUUAGAAACUGCAAACUGGCGUAUUUAAAAUUUUAGACUUUUUAGUAUUGCCCACUCUUGCACUCUAGGGAAUUUUGCAAAUAUUUCAUCUAACCCCAUUAUUUGCCUCCCAAAAUAAAUUUUAACAGCUGCCCCCUUCCCUUUCAUUUUCUCUACUUAACAUUGAACUUUUCUUAUAUGUUCACCAAAUUAUGAUCGAACCAAACGUUCAUUUGAUAUUUUGAUUGUGUAUAUUGUAUGCUUGUUGUCCACUUACAUCAAAUAGUAGUAGUUCAGGAUUCUGCAACUUACUGCAACUGUACUUAGGGGCAAUGCUGUUAUGCGGGCGAAAAGACAGACUGAACAGGAAGUAGAGGUCGCCGUGGCUUGUGAUGGGAAUGUGGAAUUUGACGCGAGGACACCAGGACCGGCUCGAAUGAAAACAUCCAUGACAAAAUUGGUGAUACGGAGACUAUUGCGAGGCAUCCGCGUGCUUAGCUUUGUUGCUGCAAUCAAUGUUCCUCUCUACAUGAUGCUGCUAUUCAAAGAUUGGGUGGAUAAAUGAUACUGCUACUACUUACAAAUACAAGUACCACUAACUCCUGCUUACUACUACUACUACUCAGUAUGACAAAAUAAUUUCGGAUUCUUGCACAUUUGACAUACAUUGCAUCUUCAACAUUUCUGAUUUCCAAAAAAAAAUUUUGGCGAGUGAUCGUCUAAAAUCCUCAUUGGCAUUACUUACUAGCGCUAGGGCUGCCUCAGUCGUUUAAUGUCACGACCAGAUUUACGAACUCAAGAGUUAGAUUCAUAUAGUGUCAUAACUCAUGAGAGGUAGCCAUAACGUGUAAAAUGGAAUGACCCCAUCUCAUACUGCUAAUCUCUUAAGUGGAAAGGACAAUAAGAAGAACAAAAUAGUAUCUGACGUUCGACUACUGCGAUUAAUUUAUAUGCUCCAUACGUCGAUGUAAAACGCACAACAGGUAUGUUAUAUGUAGAAGAAGAAGCAUUAAUAUUGUUAAAAAAAUAAAUAAAUAAAAUUUCAGAUUCUCAUAAUUAACGUAGUAGUCCAUUGAUUGAUGUUAAUUCAAGAACGGCUGCUUCGUACGGAGCAGAUUUAUUGUAAGGUACAACAUAGUACUGUGGAAGUCAAGUAAAAGUACGUACAUGGUCUUCUACAAGACAGCCACCACGACGAAGAUAGUACCGCAACAUUCACAUCCAUGAUCCAUCCCUUCUGUGUCUUAUUCCACAUUUAUUGUGCAUUAAUUAAUCAUGCUACCAUAUUUAUAUAUUUGAUGGUGUCUGCAUCGGCCAUAACACUAAAACAAUACCGCUUGAACAGAGGGGAGUUACAUACAUAGAUUACUGAAACACAUAAAUAAGUAAUGGCAGACCUUGCAAGCUUCCAUCCAUCCAUCCGAACUUGGCAGGGAUCCCCAUAUGUUGGCCUUGUCCGUGUCCUGAUCAUGUCCGGGCUGUCAAAAAGCACCAGCCUUGAUCUCUCAUGUGCCCAAAAAACCUAACAAUGGACUAUCACCAUUUAGGUUUACAAAAAAAUACAGGAUGACACACAUGAAGAAGAGGGCUGAUGACAACAAACAAGCCAGACCAGCAGCACCCUAUGGACAAAGCCAACAACAGGGAAACAAAGUGGCCGGGGGCGGCCAGGAGGACAUAUAAAUUUUGCUUCCACACGUUUGUAGAACAAAUCUUUACCGACAGGCAAUUGACGCCUAUCAGAAACACACUGCUGCUCGUGCUUGGUUCGAAAACAAGACAAAAGCUAAAGAAGAAAGUAAAGAGAAUAAGGCAGAAGAGGUUGGUGGUGCAUGGUAUCUUUAUAUAUUUUAUACGGAGGAUGAGGAUGGUUUUGGUAGCUCAAUCAUCUCCCUGGAUAUACCAGCAGAGGAGCAUGGUGGCACAGCGACGUAAGAUGUAAAUUCGCGCUCUUUGUUCUUUAACCAAAGAAGCGCACUUUCUUGUGAAGCCACCACUGUUCUUUCUCUUUGAACAAGUGUAGAGUACUCCACUUCUGUGCUGUUGCUUGAGCUCGGCCAUUGCUGAUGAUGAGUGUUGGUGGCUAACGAAUCAGAUGAUUGUCAGCUUUCUUGCAAGCGAAUCACAGGGAAAAACUGAAAGGACAAAAGAAAAGAAAAAAAAAAAAAGGAAGGAAUGCCAAGGGGAAAAAAAGCCCACGAAUUGGAGCUAGACCCUGAAGAGGAGAGUAAGUGGAAUCCCUGUAUUUAUACGAAGAAGGUGUUGAGUAGCUUUUGAAGUGGGGGAGUGAACAUGGUCAUCUUCGAGAACCGAGGGAUUUGCAUGGAAAGGUGUAGAUCAUCAGCCAACGGGUAAAGGGGCUGUAAACGUGGGGUUGGAUUUUUCUGGAUUAAAUAUUCAAGAUGAUCAGCACACUGCAAUGGGGUAGAAGGGAUGAUUGUUAACACUGGCGUGUAUUUGAGUGCACUUGGAUUAGAAAAAGGGGUAUAAGUAGCCAUGAGAAAAGGAGGAUUGCUUGAUGAGGACAAGGCAAAGUCGGAGAUAUGGGAACAUGGUGUCGGCCAAGUCAUAGGUGGCUUAUGGGGCAGAUUUAAUUGGUUCACAACUGUGGCUCGCAAUUCAAGGUCUCUUUCCAUUCACUUCAUUUUGCUUGCUAGUAUAAUAUACUCCCCGAGUCUUCCUAAUUUAUACAGCUUCAUGUUGAGCCACAAAUUUGUUCUGCCAGCCAUGCUAGCUGUUUUUCAUUCUUCAGCCUCGAGCCGUUGCAUUAGUACUGACGGAAGUUACCGGUCUACGGGCAUCUUGCAUGUACGUACAACUGGAAUUGCAUCAGCAAAUAAUUCAUUAUUCAGCUUCCAAGAACCAGUUGCAUUUCUGCGCCGUGGACAAGCAUCAUAUACUAAGCAACUGAAAUGCAGAUUCAGGCAAAUCUUAGCUGCAGUUUCAGAUGAUUUAGAUAUGAGUAGGACUUUGAAGUUCACAAGAUUGGGCAAAUUUUGGCAUGUGGAUAUAGAGAUUUGGUGACCCUUAUUUCUUAUCUUUGUCUGAUGAAGCCAUCUGUCACGUUCGGGGCAGGUCUUAGGACAACCUCAAUCUUCAUAGAUUCACUUGUUCAACCCUUUAAAAUUAAUCAAGGGACAUAUAUGGCUCAUCUCCCAUGAUUAAUUUAGGUUACAGCUGUAAGCUAAUCAUCACCAUUACAUUUUUAAUUGGCAGUUCGACCUAGCACAGGUUAACAAAUCAAAAUACUCUAAUAAUGAAAUAGUGGACAUCCAAUCCUUUCGAGUAAGAAAUGUUAAGCAAGCAUUUCUUGGUUUUUCGAAUUGACAUAAUUCAAUGGACGAUGGUUUAGCAAUUAGUAAUACACAACUCUUAUAGACUAAUAAAUUUUUUUUUUUUUUUUUUUUUGGGGUGGUUCGGAAGAUAGACUAUAGUUUUACUUGCUUUCCUCUCUCUGUCUCCAAAUUCCACCAACCAAUGAUCAAUAACUUGCAGGUUGCCAUGAAUGUUCUCAAUAACAGUGAAUCCCUGUAAUAACAGUGGCAAGGUGGAGCAAGUUGAGUCAUCUCCUUAGCCUCGUUAGCUUGUAAUUGAUAAUCGACAAGGAUACGUUGUACUAGUAGAACACAAAAAUUCGUGAAAAAACUGAUUUUUCUUUCUUGUGCGGUCGGUGAUUUGCAGUGUAUCCAUUGGUUCUUGAAAGACGAAACAGAAGUUGUAACAUCUGAUUGUGCCGUGUGUCACUAUCUCCAGGAUGCUAAUUAAAGAGGGCCGUACGUGCUUCGUUCUAACACUUUGGAUAUUGGUUUUGCAUCUCCGAAACCAUCCUUCAUAAGUGAUGAUCGAUCUUCUAAAUAUGAUUAAGAAUAGUGCUAAUUACACCUGUUGAUUGACUAAUCGCGUACGUACUAAAAGAAUAGGCUGUCAGUCAUGAUUCCCGAGAAGCUGGAGCACUGAACAAAGCCUAACAGGCUGGAAUUAACAAGUGCACAAUUGGGCCCAUAGGUCGGACAGGACAAAGGGAGCAGGAGCCUCCAAGCGUCCUAUCCGAUCUACGAACAUUCCCAUAUCUUUGGAUUCAUUCCCCCGUUUCAUCAGCUUCUCUCUUUUCUUUUCUUUUUUUUAAGUGUUGAUAAUGGUCCAAAUACAGCUAGUGUAUGUCGAAGCUCCAAAUUUGCAGCAAAAGCAAGCGCUCCUAAUCUGACGCUUUAAGCAAGCAGCUGUCAACGGCUGAAUGGAGGACUUGAAUGGCCCCCCACAAGUACAACGCGGUGUUCUUGACUGAGUUGCCUUGGUCAUUUUGCAGAGAAGGAACACUUCCAUGUAAGCACAGUUUUAAAAACCCAGUUUACAACUUACUUAUUCUCUCAAUUCGUUUUGCUGCCCGGUUGAAAUAAGUAAAUGAAUGGACAAAAGUUGCCCGCAGAAUUACUUCCACUUUUCAUUGAGCUGAUUAUCUAUUGAAAUCUCAUCUAUGGUUGCGAUUCUUUUGCCCUGGUGGUCAUCACCAAAUAUUAUUGCUUAUUCUUACAUCCUACAUCAAGGGGAUUAAACACGAAGGUAUUAGCAUACGAGUCCAAAGGAUCUUAAGCCAUAAAUAUCAUAUUAUCACAUUGCAGUUAUCAUAUUACCACUAGAUUAGAGCAAAACAUUGCAGCAACUUCAUGAUUUAAGUCUUUAUUUUUAUUUCCUCAUUAAACUAUUUACUUUUAGUCUCAUUGAAUCUUAUGUGACCAUCCACCUUUUGGUUGAGUGAUGAUUGGCAUUAAACUAUGAGGUAAAGAUGCAAAAGUUGUAUUUAUAGAGAGAAAAAUAUAAGAAUGACUUGUUUUAUUUUAUGACGUGACACCGCUUCCAAAUAAAGACAAUGGCCUGUGCGAAUAUUCGCACAGGGUUGAAUCUAAUUUGUGAUAUAUUAUCAGCCUGCCCCAGUCACCUAUCCACUUUUCCCAGUAUACUUGUCGAAGAAUAUCGCCCCAAUUAUCAGCUUUUGUAUUUGUCAGGCAGUGCUUGCCUCGGGUACCCUCUUCUCAAUGCGGGCAAGAAGCAACUCACUAUCCUGCAAAACAUACAGGUAUUGCAUGGUUUAAAAGGUCGGCGGAGAGAGACAGAAAAGCAUAUUACUCACUAUCCUGCAAAACAUACAGGUAUUGCAUGGUUUAAAAGGUCGGCAGAGAGAGACAGAAAAGCAUAUUAAUUUAAAGCAGUAAGGCAUCCCUUUCUUCCAUUCUUUGCUUCUGCUCCAUGUUUCGAUACUCCCUCCAAACACGAUUAAUUUCUAGUAGUCAAUUCACAAAAUUCAGGCACUUCAUAAGCUUCCUCUCGAUUAUGCUAGAACGAAAAAUAUGUUAACCACGCCAUAUAGAUGAAACAAGCCCAUCCCCACCAGACAGAUAGCAGUAAGCAAGCAUUUGUGCAAUAUUCAAUAAUAUUCAGGAUUUUAGUUCUGCUGGAACUGUUGAUCAUGCUUGAUAUUCCUUUCUCCAGAGAUUACUAGAAACCCACCUCACUUCCUCGAUCCAAAUGUCACAAAUUUGACUGUAACAAUGGCCAAGACAAAGGUAAUUCAUAAUGGUGGUUGACUUGGUGGCUUCCUCAGGCCAUUGUAAGUUGUAUAAAACAAGGGGGAUGGGAUGUUCAAUAUCCCGAGUCACACACCUGAUGCUUUGAACUCUAGAUAGAGCAUAAUAAUUCUCUGACUACCUCAAGCUGCAGAUAUCACAGCAUAACCUAAAAUUUGCAUGAUGUAGGUACUCUAUCAUGCCAUACAACAGUGUGUGCAUCACUGCAGGUAUAUAUAUUGGACCAGUGAAAUAUCACCUGUACAAUUGCUUGUGCACAAAGCUUUCCUGAAAGAACGGCACCUUCCAUUGAAGCCAAAUACUUCUGUUUUGUAUAGUCACCAGCUAAAUAGAACCCUUGAACUGGAGAUCUUUGCAACGGACGAGAGGGUUCAGUUCCGGGCACAGUUUUAUAAACUGACCUAGAAAAAGAAAAGCUCCAUUUUCAUUUUCAGAGGUCAAUAAUAAAAUGACUGCAGAAUUCUGAAUCUCAAUGAAAUUCAAAUUUCAGGUGCUUUAUAGGUUGACAAGGCAUAAAAUGAAUUUUGAGGUACGGUGAGCCAAAUUGUUAUGAAAAGUUAUUGCUACAAAGCUAUAUUUCAUGGACAUGAUCCAGCGCAUUACCAUUACAAAGAGGACCGUUCACAUUCUCAACAUUCCAGCGGACUUGAGCAAAACGUAUUAUAUCAUUGUUUCCAAUUUUCUAUAAUAGCAAGGAAUAGAAAGACAAAAAAGUCACCUUGGAGUUUUUACAAUAUGGUAUUUCAAGAGUUUUGCUUUGCUCUGAUCAGCAGCAAUUUCAUCAGGAAAUAAUUUUGCAAGUUCCUUCAUUGUAGCAUCAAUAAUUUCCUCAUCACUUUGUGAUAUCCAUUCUUCUGCAGGUGCAAAAACUAGCUCCAACAUUGAUUGGUUUGGACUGUAAUAUUCCUGCAUAAAUUUUACUUUUGUGUUUAAGGGUAGCUUAAAGAUAGCUCCUCUGACCAUAGUCGUCACAAAUUGUUGUGAACAAAGCAUAUCAAGUUGCAGCCCAAAGAUACAACUUCCCAAGCACCGAUAUACAAAUAAAUAAAUAAAUAAAGAGAGGCUAGAAUAAUUAAUAGCAACAAGAACCAGUUUCUAACUGAAACUGUUUAGAUGCGCUAAAAGCUUCCAACAAUUUGAGAUGAAUUUUUGACUUUGAGUAGAAUUUGCUUUAGCCCAAUGAUUUAACUCUAGGGUACCUGCCUUAAAAGAACUCUGGGUCAUACCCGGACUUUCUUUCUCUAAACUAUUACAUGGUGAGGUAUGCCAACUUGCUUAUUUUUCAGUGUAAUAUACCUUACAUCCAUGCACAAAAUAAGAUUUCUCUGUCAUGUGAUUUGGAAAUUUUAAGCAAAUGACUUUGCUGCCUUGCUGAUGGGAGGAAGAAAAAAAAAAAAAACUAAAUUGAGAGCCAAUACAAGUAUAUUACAUUAUGAAUCUUAAACAGUGUACAGGGAAUACCUUACACGUCACAGACAUGUCGGCAUACACACUAAGAAGUGGACUUCUGCAAGAGAAAGAAGGUUGGUUCAGGAAACAAGUCAUAUAGCAUAGGAUGGGACUUGAAACUGGGGCAACGUUACUUUUCCCUCUUCAAGCCCCAUUAGGGAACAGGGAAAAAGGAAAAAACAACUCAUGAUUGUACACAAAAUGGUUCAAAUUGUCUUAUGCUUCAUUGUUUCAGUAACAGAAAAUCAACACAUUAGAGUAAUGCAUAUAAGAUCUUAAGACACUAUAUUUUUCCAAAUUGCAGAUAGUGUAAGCAUAGUUGUUCUGAUUUUGUGUUAAGAGAUCUGUUAAGACAAAAACAUUCAAAGAUAGGAAUACACAAUAAAAUUUUGUUCACUGAUGGUACGAGUAUGGAAAAGACCUGCUAAAAAGAAGAUGAUCAUAUGUGUUCCUGAGCUUCCUGUCAAACCUGCAAUUGAAGUCAAUUAUAUCAAUAUCACUGAGCUAAGAUAUUAUAGGAAUUUGUGACAACAUAUAGGAUUGUUCACUUAUACAAGAUGAUAUUCCUGUAGGGAACCACAUUCUAAGUGUUAUUUUGUGUAGUUACAGGAGGAAUCCAUAAAAUCUUACUCCUGAUUAAUCCAAUGAACGUCAGGAACAGAUUGUCAUUUUGAAAUGAUACAGAAAGCAUAUCAGGUGUUAAUUCAUAACUAGUGAAGAUUUGACCAACAAGGAUAGUCAAUUGCAUCAUUUCGACCACAAAAUAGCACUCACCUUUGCAGGUCAAACUUAUCCUUUAAAGGUCAUACACUUUGUAUAUUAUGAUAACUUUAAGUAGUUUUAUAUCGCAUAAUGUAAAUGUAUAUAUUAGAAAUAAUCAUCUAGAUAAAACCUUUAUAGCGAAAAGGACAACUGUUGAGUAAUAUCUUUAGAAUUGCUGAAAACUAAAUCACUAACCAUAUGUGCACAUUUAUAACAGGAACUCCAACUAAUUUCUCCAACUUUCUGAAGUAUGGCAUCUCUUUCCAAUCCUCAGGCAAAAGAAGCUUCAGGAUAUCAACUGUUAUCGUCACAUCAAACUAGCAAUCUUAAGAUAGUUCACCAAAAACUGGGGAACAUGUAUGAUUUCUUAGAUUAAUAAAGACUCUACCUGGAGUGGCAAAUACAUAAGCAUCUCCUCUAAUCACAGUUCCAUUAUUCAGCAAGAAGUUUUCAACACUUCCGGCAUCAUUGAGCUCAAUUUUCUGAAUUCUUGAGUUAAGGUGUACUCUGCCUCCUCGUGACUCAAUGUGCUCAACAAUCGGCAUGCAAAGUCUCUCUGGAGGGUUACCAUCUAAAAAUGCCAUUUUGGAUCCAUGCUUCUCCUGUUGAUCGAUUCUAAAAUUCUUUCAAACAGCUAAUACGAUAGAAAGAAAUCUCUAUCACAUCCUUCUAAUUUACAUAUGAAAGUGGCAAGAACUUUAUUAAGAAAACGGAGGUAUAAAUUGUAAAGGAAGCCAGAAGUAGAUUAAGAACUGCAAAGCACCCCGUGCCUUAAAGAAAACUUCAAAACCCUAAAAACAUAAUCUAUCUUUUCUCUUUUUUUUGUCAAAAAAAAAAAACUAAUCCAUCUGCCUUCUAAAGAUUGAGAAACUUCAAUCCAUAAAGUCCUACUCCUUAAAGACAUUGCAUGUACUCCCGUGUGCUCAAGAGAUCUAUAUGUUCAGACUGUGGGUAAUUAACCUGCUUUCAAUUUUCUGGUCAAGGAAAAAAAAAAAAAAAGAAACAAGGAACUAAAGAACAGCAAUGAACUGCACAGAGACUACUGUUUCUUAGUGUUGCUCUGUGUGUUGGAGCAGUACGAAGGGCACUACAGAAUAAAGGCCUGGAUUUUAAAAAAUUUAUCCCAAAAAGAAAUACUCAAUUGUGGAUAAAAAAUUUCACUAUAGAUGGAAGAUUCAUGGCAUUAGGCACUGGGACCUGGUUUUAACAAAUGAAAAUAAGUGAUCUUCCUUGGUCAUAGAGUGAGUAAGAAAUGUCCACUACGUGCAAAAGUAAGUCAUUCAAUUUGUAUAUACUUCAUGAGGAAGUCUAUUAAAUGCAGGUGAUACAUUUUAUUUAGGUGAUUAUUUGAAUGAAAAUCCUAGCAUCUCACUAUAAGUUAGAGAUGUUAUCAAAAACACACACACACAGAGACACAGAGAGAGGAAUGGAUCCAACCUGAAGAAAUCGGUUCAAAGCUAUUAAAAUGCACUGCAUUGAAAGUUCAUCUGGAUUUAUGAAGUUCAGUGCCUUUGACAUGGCAAAGAAUACUUCAUCAGUCACCCGAUCUGGUAUGCCCUAAAAUACAGUCAAAGAUUACACCAUAUUCUUCUAGAAAAAUGCACUAAUAUAACUUCUCAACAGAAGCAAAGGAAAUACAGAAAGGAAAGAAAAGUUCAACUUUGUAGUGAAGCUUAGGUAAGCAUUAACUUGGCAUGGCAGUGGGUCGUUAAACUUGCUAACUUAACAUUCUACUGAAAAUGGUUGCAUACUUGCUUUCUCAUCCAGUCUUUGACAGUUAUACCAUCUUGUGCCUCAACAUAAGACUGUCCACCCAGAAUUGCUGGCAAGAGUCCAAUUGCAAAUUUGACUUUCUCUGGCCAAGUAAGCAUGUCAUUAUUCUUCAAGAUGGCCCAUAUUCCUGCAAGACCAAUUUGAAAACAAUAUCCACAUAAAAACAAGUUACUUCAUUUGAAAUUUGGCUGCACAAAUUAGCUCACCAUUUAAUGGUGCUGGUAGCACCUCAGGAAAAUCAAAUCGACUGAACUCUCCAGGCUUAUUUGGCAUUGCAAAUAUCAUUGAAUGCUCCUUCCACUGCAACCGAUCAUUAAUUCCUAGUUCUCCAAACAGGUUCUGCAUAUUUGGGUAAGCCCCAACUUAAGGUGGAUCAAGAAUCAAUGUCACAAGUUAUUUGCUGCAUCAUAAUGUAUCUUAAAAAGAAACAAGAAGAAUCAUCUACAUUCAUGCUUAUAAGAAAUUCAAAAAAGCACGGAACAAGAUAAGGCAAAUACGAAAAUCAAGAAAAUUUGACAAAACAACAUCCCAUGAUAUUUGGAGGUUAAUUAAAAUAACCUCUUUACGAUCAAUCACCUUUACAAGAACCUUAACUGAUUUUACUGAGAAAAAGACAAUGUUGUCCAUUAAUGCUAACCUGGUGCAACUUGUAAGAUAUUUGCUCAACAAUGUUUAAGUAAAUGUUUAAGUACUGUGGUUCGUACCCUUUGUUAUCCUAACAGCAGUAAAGUUGGAUUUGAAAAAUUUAGAAAAAUCCAAUGUAAUUUCACAAAACAGAAGAGAUGUCUCCAUAAGAAUUAUAAAACUUAUAAGAGAUCAGCGUAGCUUGCCUUAAUAUCAAAGACUAACAGUUUUCCAGAGGACAAUAUGGGCAAGAGAGCAUUUGAAAAGAGCAUGAUUAAAGCAAUCCUUCCAGUAGCAGUCAUCAUUACAAGGUUUAAGUAAAUCGUUACAUUUCUUCCUUAUACUUACAGAAUACGUGCAGGCCAGUCUCAUACCAGUCUCCAUCAUCAUCUUUCCAUGCAGCAACCUAGGUACAGACAAAUGAUUUUCAGAAGAGGAAAAGUAUUCCUUAGAUAAAGAGGUUAAUAGACCAUAUUCCUCUACACAUCAAUUUGCAUAAGUAAAUGAUGGAAGCUAGUUUUAGAAGUCUAACCAAUAAUUGCAACAAUAUUGUUCUGUCUUCCCUUAACAUACCAACCACAGAUUUUACCAAUAUAACACUGUGUGCAAUGCACAUACAGAAACUUGGAUAUCAAAAAGUUUACACAUUAUGCACACAUAUAGACCAACUCCCACAUCCAUAUACUGGAAAAUUUUGAAAGACUUUCCUUGAACUUUGACACAGUCCAUUAUGCCACAAGGAAUUCAUGAACACUAAUGAGUAAUAAUUUGGCUACCUUUCCUCCCAGAACAUCCCUAGCUUCCAACACUAUAGGUUUAUGACCUGCAUCGGCCAAAUACUUUGCAGUAGACAAACCAGCCAAACCUGAAAGUAUAAAACUUAAUCAAGUAAGUGGAAAUUUAUUUCAUAACAGACUUUGUUCUGUAUGUCAUACCUUGACUUAUUUUCAGAAGCAAUUGACUUAUAACAUCCGAUGUUACAAAUUUAUGACAAAAUACUAAAAUAAGACAACAUAGGUUCUAAUGGAGGCUAAAACAUAUAAAAUAUCAGCUAUAAAAAGUGAUCCGUCUUGCAAACCAGAUAAUCAUCUGAUAGGACUCCUAAAUAAGACAGCCCCAAAUUCAUUCACAAGCCUACCUAUGCAUGUACAGUGACGAAACCUUUCAGAACUUAACCAAUCAUGAGGAGCACCUAAAUUAUGUGGAGGAAAGUGGAUAGGAAAGCUCAUGCAUAAUGAAGUCAAAUUAUUCUGCCAAAAAUUAUUAAACACUGUUCUUAGCUACAAAAGCGAGUGUGUGGCUGCCAGAGCUUAUGAACCAAAAGCACGGAAUAAUACUAAAACGAGGCAUGUUUGAAAAGUGAAAAACUAUAAUCUAAAUGGAUACCAUAGCACAGCUUAUGAGUUCACUGGAAAUAAGAUUUACUUUCGAAAUAAAAUGGCAGAAAAGUAUAAUUAAAGAUUGAGUGUGAUAUUUCCACCUGCACCGGCGAUCACCACCUCUAAUGGUUUAUUUGGAUGAGGAGAAGUACGGAAUGUUGAUGAUAAAUAAGCAGCUUCCAAAUAGUUGACGGCAUUUUCAAGCUCUGGCCUUGGAUAGUCAAUACAAGCUACCUGCAUGAUGAAGCAAAGAGUAAAUUGGAUUAGUUUCCCUUCUUUUGUUAUUGUUUGUCGUCCUUGAUAUUGAUGAUCAUCAGAUACAUUUUUACCUUUAAAGGGCCUGCAUCCUCCGCCCUUGAUCUCAUGACAACCGAAUUUGCAACUUGAACUUUCAAUUUAUCUCCCAUAGAAUCACCACCUCCAAAUGAAAGUGAGGUCAUUUGCCCAGAACCAAAACAAAGGCCACACUUCCAAGCAGAAUGAGGGCUCCGAACAUUAAUCACACUAGUUUGCCUGGUCAGGCUUAGUGCAGAAACAUGUCCAAGUUGAGACAUUUCUCCAAAUUGGGCACAAAAUUGAGUUUGCUUUUAGACUUCUCAACGGACCAACGUCACAGUGCAAUCAAUUUGGAACUUUUCCUAAAUCAAAUGGUUCAUUAAUACAAUUAAAACCAAGAGAUUAAGCUGUGCUGACUAUAAUUAGGUAACAUUCCCCGACCCCCCACCCCCACACGGGCCAAAAAAAAAAGCAACAGCCAACAACUCUCCUCCAUACAUGUAGCCACGAAGCAGCUAUACAGGAAAUGACUUAACCCACACAGGUAUAAGGGUACAAUAAUUUAUUUUUCGUUACGAAAAGAGCAACAAACAGAAGACAAAAGAAGGAAAAUUGUCGAAUUCAACCUGAGUGCAAAUGGGAUCAGAUAUCAUGACAAGGAAAAGAAGCAAAUCAAGUAAACCAACAAGAAAUAAAUAGACAGAGUAGCAAAGACUUGAGCGUCUCAAAUUUUGAGCAGCUGCAAAAUUUAACCCAAAAAGAACUGGAAUUGAGGGUGGGAAAGAAAGGUGCAAAAUUCCCGGUGCAAACUACAAAGACCCACUAUGACCCAACCAAUUGAUUAAUUUCCUCAAUUUGGUCCUUGGCAGCUCUAAUUUUACAACUUUUCAGUUUGAGGUGGUAAGCUUGAUUACCUCUAGGCGAGCAAAGAAUAGUCCAAGGAAACUCCUUUUUAGCUGCGAGUUCUUUAAGAGUGAGAUAAGGGAGAAGCAAGAAAGGAAGGCAGGCAGGAUUGCAGAGUAAAGGCCAUCAGAAAUCCUCCUUCCAGUUGCAGCUAGGAGGUAUAGCAGUUACUACCACUGACUGGAUACGCACAAAAAUACACACAAGAGGUGACAAGGGAAAAGAUAAAAAGGCAAACACGAAAGGUAGUAGUGUAAUAAUUAUUAUAUAGCAAUGGUUUUGUGAGGGAAGCGUGAUGUAAUUUGGUGGGUUUUGGCCGCAUUUGUUAUUGGGACACAUUUGUUAUGGCUUAGAAUAUUCUAUCCAUCUUUUACUUCACUUACAUGAGGACGGAACUUACUUUUCACCUUCCACUGUAUUUUACCUUUGUGCCAAAGCUCCACCAGGCUCCGCCUCCGUCCAUCCAUUUUCCUUCUGUUUCCUGCUUCUCUCUCUCUGUCUCUCUGAACUUUUCAUUCGGCACCGGUCCCUGUCAUUGUCCUCACAGUAGUUCCAUGAGCAGUAGUUGUAGUAGUAGUAGCGUACAUCAUCAUUCAUUCAUUCUCCCUUGCUAUUUUCUUGUAUGGUCGCGAUACACUAGCAGUCUAUACAGUUAGCCCUCUCUUAGUAACAAUUCUGAUCCGCUACCUAACCCACCAUUAAUAUUACUCCUUGUUGGACCACUAAAAUUAUCCUAUCCUAUGCACCACCAAACCAAAUUUAUCAGCAUUAGGCGAAGAUCCAAUUUACACAUCCAUUUACGUCUAAUAUCCUCAAUGAAUCAUCUUCAUCAUCAUCAUAAUUUAAAAAAAAAAAAAAAAAAAAAAAAAACUAAACUAAAAUGAACUCCCCAGCCUGCUAACAUAUUCUCAUAUGUGGAUAUGGGACGCAUCCAUAAUCCUCAUGGACGUCAAAAGUACACUUGUAGUAACACAAUUGGAUUCUUGGUCCAUUCCUGUGAGCCACCUUUUCUUUUUUUUUUUGGGAGUUCUCACCUGAAAAGUCUGGACCCAAUACCAAGAUCAAAUGUCUUGUCCCCAGGCCCAAAUAAGACAGGCCAUCCAAAAAGCCUCCACCUGGGCUUCCAAGGACACCCGCACCGAACACCAAGUCAACUCUUUUUGGACCAACAUGUACGAGAAAUAGCUCGCCAAAGUCGAAUGUGUUGUGUUUACCAGUUGUUUGUUUUUUUUUUUUUUUUUCAGCUGUUUACCAAAGUCGCCUGAAAGGCUUGGACCAAAAAAUAAAUAAUUUAAUAAAAACAACUAAUAAUAAAAACAGAAGGGGCAAGAAACUUGGAUGGCCGUAGAACUUUUAAGCCGGCAAUUUUUAGUCCCUCAACUAUUAAGUAAACACUUUUAGCCACCGAACUUAUUAAAGGGUCAAUUGUUGACCCUUUUGGCCAGUUUAUCCAGUUUUGCAACUGGCAAGAUCAUCUGUGCGACGCAACUCUUAAAUUUGAAAGUCCUUUUUGUCCACUCAAAGAUAAAAAAUCAAACAAAGCCCUCAAAGAACCUAAAUCUGACCAUUAUUCUUCACUUCAACAUCCUCAUCGUUCUCAUUUGAAGUAAGAAGGAAGUGGGGUGCAAUUGGAUAUGGCUAGGCAAACUUGCAAUUGGACAUGGCUAAGCAGACAAAAUAUAUUUCCUUCUUACUUCAAAUGAGAACGAUAAGGACGUUGAAAUGAAGAAUAAGGGCCAAAUUUAGAUACUUUAAAGGUUUUGUUCGAUUUCUUAUCUCUGGCAGACAAAAAGACCUUUCAAAUUUGGGGGUUGCGUCUCAUGUGAUGCAACCAACUAAACUGGCUCAAAGGGUCAACAAUUGAUCAUUUUGUAAGUUCAAAAACUAAAAGUAUUUGCUUAACAGUUGAGGAGUUAAAAGCUACCCAACUUAAAAAUUUGAGAUCUAUCCAAAUUUUUUGCCCAAGCAGAAAUCCAACCUCAGGUUUAGAGAUAAGAAUGCAUCCAUAUCAUAUGUAUUUAGUGCUCAAAAGUUCAAUUUUUUUGCCCAAAUAGAAAUCCAACCCCAGGUUUGGAGAUAAGAAUGCCUCCAUAUCACUGUAUUUAGCGCUCAUAAGAAGAAUUUUCUCAUACGUCGUGGGCCAAAAACUCUACAAGCCAAUCUCAUCGAGAGAGAGAGAGAGGUCACACUAGCAUUUGACAUACUAGACUCUGUCUGAUAACUCAAUUUAAUAAUUAAAUUUAAUUGAUUCAGGUGUUAAUAUAUUCAAAUACGUUUCAUAAUCAAAAGUUGAAUAUUUGAAUUAAUUAAGGGGUGCUGGAUUUUUUAGACAAAAUUUGUUCCAAUAUUCACUUACCACUUAAUGUGAUAUACACUCAAACGUACUGUAUCAGUUUUAGUAUUUAACAAUUCAAUAAUUUAAUAGAUUCAAAUUUCAAAUUUCAGAAUUCAAUCUUCAAACUUUAAACCUAAAAUUUUCCAAUCCCAUAAAAUUACCAGAAAUCGGAAUUAAAAAAAAAAUAGAAGAAGAAGAAGUAGUUACACGUAAUCAGUUGAACAAUGCGAAUUGUGAUGUGAAAAAAAAAAAAAAAAAAAAAGUCAUCCAAAAUUGUCCGCUUAAUAAAUUAGCUGAGCUGUCCUCCGGAAAGCGUCUGCUGGUCGUGCGUCUUACAAGUAAGUUACUUGCGACUUACAACCACCGAACUACCUUUCAAUCAAAACAAAACAAACGUGUUGACUUGGCGGGAGAUCUGAGAUAACGGAGCCGAAAAUUGUAAGAAGACCGUUAGGUUUGAAAGUCCUGCAGAUUUGACUGUCAGUUAAAAUACCUGCCCUUCUUCCUCUCCUCCUCAAUUCUGAAUUUCAGUCCAUUUUGAACCUUCCUUCCUUGUGAAUUUUUUCUUUUGGGGCCCCCCUUCAAUCUCCAUCAUCAUUUUCUCUUUGUCCUCAAACCUCCUGCUGUAUAGGGUGCUACCAGAUCAUCAGCGCCUGCUGCUUCUACGCUAGCACACUACUGAGGCCCUUUAUAGUUUAUAGCUCCACCCAUCCUUCCGUCCAUUCAAAUUCCCCCAACUGAUUAUUGUCCUAAUCCCACUACAAUUCAGUGAACAUCUCAUUACUUACUUGAGGAGGACCGACCCCUUCUGCUAUCUUUUGGAGGCAGCAAAAAUACAAAAAGUAAAUGCAUCUGCAUAACGGAAGUCCUCCAUCUAUGUUUUAGUCUGUUCUCUGUCAUGUUCGCUGUGCUCUGUGUAUGUUCAAUCUUGAAUGAUUAAGUUGUCUUUGGGCCUACCUAGUAGACAUGGCAAUGAAAAAUCACUUCCUGAAUCAUUAUUUAUUUCGGUAAAUUAUCUUCUUCUGUUCCGGGACAUUUAGACAAAUCUUGCUGAGAUCCUAUUAUAUGCCUGAUAUCUAUCUCCUUUGAAUUGAAAUCUACAAGGGUGUCAUUGCAGUUGCCUCUUUUUGCAUUUAAAGGUUUAGGCCUGUUCAAGCCCCCAUAGCUUCAAGUUUCAAGCGUCAGCAUUGGAAAAUUAUAUCAUAGUCUGUUUUUCACUUUUCUAAGUGAUGAACUUCCUGUAGGGAAAAAUUGUCAUUCUUUUCCCAUCCUAAUCGCUUCCACAGCCAAUCAACUUCUUUAUGUACUUUCUCAUCUGACAGCCUGGACAUUUAGAGCAAAUGUCCCCAGCAUAUCAAGAUCCUAAUAAUUCAUAAGUUCGAAUUUUUAGGGUAGUGUGGACUGUGGAGGAUAUGAUGUGAAUACAGCUACUGGCUGAUAUAUAUGUCUAUAGAUUUUAAAGGAACAAUUUUGGUUUAUGAUGUAUUGCUCUAGAGGUUCAAAGGAAUUUUAGAGACAUGCUGCUCAUUUAUCUCCUCUGAUGUAACUGGCAUUUGUUAUUUGCCAUCACAUUUCCAACUAAAAACAAAAUUUCACGUUUAGAUUUCAUCAUUGAAAAAUUUAAACCAAGAUUCCAUUUUUGUUUCUUGUUUUUGGCCCUAGACUUGAAACAUGGCAGAAGAUAUGAAUAAACCAUUGCUAGCUCCUGAAAAGUUUAGUAGAGAUGGAAUUGAUCUGGUAAGCUUUUACAACAUUAUCAUUCAAGUUUAACAUCAGAAAACUUCUGCUCAAGGCGUAUGAUAUCACCGUCUAUAUGGCUUCAACAGGAACACAUACCACUGGAAGAAGUGUUUGAACAACUGAGAACUUCACAAGCUGGACUUUCAUCCGAAGAUGCAGAAGUUCGAUUGCAGAUAUUUGGCCCAAAUAAACUUGAAGAGAAGCGGGUAAGUUUCCCAUUCAUAAAAGUAGAUUAUUAGUCAACAGUCCAAUGAAAGAAAGAGUGCCAUCAUUAAUUUCGCAGCACUAAAAUACAAGGUUCUGCCGAUUUGCUUAAAUGGGCAUCACCAUACUCCUGUAGAAAGCUCAUAUUGAUGACAUGCUUUCUUUGCAAAGAUGAGGGUGUUCAGGGUGGAACAGGCGCAGAAAAGCAACCAGUGAAUAGAUACUUCUGAUUAUAUAUUCCUAAUGAUGUGCUAUGUUCUAAUACAGUUUACACUGCAUCGUACUUUAAUUAUUGCAGCACACUUGUGAAGCUCUCUGCUCAUGGAUUUCAUUAGAUCUUGCAUAUUCUUGUAGUUCGUUUGUCUUCUCAAAAGUUGUUUUCGGUCUCCAGGAAAAUAAGAUUUUGAAGUUUCUUAGUUUCAUGUGGAAUCCCUUGUCAUGGGUCAUGGAAGCUGCAGCGGUGAUGGCAAUUGUUCUUGCUAAUGGUGGAGUGAGUUUAAUGAACCUUUUCAUUUCCUUUCUCACUAUUCGUGUCAAUUAAUCGUCUGGAAUGCAUCAUUUACUGGGCUUUUAUUUUCUUCCUUGUACCGGUCUCUUAACGUGUAAAAAAAAAUGGUGCACUUCAGGGGGAGGGUCCUGACUGGCAAGACUUUUUGGGGAUUAUUUGCCUGUUGCUGAUAAAUUCAACAAUUAGCUUUAUUGAGGAAAACAAUGCUGGAAAUGCUGCUGCAGCCCUUAUGGCACGUUUAGCUCCAAAAUCUAAGGUUUGUAUUUUCAAUACUCCUCUGAAAAUCAGCACCAUCCUCUAAAUUUAUUUGACUAAUAACUAACUCCGUUCCAGUCAACUGACCAAGGACUCGAACAUUGUCCAGAAACUCAAAGAGGCUUCUGCUUCCUGGAGUGUUCAAUCUUCACGAGAGAUGAAUAAGGAUGCAAGUUUAUCACAGAAGAGAAAAAUCAAUCGGACCUCAUUCUUAACAUGUCACCGCAAUCUUUUGUUUUAUUCAUGCAUGAUGCAUCUGUUAGAUACACAAAAAUGAUAAAAGUCAUUCAUUUUGCGUUUCACAGACUGACUGAUAAACCGCUCAUUUUUCCCUUUCUAGUUCUAAUACAACUUUCCAAGAUUCAAGCUGAGUCUAUUCAAACAUUACCUUCGUCUUUAUUUGAAAAGAUACGUACUAAAACAUCAAACGGUGGUCUUCUUCUGCAGGUCCUAAGAGAUGGAAUAUGGCAAGAGCAAGAUGCAGCUAUUCUAGUACCAGGAGAUAUUAUUAGCAUUAAGCUUGGAGACAUCAUCCCUGCAGAUGCUCGCCUACUCGAGGGAGACCCCUUAAAAAUUGACCAGGUAACUUAAUUUGAAUAUUACUUGCCAAAUUCAUGUAAAAGAAUUAAAGAAUUCCUCGACAUGGGGCAAAAUCAUGGAUUUAUCUGCAGUCAGCUCUUACUGGAGAAUCCCUACCUGUCACCAAGCGGACAGGUGAUGAAGUUUAUUCUGGAUCUACUUGUAAACAAGGAGAAGUUGAAGCUGUAGUAAUAGCUACAGGGGUUCACUCCUUUUUCGGCAAAGCUGCACAUCUAGUUGACUCGACUGAAGUUGUUGGUCAUUUCCAGAAGGUGACUAAUUUAUACUUCACAGAAAUAGUUUAGCUUUACCCUAUUUCCAAAACUAAAUCACAUAGAUACUGAAUAGAAUAGGUAGAUUGAACUUUAGGAGUCUCUGAUCAUGUCUGAUAUUGUAUUUAUUGGUGAAUUUGCUCUUUUGGUUUGAUUAGCUACAAACAUACUGAAGUCAGUAAAUUGCUUCUUCCUUCCCUUGUAUACCAAUGUUUAUCCUUUUAUGGUAAAAAUAGACUUCCACGACAGGAGGCCCUGUCUCUAAUCCAUAAUCAGGGCCCGGAAACGUUAUUACUAAAAUUUUCAAGUUCUCAGUCGAAUUGAAGUCUGUUUAGGAUUGGAACUUUGAAGAAAGGGACAUCUCUUUGCCGCAGGUCCUUACAGCAAUUGGGAACUUCUGCAUUUGCUCUAUAGCUGUAGGAAUGAUACUGGAAAUCAUUGUCAUGUUCCCAGUACAGCACCGCUCGUACAGAAGUGGAAUCAACAACCUUCUUGUGCUUUUAAUUGGAGGAAUACCAAUAGCUAUGCCAACAGUUUUAUCUGUAACACUUGCAAUUGGUUCUCAUCGUCUCUCUCAACAGGUAUAACUCUUAUGCAAAUUCUGGAACUAGCAGGAGUGUUAUGGUUGUGUUUUAUUUCUUGAAAAGUAAUUAAUGUGAAUGGCAAAUGCUUACAAGAUAGGUUUGAUCAGUCGGACCAUGUAGUCAGCAAUGUAGUUCUCAUUUCUUUUUGUGUUCCUUUCUUAUCCCUUUCAUUCAUCUCUUCAGGGUGCCAUUACAAAGAGGAUGACAGCAAUUGAAGAGAUGGCUGGAAUGGAUGUUCUUUGCAGUGAUAAAACAGGAACACUUACUCUGAAUCGCCUCACUGUUGAUCGGAACCUCAUUGAGGUACAAAAGCAGCUUGACUGACUUCAUAUUUGUCAAUACAAACAUGUUGCUUUUUGCUAGGUAGGGAUUUAAUUGGCUUAUACUUUGGAACAUUGGUCAGCUAAUACCUCAGAAAACCAGAAAUGAAACAUUUGUCAGUUUGGACUCGAAACUUUGGAGUAGGAUAUAAGCAUUCUGAACUUUCCAGUUUCUGGCUUUUAGCCUGACACCAGACUCACUUUUGUUGUGCUAGCAAGUUCCUAAUGGAGAGAAAAGAGCUCUUAGAAGUGUCUUUCACUCCAUAUAUUCAUUCUCUUAAGAUCUAAAGCUUUUGAACAGUUCUCUAUUUGACGUGCAUCUAUGUGAUGCAUGAUCGAUGCAAGUUAUAUCAUGAUUCCUUCUUAAAUGGUUUCUGAUCUUAAUCAAUCUUCUGCAGCGUCCAGGUUCCUAAUCACUACUAAUGUAAACAAUUAGUCAAUCUGAUGUCUGUUUACUUGGGUCAACCGAAAUUCUUAUAGGCAUAUAAGAUCGUUUUGUCGUUUCCUGUGCUCAGAAAAUGUAAAUUUCCUAUUCUAACAGGUAUUUAACAAUGAUAUGGACAAAGACAUGGUCAUCCUCCUUGCCGCAAGAGCAGCAAGAAUCGAAAAUCAAGAUGCAAUUGAUGCAGCAAUUGUUAACAUGCUUGGAGAUCCAAAGGAGGUAGACUCAAAAACUAGAUUCACAGAGUUUCAUUAGUCUCCUUUACAUUUAAGUACCAUGAUACACAAGGAGGAAGAUACUUGCGUUGAACUGAAUCCGGCUUCUGCUACAGGCCCGAGCUAAUAUCAAGGAAGUGCAUUUCCUUCCAUUCAAUCCUGUAGAUAAGCGUACAGCAAUCACAUACAUCGACAUUGAUGGCAAUUGGUACAAAGCCACAAAAGGAGCGCCUGAACAGGUAGCGAUCUCUUUUGGAAAAACCAUAUCUGAAUAUAGCUUGCCAGAAGGCAUUUGAACUUAACGGCUGAAGAAGGAUUUAGAAACUUUAUUCUUGCAGACACAUAUUCCAAAAAAAAAAAAAGUGGAAUAUAGAAUUUGAUUUUAUUAGGAAAUGGAACGGGGCAUAAUAUUUCAGUCAGACUAACACUCUUGUCGUUCCGUGAAACUUCAGAUAUUGAAUUUGUGCCAAGAGAAAAUAAAAAUAGAGAGGAAGGUGAAUACCGUUAUUGACAAGUUUGCUGAGAGGGGAUUACGCUCUCUUGCAGUUGCCUAUCAGGUAAAAUUUUAGCUCAGGUAAAUGAGGUAGAAGCCAUUUAAACUUAAGCAGUGAAUAGAAUUAGACAGAAUUAAACAAACUUUAAAAUUCAAAUGACCUACUUUGUCUGGCAGGGACUGUACGCUAAUGCAUUUCUGAACAUCAUUUCAGGAAGUUCCGGAAAAAUCGAAGGAGAGUCCUGGAGGGCCUUGGGUAUUCUGUGGGCUGCUGCCCUUGUUCGAUCCUCCUAGGCACGACAGCGCUGAAACCAUCCGCAGAGCACUUAAUCUUGGGGUUUGUGUUAAGAUGAUCACAGGUAACAGGGUCUAUCUGUGGUCUGGAUUAUCUCCAGAAUGAAAAUUAAGUGAGAGUCAUAGAAAGAUAAUCAUUGAAAGCCUACGGGUUGUCUAAAAUUUUCUACUUGAGCUACACAUAUGAGCACUUCAUUAUAACUUAUAAUCCUGGCAGAUAUAUUCAAUGAAUGUGAACUCAUCAACGACUGGUGCUGUUUCCUAGAUAUUUCAAAGGGAUACAUAAAGGAUUUUUUGGCUCUUUUCUACUGAAACAGGAGAUCAGUUGGCGAUUGCAAAGGAGACUGGUCGACGGCUUGGCAUGGGUACAAAUAUGUACCCUUCUUCCUCAUUGUUGGGUCGUGAUAGGGAUGAGAAUGAAGCUCUUCCAGUUGAAGAGCUCAUUGAAAAAGCUGAUGGCUUUGCCGGUGUAUUCCCUGGUAAUUAAAUCAGAAGCCGCCCCUGGUAUUGUUGCAUUUUAUGUGCUUCAGAUAGUAUCCUCUUUCUAACUAUUAGAAAAUUUUUUUCUUUAAUCUGUUAUUUAGAUAUGAUGAAACCAAAGACUCGAUUUCAACCACCAAGAGAUUAAAUUUCAAGAAUUGUAUCUUGGAUUGGGUAAAGAAAGGGUGAUUACAUGAGCUAACUAAACUUUUUAUAGCUGCCAAAGCGCAUCCAAAAGAAAGAAUGCUCUUGAUCACUUUACAUUCAUAGGUUCUGGACUUUUGCUGACAGCAACUCUUUCUUUCUGCUGAUCAAUCUCCGAAGUGCGCAGUUCUGAAUUCAGAUCAGUUUAGUUUGCAAUACUUAUUUGGCAUAGAUAGCUUAACCUUUUGCACCAAAAAAAAAAGCUCCAAGGUGUAAUUUUCAGUUGGGUCCUCCAGCUCAAGUAGAUUUACAUGUAUCAACUGAAAAUUUCUGAUAGGAAUACCAUCAGAAAUUAGAAGAAAAUUGGCAGUCUGAUAGUAUUCUCAGGUGCAAAAACUAUAAAAUUCUCAAAAAAUGACAGAAAAUUGUGGCUAUAAACUGAACUGUCGCGUUGAUCAGAAUUUUUUAGUUUUUGUAUCUGAGAAUAAAUGCACAUUGCGGCUAUCCUACGUGAACUUCUAUGUCUGCCUCAUCUAUUUUUUAGAGUUUCGUGUUUAUUUCCAAUUCGCAUAACAUGAUAAUUUUGAAAUCAUCAUUUGUUAGAAACUGUUUCGUUCUUUUAAUGGAACUUAUUUUACUACUGGUUCUGCACGAUACACGUCUGUGGCAGCACUUUCCGACUAUUGUUUUCUGUCUCCACUCUCCACCUUCUUGUGUCCUGAUUCAUUUUUCUGAAAUAUAAUUGUCAGAACACAAGUAUGAGAUUGUUAAAAUACUACAAGAAAAGAAGCAUGUAUGUGGAAUGACUGGAGAUGGUGUAAAUGAUGCACCUGCGCUUAAAAAGGCAGACAUUGGCAUAGCAGUUUCUGAUUCUACGGAUGCUGCUAGGGGCGCUGCUGAUCUUGUCUUGACAGAACCCGGUUUAAGCGUGAUCAUCAGUGCUGUUUUAACUAGCAGGUCUAUAUUCCAAAGAAUGAAGAAUUAUACAGUUAAGUCCCAUUUCCUACAGAAAUGAACCGAUUGUUCAUAGAUUAGUACUGCUCGUCUUUCUCAAUUAGUAAAAGGAAUUUUCAGAUAUAUUGUCUAUUUUAUAUCCAGGCCCAAUGUGAAUGGGCACAGAAGAAUGGGACACUUAAAGACAUCAUUUUGUUGGUGUCACUCACGUCUCAAUGCUAGGGUCUCUGUUUCUUUUCAUCCAUGAAAAUGCUCUCCCUGAACUAAAUGCUAAUCUAUGAUGAUGUAUGCAGAUAUAUGCUGUCUCCAUAACUAUCCGUAUUGUGGUAAGCUUGGCAAUCAAUUAACAACAUCUCAUUUCUUGAACCAUCUGAAUUCAUAUUUACAUUUCCUGUAGUAAAUGACAAAUCUAAGUGACAUUUUAUGUUUUUCUGCAGCUUGGUUUCACGCUUCUAGCAUUGAUAUGGAAAUAUGACUUCCCUCCAUUCAUGGUUCUGAUAAUAGCUAUACUGAAUGACGGUAAUGGCAUAUGAUUUGUUACUUCGCUUUCAAUCAACAGAAAGUUGAAUUUUGUCACUUCCAGUUAGCAUGAAGCAGACAAUGUCUGUCGAUGUUUAGAAUAAGCUGCAAGUUGAAAGAAGAGCACAAAAGUGUAUUUGGCUGUGCUGAUUGUAUAGGAUGAUUUAUUUGAUCGUCUGCAAUGAAUCUUUACCAAAUAUCUGUCUACUUCACUUUACCUUUUAGCAUCUUUUCAUUUAAGAUAUUUUUAAUGUUCCAAGUGCAUGUUCUUGAUUGUACCCUUAGAAGGAACAGUAAUAUGAAAUAGGUUUUUCUUCUUCAAAUGCUAUAGCUGUACAACAACUGAUUCUUUUCAUAUUACUAAUAGGCAUCUGAUUUUGUUCAUUUCCACUUCCAGCCAGAUAAUAGGAAAAGGUUUGGAAGAUUGAAAAGUUCUCCACCAUGGUAAAUUGUAAAUCAUCUGAAAGCUUUUCUUAAGAUCUAACAGUUUACUGCAUGUUGAGGGUAAAUAAUUAGAUCAAUGUGAAUUGUGAAGAAGUUUAUAUUUCCUCGCUGCUUCUUAACCUCAGCUGAUUUAGUCACUCGUAACAGUGGAACACCGCAUUCAAUGGUAAUUUAUGCAGAAUCAUGCCCAAUCAUGUUUUUUUUUUCCCUCCAACAGGUACCAUAAUGACUAUAUCACAGGAUCGGGUGAGACCAUCUCCCAUACCAGAUAGUUGGAAGCUCAAUGAGAUUUUUGCGACUGGCAUUGUCAUUGGAACUUAUCUUGCUAUAGUCACUGUACUAUUUUACUGGACCGUAAUCCGUACCGACUUUUUUGAGGUGCUAAUGCUUUCCCUAUUGUUUUCAGUUGGAUAUUCACGUCUCAGUCACAUGACGUCUCACGUCAUUUGAUUGAGGCUUUGGAAAUGGAAUUAGGAUGAACUGUCCGUAUUAGUUUGGAUUAGGCUUCCGUAUUCAAUGUUGAUCCACACACACUGUCUACCAUUGCAUCAGAACUUCUUAAAUUCUACCUUCGCUUUUUUUGGUUUUUGACCUGCAGACUCACUUCCAUGUGAAGUCUUUAUCCGGCAACACUGAAGAAAUAUCAUCAGCCAUCUACCUACAAGUUAGUAUCAUCAGCCAAGCGCUCAUUUUUGUUACCCGCAGUCAGGGUUGGUCAUUUCUAGAGAGGCCUGGGACUCUAUUGAUGUGUGCAUUUGUGGUGGCUCAACUGGUAAGAAUUACCAAAAUCAGCUUCAGAUUCUGUUUCAUGUUUCUUCACAUAGAAAUUCAUUGCAGUCCCUUUAUUCCUCUCCUUCUAUAGGCUGCUACGCUGAUUUCGGUGUAUGCCCAUAUUAGCUUUGCUUCCAUUAGAGGCAUCGGUUGGCGUUGGGCGGGUGUGAUAUGGUUAUACAGUCUAGUGUUUUAUGUUCCCCUGGACGUGAUCAAAUUCACCGUACGCUAUGCUUUGAGUGGAGAUGCCUGGAAUCUGGUCUUCGACAGGAAGGUUUGUGCAAUUUCUUGUUUCAUGUUAAAUUUAUCAACUUCUCACUUCUUGUGGAUGCAUAUGAAUAGCCAGCUCCUCCUGAUUCGUCCAUUUCUAAAUCAAUUUCUGGGAUGAGCAGACAGCUUUCACAUCUAAGAAGGAUUAUGGAAAGGAAGACAGAGAGGCCAAGUGGGUGGUUUCACAGAGGACAUUGCAUGGCUAUAACUCCGGGGAGUUUGAUUCCAGUGGAAAGAGAUCAUCUUUGAUUGCUGAACAAGCAAGGCGGCGUGCUGAAAUAGCCAGGUGUUUGGACUUUCUCAACAAGCUACUUUUCCCCUUUUUCUCGUAGAUUUUCCUGUCAGAUGAUUUACUAUAAUGGCUUACGAAUCCUCAUCUUUCAAAAUUGCUUCUUAAAGAAGGCUGACACAGACUCCUCAUACUUGCAGACUUGGAGAAUUGCAUACUUUCAGGGGACAUAUGGAAUCAGUUGCAAGGCUUAAAAAUUUGAAUCUCAGCAACAUCCGUUCAUCCCAUACUGUUUGACAUGAAAACCUUGUGAGACAAUCUUUGCUGCGGUGACAGUGAUGCCAAAGUUACUGGAAAUGCAGCUGAUAAAGGGUUAUAGAAUCAUGUUCAAGAUUCCGACCUCAAGGAUACCUUUCUCAUAUUAUUCGUGUUUUUCACAUCUACUUUCUUCCCUUUCUUCUAUAGUUUUGGAAGUAUUUCGUCAUUGUACGCCAUACAUUCUUUCGUAGAAGACAGUGACAUCCAUUUUCACAGAACAACCGACGAGCAAAUAAACAGUUUUUCCAGGCUAAACAGGUGUUUUGCGCAUACCGCUGACAAAAUUUGAGUAAAUUGACUGGAAUCGGAUGCGGUUCCUCUUCCUGGUCCUUUCUAUUAAAUAAGAAUUCAUGUACAAUCUAUUUUUGGUAAACCCCUAUAUAUACUUGAUUGAUUGACCUAAUAUACAGCUAUGGUAACUGAUUUUCUAUUCUAGGUAAGAAAUAUAUACAGAUUUUAGCCAUGAUGUCUGUCAUAAUCUGCCAUAAUCUUUCCCAUAACCUCUGCCGUAUAAUUUGCCAUAAUCUUUCCCAUAAUAUCUGCCACAAUCUUUCCCAUAACCUCUGCCACAAUCUCUGCCAUUGAUACCAUUGAUAUCCCCCCUCAAAUUGAUGUUGGCUGAUCAACAAGCAUCAAUUUAUCAACAAGAAAGUGAUGACGAUUUUUGGAGAGAGCUUUAGUAAACACAUCCGCAAUCUGGAGAUCAGUGGGGAUAUGCGGAAGAGAGAUGACCUGAGCAUCAUAUGAUUCACGAAUAGAGUGACAAUCCACUUCAAUGUGUUUGGUACGCUCGUGAAAUACUAGAUUAGCCGCAAUUUGAAUUGCACUAGUGUUGUCGGCAUGAAGCGGUGUAGACCCUUUUUGAGGAAACCCGAGCUCACCUAACAAUCCACGGAGCCAAACAAUUUCAGAGCAUGGAGAAGACAUAGCACGAUACUCAGACUCCGUAGAAGACUUAGACACCCUGUCUUGCUUCUUGCUUUUCCAGGAAACGAGAGAAGUACCAAGGAACAUGCACCAACCAGUAACUGAACGUCUAGUAUCAGAGCAACCAGUCCAAUCAGCAUUACUAUAUGCAAUCAGGCGAAUAGGAGAGUUUGCUGGAAAGAAAAGACCACGAGAAGAAGUGCCUUUCAAAUAGCGAACAAUGCGGCGAACAGCUGCCAAAUGAAGGUGCCGAGGUGCUUGCAUAAACUGACUAACUUGUUGAACAGCAAAAGAGAUAUCAGGACGAGUAAUAGUCAGGUAGUUUAGACUACCCACCAGCUGUCGAUAUAAAGACGGAUCAGAGAUAAGAUCACUUUCAUCAUGACGAUACUUAACAUUCACUUCCAAAGGGGUAUCAACGGAUCGACCAUCUUGAAGACCAGCCAAAGCAAUUAACUCCCGAAUGUAUUUGUGCUGAGUUAAGAAAAUACCGGUGGAACUAGAAUAUACCUCAAGACCUAAAAAAUACUGUAAAGAACCCAGGUCCUUCAUAUGGAAACAACGUUGAAGAUAGUCUUGAAGUUGAGAAAUCAAUGCAUAAUCAGUCCCGGUAAUAACAAUAUCAUCAACAUAUACAAGAAGUAUGACAAUGCCUUUAGAUGUCUUGCAAAGAAACAAAGAGGAAUCAUACUGGCUUUGGACAAAGGAGAAACCAAGAAGUGUGGAACGAAAUUUAUCAAACCAAGCACGUGGAGCUUGUUUCAAACCAUAGAGUGAUCGUUUCAACUUACAAACAUCACCUGAAGGUGUGGAGAAUAACCCUGGUGGUGGAGUCAUAUAAAUGUCUUCUUUCAGAUCUCCAUGUAAAAAGGCAUUCUUAACGUCCAUCUGUCACAGUGACCAUCCCUUAGAAGCAGCAAUGGCAAGAACAAGUCGUACCGUAGUCAUCUUUGCUACAGGAGCAAAUGUCUCCUCAUAAUUGAUUCAAUAUUCCUGUCGAUUACCAAGGGCCACCAAUCUCGCUUUAUGUCUAUCAAGCGUUCCAUCGGACCGUAGUUUAAUGGAAUAGACCCAUUUACAGCCAAUGGGUUUUACACCAGUAGGACAAGGUACGAUGUCCCAAGUAUGAUUCUCCAAAAGAGCUUGAAGUUCUUCGUCCAUAGCUUUUACCCAACAUGCAUGUUUAGUUGCUUGAGAAUAAGAGGAAUGUACUGCAGUGUCAACUAAAGCGGUAGAGAAACCAUACCUAUCAGGAGGUUUGCUGAUACGGGAAGAUCGUCGCAGAGUCACAGAAUCAUCAGAAGUGGUAGGCAGUGGAGCAGGAUCGGGAAGGAUUUCUACUGAUGGAGGUCGUCGACGUUGAUAGACAAUGCCAGGUCUAAAUCGUUGAAUUGGUGGAGAGAUAUCAUCAAAGCUAGGAAGAACAACAUUGUUGGAAGGAAAAGUGUGCUGCGAAAAAUAGUACUCAUGCUCAAAGAAAAUGACAUGUCGAGAGACACGCAAACGAUUAGCAACAGCAUCAUAACAUAAGAAUCCUUUUUGAGUGGUGCUAUAUCCCAUAAAGGCACACCGAACUGACUGAGCUGCAAGCUUGUGGCGCUCAUGAGGUGGUAGGUGAACAAAACAAACACAACCAAAUGUGUGUAGCAUGUGAUAAUUAGGAUGUACACCAAAAAGACGAUAAUAAGGAGAAUCAAAACCCAAUUGUUGAGAAGGCAAUCGAUUAAUCAAAUACACAGCAGUUGACAAAGCUUCAACCCAAAAUCUAGGGGGUACAGAAGAUUGCAAGAGUAAUGUUCGAACCAUAUCCAACAAAUGGCGGUUUUUGCGUUCAGCCACCCCAUUUUGUUGAGGGGUAUAAGGACAUGAUCUCUGAGAUACAAUCCCUUUGCGUUGCAAGUAGGCUUGGAAGUCAUGUGACACAUAUUCCCCACCAUUAUCAGACCGUAAGAUCUUAAUACAAGUGGAAAAUUGUGUCUCAAUGUAAGCCACAAAGGUUUGAAAAAUAGUAAACACCUCAGCUUUAGUGCGCAGGAAAUAUAUCCAUGUGAACCGACUAUAGUCAUCAAUGAAUGUCACAAAGUAUUUAUACUGCGCAUGUGAAAUGACAGGAGUAAUACCCCAAACAUCACUAUGUAUUAUCUCAAAGCAUGCACUAGCACAACCAACAGAAGUAGGAAAAGGUAACAUCUUACUCUUCCCCAAUUUACACACAGAACAAUCAAGAGAUGAUGCAUGAGCAAAACCUUGAUCUUUAGCACCAAGAAAACCACGCUUUAUUAAAUCAGAUAAAAUGACAUUAUUUGGAUGACCCAAUCGUCUAUGCCAAAUUUCAGCCUUAUUGUCAACAAUCAUAGAGGCUAAAGAUAAAGUUCUAGGAACAGUAAAUUGCAAUGGAAAUAAUCUUCCCACUCUAGGCCCCUUCGCGAUUACCUUCCCCGACAUCUGGUCCUGCACAAGACAACCACCACGAGAGAAAUGUACAUCACAAUGAUUCUCCACUAGCUGUCCAACAGAGAUUAAAUUAGUAGACAACUUAGGAGCAACAAAUACAUGGCGAAAAGAAUGUCCAAUAUCACCAAUAGCUGUAAUUGGAAGAUUACUACCAUUAGCAAUCUGAAUAUUUUGGCAACCAGUAUAUGGCCGCAAAUUUUGUAAAAAAUCAGAUGAACCAGUCAUAUGAUUGGUCGCUCCUGAGUCGAUAAGCCAAGUAGAUGAAGCUGGCUUACCUUGACCUUGAAGUCCAAGGGCAGAAAAUGCAGUAAGAAUCAUCUGUGGGACCAUUUCUGGGGUCAGAACAGUCUGGCUGGUGGUAGAUGUAGGACCAAUAACAGGAGCAUCUGGAACAGUAGCUUGAAAAGCUUGGGCUCGCCUGUUUUCCGGACGUGUAGGACAUUCCUUGAGAAUAUGUCCACUUUGCUUACAGUAACUGCAGAAUUUCUUACCACAAUUGCGAGCAAUAUGGCCAAACUCCUUGCAGCUGUAGCACUGCAUUUGUCCCUUUCCUCUAUUCCUUCCUUGUGCAGCAUAAGCAACAUUGACAACCUCUGAUGUCCCACCAGCUGCACUUAGAAUUGACUGUGUAGCCAAUCUUUGUUCUUCCCGUAACAAUUCACCAACACACACAUCCAAAGAAGGAACUGGAUUUCGAUUCAGCAAUCCACCCCGAGCAGUCUCAAAUUCUGGUCUCAGUUUCAUCAAAAACUGAUCACGCAUGCUAACUUGAUGAACUUUUUGAAAGCUUGCUAAGGCCUCCUUAGGUAUCUCAAAGUAGAUGAUAUCAGAAUAUUCACCCCACAGAUUUAGAAAUGCAGAAUAAUAUUGCUCAAUAGAGAGAUUACCUUGACUGAACUUACUGAUAUCAAGUUCAAGCUGAAAUCGUCUUGCAGUGUUGUGUUGAUGAUAUAUGCGUUUCAGAAAAUUUCAUAUCUCCUUUGCAGUAUUAAAUGAACGUAAGCUGUUCACCAUAUGAGGUUCAAUGGAUGCUAAAAUCCAUGAAAUAAUUCGUGAAUCAUUUGAUUCCCAUUGACUUAUUUCUUUCUCAGUUCCAGAAGCAGUAGAAGACCCAUCAAUGUGACCCCAAAGCUCCUUCCCUUUCAGAAACAUUCUGAACUGAAAUUCCCAUGUUGCAUAAUUCUUCCCUGUAAGUCUGAUACCCAAAGUCUCUGCAGAUUGUCUUCCAAAAGAAUUCUCAGCAGCCAUUCUUAACAAAACUCAAAUGCAAAUCCGAAAUCACAGAUUGAUAAACUAAGAAAUAUCAAAACCAGAAUGUUGAUUAGAAAUCAACCCAAAAAGCUAUAGAAAAAAAAUACUCAAAAUAUCUUAUAGAUUCAAAAGGUAGGCUGUGAUACCAUGACAAAAUUUGAGUAAAUUGACUGGAAUCGGAUGCGGUUCCUCUUCCUGGUCCUUUCUAUUAAAUAAGAAUUCAUGUACAAUCUAUUUUUGGUAAACCCCUAUAUAUACUUGAUUGAUUGACCUAAUAUACAGCUAUGGUAACUGAUUUUCUAUUCUAGGUAAGAAAUAUAUACAGAUUUUAGCCAUAAUGUCUGUCAUAAUCUGCCAUAAUAUUUCCCAUAACCUCUGCCAUAUAAUCUGCCAUAAUCUUUCCCAUAAUAUCUGCCACAAUCUUUCCCAUAACCUCUGCCACAAUCUCUGCCAUUGAUACCAUUGAUAACCGCUUGGCGCCCCAGAACCAAACAGCAUUGCUGCAAUGGCAACUCAUCAGAAAUCCGAUUUGCCAGCCAGCAUAAUGCAACUUUUUGGCAAGCAGGAACAACUCAGCAGAGUCGUGUUCCAUGUAAGCAAGCAAAACCUCUUUAUCAUCUUGCAGCAGCUAUGGUAGCUUCUCUUAGACUUAUGUUUUGGAAACAGGCUGCGGUGUAUGAGCGUCUUACAUAAUUUGACUUGUUUGGAUUGUAAGUUAUUUGGGAUUAUUUGAGAUAUUUUUACUGUAGCACUUUUUAUGAUGUGAUGUAUGUGAGAUAAAAAGGUAAUUGGGAAGAUAAAAAGGUGUAUUGGAAAUUGUAAUGAUGAUGUAAGCAAAUAAAACUGGGUAAAUAAUGCUCAAUCCAAACAAACCUUUAACACACGGUGCGUAAAUCCUGUUUCACACAAAUUAAUUGUAGCAUUACAAUAUGUUGGGCUAUUUGAAUUUUACAGGCAAGCAGGGUAACGAAAGUGAGAAAUUAUGGCUAUAAAAGAAAAACUCGAUUCAGACACCAUAAGAUGAUCUGGAAUACAAGUCAAAAACCGCAACAUCAAGCAACAACUCGAUGGCAAUACAAAACUGACAUAUCCUCAACUGAUAAACAGUCAAAGGAAGCAUUUGAUUACUUGUCAAGUUUCCAUUUUCUUGAUGACUGCAUUAUUACUUAUUUAAAACUUUGACAAAUAAUUGGAAUAACAGCCUUCUAUAAGGACGACAUCUGGAUUCUCUCCCUUCCGAGUCUUACAGAGUUAACAUAGUCCAGUGGGCUGUGAGCGGAAAUGCCAGGGAUGACAAGUCCGACAACCCUGGCCAGUGUGGAUACCCAACCUUCCUUGUACUCUGGCCCAUAUGCAUAACCCGCCAGAAAGCUUCUAGUUAGCUCCCACAUAGCGUUCAAAUACUCUGGAAUCAGAAAUCUGAUCCCAAAGUAGUUCCUGUUUGGCUCCUCAUCUACUUUCUUCGAUGACAAACAGAAGUGAAAGAUCAUCAGCCAUAAAAAUAACAGGAAAUCAACUUUUGUUAUUUCUGAAGUAAGUUUCUUCCACAGGUUUGAUCAUUUUAAAGAUAGGGUAUGGAGUGAAACAAAACCGCAAAGUUUUUAGCAAAACUUUGGGAACGUAAUAUGUUCUUUUAACUGUUCGGUAUGCAUUCUUAGCAGACAAUGAUACUCUUCUGAUUAGUUUCACAUCUUAUCAUCCAGACCUUGCAUGUUUAAGACAAAAAUGGCAGCGGCAAAGUGAAUGGAAAAAAACCCAUGUGAAAAGAGUCUGUAGCUCAGUGCUGGAGAUAUUACCUCGUAAGAUACAACUUUAUAACCAGUGCUACCAAACCAUAGGUAGACUAUACACCAAUCUAGGAUGUGAACACAAGAAAAAUAGAAUAAGAAUCUUACUUGUUCGAUGUAGAGGCUGUUGUAAUACAGGCACGCUCCAAAAUGCUUGUACAGGAAGGUUUUGUUAUCAUAUGGCAAUCUUGGAACAAGGUCAUUACAGUAGACCACCCUGAAGUAUUUGGGGACUGGAUGAUCCAGAUGUGCUUCCAUGAACCUUCCCAAUUGCCUGUUCCCCACCCUGGGCUGUCCAUAUGUGUACACAGACAGCAACCUUUGCAAGACCUCCUCUUCCUUAUGCAGCACUAGAACAACUGGGAAUAGUAUAGCCAGGGCCCCUCCUAGGCUAUGCCCAGUGACAACAAAUUUUGCAUUUUUAUGCUCUUGAAGUAAGUCCUUAAGCUUGCUUCUCACAGCAUAGUAAGCAGUCUUCUCUCCCAUUUGAGGAAAGAAUUUCUCCUUGCUUACCUUUGCGGGCUGCUCAGAAUAAAAGGACUGUUCUGAUCCACCUUGCGAAUCAGAAUCACCAAAUGACGAAGAUAAUUCAGAAGCAGAGGUUCUCACAUCAAUACCGUUCAUGUUGGUAGAUUUUUUGUUCAUUAUUCCUAGAUUUUCUUGAAAUGUAGAUGCAUUAACUCUGUUUCCCAAACCUAAAGCCUCUAAGAACCCCAUGUGUACCUUUCCAAGUUUGGGGAUCUCAUACCAGGAAUAGUCAAAAUCAGUACUCCAAUCAUCAGCAUCAAAUGGCUCUGUUCCCCGGAAGCUGACUAAUAUCAAGUUUGCAUCUUUUGGUUUAUCACAUAGAAUGAAAACUUGAGUGGAGUUAUCCUUCUGGAAAUCUAUCAAUAGAGAUAAAAUUCCAUAUUAACAAAAUGUAAGAAACAAAAAUACAUGUUAGGGAUUUAAAAUUCCCCAGAGAAGAGUGAAGCACAACGGAGGACACAGGUUUACGCAUUGUAGUCUGAGGAUUCUCGAAAGACUCUUUCUUUUUCAAUUUUUGCCUAAUAUUUUUUCCUCCAAUGAGCACGGAGGGAAAUUGGUUAAUUAUCACUAAUACUGUUUGAUGUACAUGCCACAUGAGUAGCAAGUCGAGUCUCACCAUUCCAGCAGUUAUAGAAGUCCACGAAGUGCAUCUGCUCUUCCAAAACAAAAGAAAUUAAUCACCAUUUAAAGAAUGUCUAACUAUCUGUGAACUGAAAAGGAGGACAUGGCAUACAAGUAAAGGGGCUUACCUUCCAAUGAAGAUUUACAACAUUCCUGACAACCAACUCAUUCUCGUAGGCUAACUUGGAAGCCAUAAUGCAUAGAUCCAUAAGAGUCCUGCUUCCUGUCUCUACUUCAACAACUCUUUCCAGGGAUUCAGGUUCACCAACUGCUCUAGUAAUUGUCUCGCUCUUGUGCAGAUAUAUGCGUCCAUCAAGAUGCCCAAUUGCACUAAUGAAAGUCUCAGAGCCUCUAUUUGGCAGCACUAUCUUUCCUAUUUUGUCAUCGGCAUUGAUUAGUGAAGAACACAGCUGAACAGAUAAUAGCAGCACUUCUUGCAAUAGCAACAUAGGUAGUUCAAAAUUUAGUAACGGUUCCCUUUGACUGAAACGAAAGACCAAGACAAGCAUACAUAUCAGAACCGAACACCAAAUUCACACAGCCACCUGCUCGAAGGGAAAUUGCAAAAAAAAAAAAGAAUAUAGAAUAAACUACGAACUCUUUUCAAAUCCCCUAAACAAUUCUUAAAUCUUUAGAAGCAGAAUCGCAAACUGAAAAGGGCAUUAUCAUUUAUUGAAUUGAAUACAUAUAGGGCCAAUAACAUUGUUUUGUAAGAGUGCAAAAAGCAUAUUGUCUGACAACAUGCCGAGAUUCAGACAGUAACGCGUACAUGCAAGAGAUGACAGUCAGUGCUUGUGUAUGCAUUCAUGUUAUUUCAAGAUAAGGCUACAUUAGAAAUUUUCUGAUUGAAUCCUGUUUGAUCAUUUAGUCCAAUAGGAUUUAUUUCAAAAUGAGUGUAGAUGAGUGCAACUCCAAUCAUGUAGGUCCGUCAAAUUGCAAAGGAUAAACGCAAUCUUUGGGAAGAAAUUAAGGACUUCACCGUGCAGGAUGUUGUAUAGCAAACCGAGAAAGCUGCCAUUGACAGUGAAAAAGUUGAGGAAGAACUCCACGAGAUAACCAGUCCAUUCCAUGGGUUUCCUGAAAAUGCCUAUGAUUUUUCUGACUAAGAUAGACACAAAUAUAACCCAUCUGUGAUCAGGGGUUUCUCCGUCGUCAUCAUCGCCAUGCGCAGCGCCACCUAACUCUUCCUCAAGAACCCCUUCAUCAGAACUUUCCAGAAAUUUUGCACCGCUCGCUUUAUCUUUCUUCAUGAAGAACCGUGCUAGGUCUGGGAAUCCACCGUUGUGAGGAUUAACAAUCAAGUACCUGAAAUUUCCAGAAUUGGGCUUGUUGCUGUCAUCUUCGCUAUUAGCCAUUGGAGGCUUCGACGAGGUACAGCUAAAGAGAAGCUUCGGCUGCUAAGUUAGGAGCAGUAACAAGAGGGAUACUCCAAGUCCAGGAAGCGAAAGCCGAGUAAACUGGGGAAUAGACAGAUGAAUUAAAUGCCGAUCGAUAUGUGUGCCUGUCGGUCCCAGAUAAGGCAGGGGCGGUCGCGUGUACUAGGUAGGUAUAGCUGAUAAAAGAGUGCAAAUAAAUAGUACGCGGUGCGGCGGUUAAGUUAAGGUCGGAACCUUGGAGGUAACAGGUCAACGAACGUUAGGAUGAUCAGAAAACGAACGUUGUGGCUGCCCGAUGACAACAAAGAUGAUAUCAUGAUGCUGCUUUUGUUCAAUCUUCAAAACGACAUCCUCCCGGUCCGUCCUAGGCAGGCUAAUCUCAUCCCAUCCAUAUCCGGGUAGGAAUUUCUUGGGAUUCUGGGCAACAAUGAAUAAAAGAUGGCGGGCUACCCAUAACGAGUAAAGCAAAUGUACCUUGCCUUGCUGAUGACCCAUACAUAAUGGCAGCAGCCAAUGUACACAAGCGUUCAAUCUGCAUUUGCGUCAGCAAGUGCAGUUAGUGCCAUGCCAUGCCAUGCUCGUUUGUAAUCAAUUAUUACUAGUGAGUUACUCAACAGUUAUCACCGCCAAGUUUGCUUUUACUAAUACCUUAAGGAGAUCCUUUUUUGAAAAAAAAAAUAAAAAUUUCUUCUUAAGGAGAUCUAUUCAUUUCAGGAGAAUACAAAAUUUUUGGGUUAGAGGAAUGUGGAGGCCAAUUGUGGAUUUGUCCACCUCGACAACCCCUCACCUCGGCAACCGUCUUGGGGAGCAGGACGCCUGGACUCCCUGGUGGUCAAGAGGGUGUUGGGAUGGUACCGGGAGGGGCCUCCCCAGGAUUCGAACCCUUGACCUUAAAGGUCUUUGGAUUGAAUGCCUGGUACCCAUUGGACUACUGUACCAUCCCAACACAGCCCAAUGGGUACCAGGCAUUCAAUCCAAAGACCUUUAAGGUCAAGGGUUCGAAUCCUGGGAAGGUCCUCCCGGUACCAUCCCAACACCCUCUUGACCACCAGGGAGUCCAGGCGUCCUGCUCCCCAAGACGGUUGCCGAGAUGAGGGAUUGGCGAGGUGGACAAAUCCACAAUUGGCCUCCACAAGGAACAUGUUAUAAUGUCCAAUCUAUGUUCACUUAAUAAUCAUAGGAUAUGAAUGCUGUUUGCUGGAUUCACUUAUGCUAAGUACUUUCGGUUGAAUGAGGGUGCUCACAGAUGUUGUAAAGAUUAACACGUACUAGCAUCUAGAAUAAAAAACUUUCUUCUGAUUUCUAGACGGUAUGACGAAUGUUUGUUUGUAGACGAUAAUCCAUGACUGUUCUGCUCUCCAUUGCUUUUUUGGGUUAUGGAUGGAUGGAUCCAAACAACAAACGGAAUUGAAAUCCAUAACCAAAUAACGAACGGAAACUGAAGCGAAGUGACGAUUAUGGCCCAUUCCAUAUCAAAUUUGAAGACAAACAUAAAUAACCUCCUUCUUCUUUUUGUAGUUCAUUCCGCAUAAUAGGAACCCGAACAUGGGAGUCAUGACGUGACGAAAUCGAAGAAGAAAAGGGGGAAUUUAUAACCCAAACAAGCAACAAUAAUAAAAGUCUAUUGAUUGAUUGAUUUGCCUUGAAAAAAAAAACUCUAUUGAUUUAGUAUUUAAUUGAUCGUCCAUUAAUGUGAUUUUGAAAGUGAAGGAAAACGGAAGGUCAUGACGUGUCCCCGUGUAAUGUACACAAAAUGCCAUAGUCCCCCCCACCCACCAAUGCCAUAACCUCCUUGGUCCUCAGGCUCAGCAAGCACCAAUCACCACCACCGCCCAACCACCCAAAGACACACACACACUACUAACUGGUCUCUCUCUCUCUCUCUCUCUCUGCGUUUUGGUCCUUUGCAUCACCAUCACAAAAAUUGUUCACUUUUUCUACAACCAGCCGCAGCAGGGAGGACUAGGAGGAUGGGAUAAAUCUAAACUCGGGACCUGUAUUUGUAAUUAUCAGUUAAAUAUGAAUCAUACUUCUUUCUUUUUUUUUUUUUAAUCAUGUGUUACUUUACAGCUCCCGUUAUCCGGUUGAGCCGUGGAAAAUUCCUUUUGCUUCUCCUAUAUGCUGCUAGUAGUCCGUACUACAGAGUCGGGAAACUGCUUUCAUUUCCAUUUGUUUGGAUACGUCAAUCAAUGAGCUUUUCUGCUACUCAUAGUUACUUAAAAAUUUUAUAUUGCUACUAUUAACUACGCACAUUUAAUACUGAGAUAAGGGACAUACUCCCUCCCUUUUUUUAUAACUGACGUUUAAGGUUUUGCACACCAAUUAAGAAAAGUUUUUCAUUGUUUAAAUCUAUACACUACUUUCCUUUUGUACCCUCAUUAAUUGUCCAAUUCACCCAUGUUUUCUCUUACUAGAGUACUAAAUGGUGCUGUUUUACUAGACCAAAAGCAAUGCAAACUAACUCCCACCAAACUAGGAGUAGUAAUUAAGAACCCUGUAUUGGAAAAGAGAGAUAAAAGGGUAAAAUUGUGAAAAAAUAAUUAAUGCUGCAUGGGGAUAAUACAACGACAGGUAAAAGUACUUAAAAGCAAAAUUCUUAAACGUCAGUUAUAAAAAAAGGGAGGGAGUAACUUAUAAGCCGCAUCCCCUCCCUCUCCUCUGUCUCUUCUCUGUGUGUGUGUGUGGUAGUAUACACUACAGCAGCACGAGUAUAAUUUAAUGUUGAAGGUUAGAUUAGAUGGUAAUCAUCAGCUGCUGAGGAGUUUUGGGCUUUGGGCCUAUCCUCUUCAUUGUCUCAAACAAAAUAACGCAAUGAAUGGAGUGCGUGUAUUAUAUAUAAUGUAUGUACAUAUAAAUAGGUAUUAGUACAAAAACUGACGAGGUCUUUUGUUCGAGAUGGAAGAAACCAUUAUUAUUACUUAAAGAAAGCGAAAUUAGUACAUACCUAAUUUUGUUCAUAUUCUUCAAGCCAAAUUUAUAGAGUAGCAUAUAUAUAUAUAUAUAUUUAUAUAUAUAUAGCUGUUAGUGGCGUCAGCGUUUUGGACCUUUGGUUUGUUUCCUAGCUUAGCACCUUGGAAACAAAAGCAAUAGUACAGUUUUUGUCGCAUUAUUCAGGUAAAAGUUUGGUCGCAUGGAAUCCUUUCGACCCAAAGUCAAAUACAAAUACUCCCUAUCAAUGUCGCUUAAUUGUUUGCUUAAUUUGAAAAUGAAGAAAUGUCUUGAUACCAUUUUUUUUUACCACACAAACCGAAAAAAAAAAAAAAGGUGGUUGUCUUGUCAUCAACUCGUGAUGAUUGAGUUAGAGAACCUGAUCCCUCUCUCUCUCUCUCCCUUUUUUUUUGGGGUGUUCGGUUUCCCAAUAUUACGUCAAAUCUCUUCUAGGACCCAAGUGUGCUUGAAAAAGACAGUUAAAUACGAAGCACUAUAAAAAUAGCAAAUGCUUUCAUUUAAGAAGAAAUAUAAUAUUAUGAUUGAUUGAUGGUAUAUGAGUAGUAAUUAGAGAAGAGUAAACACACCAGCGCUGUAUAAAAGUGGUCCAACAACUCUAAAUCAGCCCUCGCCCCAAACACACACACAUAUAUAUAUAUAUAUAAAGAGAGUAAAGGAAAAGACUAAAACUAAAGCGAAUAACAAGCAAAAUACGUUGGUAAAAGAAAGGAGGAAUGCUGUACGAGUGCUGGAUGCCGGAAACUUGUCGUCCAUCGGAAGUUGGGACUCGAGAGCAACAAUUGAUGAAUUGAGUUUAACCAGUUGGAUUCCAGUUGCAUGCCUCCCCUUUAUCAACGUCUCCUUUUUAUUCUACCCUUCAUCAUCAUUACAACAAUUCACUAGCAUUACUACUCUCUUUUCUUCAAUCUUGUCAACGUUAAUGAUAACUGAUCUCACAUGACCAACCACCAAGACUGAUGGAGUGUUUGGAUCUCAAAUAAUAUUUCGCUUGUAUCGUAAACACAUUUUCUAACCCAUCUUUUUAUAUUCUCAAUCAACUUUUUAUAUCUCAUACAUCACAUCACAAAAAGUGCUACAGUAAUUAUUUCAAAUAAUAUCCUAUCCAAACAAACCAGCCCCGUUCAAAUUUUGUCUAAUCAUGUAAAUUAGUACAUAGAUUGAUAUAAUUUUGAUAUCAUCGUGAGUAGGGGUGGCAAUUCGGGUCCAAUCAGGUUGGCGGGUCGGGUCAAGCCAAAAAAUCUGUUGACCCGAACCCGAAAAAUUUGGGUUGGCGGGUCGAUCCGAAAUGACCCGAAAAUUAAUUUUAAUUUAUUAAUUUAUCACUGUAAAUUCUAAUAAAAUCAAUUUCUCACAAAAUUAAUUACACCAUCAAAUAAUAAAAAUUUAAAUUAAUAAUUUCAAAUCAAAUCCAAAAUAAAUUAAACACUGUAAAAGUGUUUUAUUCCAAACCAAAUAUAAAAUAAAUUAAAACGAAUUAUAUUAUUUGUCCAAAUAUAAUAAUUUUAACUUCAUACAAGGUAAAUAAAUUCAUUUAGGAUUAAGUAAUUAAUACCUUUGAGAAAAAAGAAUGAUUUAGUUUAGUUAGAUAAAAUAAUUUAAAUAAUUUAAAUGUUUAUUAAAUUAUUUUUAAUUUGUAAACGGGUCAUAUCGGGUCAUAUCAGGUCACCACGGGUUGACCCGAAAUUGACCUGUUUUCUUUUCGGGUUCAUCGGGUUCGACCCGAUUCUGACCCGAACCCCCAAAACUUCAACCCAAACCCAUUAAUUUCGUGUUAGGUUCGUAUCGUGUUUUCAAGUCGUGUCAGAAAUUGCCACCCCUAAUCAUGAGCUUUGCAUACAAAUUUAUAUACUUUUUUAUCGAACAUGAUUGAACAAAAUUGAAACUGAGGAGGUCUCGUUUUCCGACUGAUUGAUAUAAUUAGUACAAGUUAAUACCAUAACUUUGAUAUCAUCGCGAGUUUUACAUUAAUUCAAAACAAAUUUGCGUUUUCAUAUCAAAAUUAUAUACUUUUAUAUUGAUGAAUGUUAAAACCUAUUACAUAACCGAACAGACUGAGGAGGUCCAUUUCCGAUUGAGAGACAUAGAGAGUCAGGUUUGGUAAAUCGGACCACCACUUUAUGGGAGCCAUUCUCGCUUUGGUUUGUGAACGCUACGGCUGGUUGGUGGUUUGGUGACUUUGGUCCCUUCAGCCUUAAGUCCAAGCUACAAGCUGGUAGUAGCUAUCAAAGCCAUUGCCUUACGCCGGAGAAAUCUCCACACAUCUAUUAAGUUCAAUCGAAGACUUUUUUUAAUUAUUACUUACUAUGUUAAAAAACUCUCAUCAUGAUCUAAAAGCCAUAGACAGAAAAAGAAGGAAAGAGAUAAAGGCACCUAAUUUCGUCCACAAGGAAAUUUAUUGUGCUGGUUAGCUCUUAAUAGUUGAUACUCGAAUAAGAACUGGUCACAUCCCCAUUAUUAAGUACACUUGACAGCAGCUUUACUCCUUUCCUUUGGUAGAUCACAGUGAAAACGUGGACUGUUUAGAAGAGAAGACAAUUGAUUUGAUGAAAUUACCAAAACCGAGGGAUAGAAAGAAGAGCAGUCAUCAUGGGCCUGCCUGAGGUCUGCUUUAAUUUUUCACCAGGCAGAAAGUCAGAAGAAGAGCGUCUUAGAUCGUGUCACAGUAACAACGGAGGUUGGUGCAAGUGAAAUGGGCUUGCAUCCCUUAAUUAUGAGAUUUUCGGAUUCAAAAUUCAUGAAAAUAAAAAAAAGAGAGCUUCCCUUCACAGAGGAUUCGAUAUCGCUUGAACAGAAUUAAUCAUAAACAGUAAAAUGGAUAGGGACACCUUGGGUUACAUCUAAAAAAAAAAAGAAAAGAAAGAUCGUGUAACAGUAAGAAAAUAAAAUGAUGGUAUCCAAGAAAGCAAUCAUGCCGGUGAAAGCUACAUCUCCAAGAUUUUCCCUUUGAUUCAGUCAAUAAAUUUCACCUGUGACAAUAUACUCUCUAUUAUUGUCAUUAUUCCGAUCUACACUCUACAGUUCUCAGUCCACGGGCCUCCUAAUAAUUGAAUCAUACCAUCAAAAGUAUGCUACUUUAAUCAAAUUUAAUCAAUCUGUCUCGUCUCCCUUCAAACCGCGUCUUUAUCUAUUUAUCCCUCCUCUUCUUACUACGACUACAGAUACAUUUUAGGAAAAGAUUUAUACCCAAUUUUUUAUUUUUUUGUAUUUAUGAAUUAAUGAAUCAUUACUAGCAGUACUCUUCUUCUACUCCUACUUCCCCUGCAUAUUUCCAUUUUCCUAGUAGUACACUACUAUUAUACUACUACGUAUUAUAGAAACAAUUCUUUACUCUGACAAAGGAAAGUUAACGAGAAAGAAUUCUGUGGCUUUGGAUCCUUGUGGCAGAUCGUGGCUGCCAGCUUUACUUGGAAUGGGAACAGAAAAAGUAUAAACGCUACCCUGUUUUAAGCUAAAUAUAUAAAUUAUUCAUCCUGGGAUACCAGCACCUGUAUUGCUAAAAUUUCUUGCAGGAUUACACAUAAAAUAAAUUAUUCUGAAAAAGAGGUCCCAUAAAGCCUUUUCGGUCCUAAGCUGGAGGUGGCUCUUGGGUUCUGGUGAGGAUUGAGAGAAAAGGGAAAAAGAGAUGAGGGAGGUGGAGCUAGCUGCGGCGGUCGCGCUACUGGGCUGCAUUCUGCUGUUGGGGCCAAGCUUCACCAAUGCCGACACAGAUCCAAAUGAUGGUCACUAUUCUUUUCUUGCUUUCCCCCUGUCUUUGCAUGUCUGUAUAUUUCUAAAAAUCUUAUCUUUUUUCAUUUUCUGUGGUUUCAAGUGAAUAUCUGCAUUUCUUUGUAUCUUUGCUUGGUUUUAUGGGUUUAUGCUUCUUCGUGUAGUUAAAAGUAGGAAUUGCUCAUGGGUUUUUUCAGUUUCUCAAGAUGGAAAUGGGAUUUGGAGAUGCAAGGAUGAGUAUAAAUGAAUUUUUUAAAUCUUUUUUUUUAUUAUAAACAUUUUCAACCAUUUACAAAUAUCUUUGUUGAACAUCUUUCAUUCUUCUUUAUCUUGGAAUUUCUUUUCGGCUCUGUCCUGAUUUUUUUUUUGUUUCUCAGUUCACUCCCGUGGUGGAAGCUGACUUUUUUACACAAUUUAAGGAUACUUUGCAUAUUUUAUGAAUAUUUACCUGAAUAAGUCAAUGUGAGGGUGCAUUACCUGUGAUGGACUUGAUGAUCUAUCUGAUGGGUGGGUGAUCAGUGGAACAUUACCAAAUCAAAGCGAAUUCAUUAUUGGGUGAUACAUUUUGUGUCUUGUAUAUUUCUCUUCCAAUGCAUCGAGUAAUCAAAGCUAUUACAGGUUGGUUCCAGUUCUCAUGUUUGAAAACUUAGUUGAAGAAAUCUUUGUUUGCGCUUCGUCAAUUUUUUGCCUUGUGGGGUUGUGAGGGAUCUUUAGAUAGGCAAGUAUUAGGCACUUAGAGAUGCGGGGUUAGAAUCAAGUAGUCUGCUGCAUAAUAAAGCAAAUAUGUAAUUUUGCUGCAGUGACACUUGGAAACCAAUCCUUGAGGAAAUGCAUGUUCAGCCAGUUCAGUUAAGAAGGCAUGUGGAAUUCCACUUGUUUGGUUGUGUUGUAAAGUGUGUUCAAGUGUAGUGUUUGUUGUCAUAGUUAUGGAAAUACAUUCUUGGUGUACAUGCUACUAAUGAUUUUUUUUAUUAUCGAUACUCCGAAGCCAAUAGUAAAAUUUAUUCUCAAAAUUUUGGACAUACAGCUGGUGUUCUUUACGACCUAUACAAGAGUUUGAAUUCUCCAUCCCAACUGACCAAAUGGAACCCAAAUGGUGGUGAUCCUUGUAUAGAAAACUGGAAAGGCAUUACUUGCUCUGGCUCAAGAGUCACAGAAAUGUAAUUUUUAACUCUGAAACUUGCUUUCUCAUGAUCAUUGUCUCAUACUUGUCACUCAUAACUCUAACUUUAGGAUCCUAUUUACAUUUUCAGAAAAUUAUCAGGUCUUGGGUUAACUGGGUCAAUGGGUUUCGAGCUGGACAAGUUGAAAUCUGUAACCAACUUGUGAGUCCAAUGAUCUUUUACAUUAUCUUCAUUUAUCUUAUUUUUACUUUUUGUGGCUUUUUGAUCAAUGUGGUGUUUCGAUUUGUUUCUGCAGUGAUAUAAGCAAUAAUAACCUUGGCAACCAGUUACCUUUCCAACUUCCGCAAAAUGUGCAGCAACUGUAUGUUAAACAUCUGUUUUUGGCCAUUUCUAUUUGUCCCAGUCUUUUCUUUUCUGUCUUUUUCUCGUGAUUCAUCUUUAACUGUACAGAAAUCUAGCUGGUAAUGGAUUCAAUGGUGGCCUUCCCUACUCCGUCUCGCAGAUGACCUCUCUUAAGUACCUGUAGGUUAAACAAAUGCUUGUGAAUAGUUUUCCUGAUCAACUAAGAGUUUGACCUCAAAGUUUUCAUGAAUCUUUUCUUCUUCUUAUAUUUGUAGAAAUGUCAGUCACAACCAAUUUCAGGGCCAGCUAGGUGAUAUGUUUGCAUCUCUUACUAGCCUCUCCACUCUGUAAGACAUGCCUCCUUACCCCCUUCAAGUUCUAAAAAAUCUUGUACAUGUGACUUGGUUGAGAUUGAUUCGGACUUCUAACCUAAUUUUCCUGCUGCUUCACUUUUAUCCUGAAAUGAUAUGUUUCUCAUAGAAGCGUAAGCAAUUUACCUCAAUUCCAGUAAUUUUUUUCAACUCUUCUCAAUAGCCUUACUCUAAUCAUUUGAAUAUCCUGUUUACAUCUUAAAUUGAUAAUUGAAAUGAAAUACAUUAGUGUUCUCGCUGGGUUCUAAUUAUCUGUUACAUUCUUCAGGGACUUCUCUUUUAAUGUAAUGUCAGGUGACCUUCCUAAAAGUUUCAGUUCAUGCACCAGUAUGACUGAUAUGUAAGUGCAUUAUCUUGACCUCUUGCAAUAGCAACGAAGGAAGUCUUAAAAUACUAAUGAUUACUUAUUGUCAUGCAGGAAUUUGCAGAACAAUCAGUUUACGGGCACUAUUGAUGUCCUUGCAAAUCUUCCUCUUGAUAAUUUGUAAGUUAGUACUUUUGAUAGCUCAGUAAUAGAAUAAUCUUGUUGGUUUUUAAGGGGAAGUCAUUGCGCUGGUUCACAUUUUAUGCUGUCAGGAAUGUCGAGAACAACCAUUUCAGUGGUUGGAUCCCUGAUCAGUUGAAAGACAUAAAUCUGCAGUAAGCACCUCAUAGUAUUAAUCAUUAUUUGCACUUUAAAUCAUCUAGAUACGACGUUUUGUAGAUCUAUAUUAAGAUCUUCUAUUCUCUAACAGAACUGGCGGUAAUUCAUGGACCUCGGGUCCUGCACCUCCUCCUCCACCUGGCACACCUCCUGCUAGCAGACCUAACAAAAAUCACAAGUCUGGAGGCAAUAGCAAGUCUGAUGGUGGUAGUAGUGGGAGUAACUCUGGCAUAAGUGGUGGAGCUGUUGCAGGAAUUGUUAUUUCCAUUUUAGUUGUGGGAGCCAUUGUAGCUUUCUUUAUUGUGAAACGAAGAUCAAGGAGGCCAUCCAAAGAUAUAGAGAAGCUUGACAAUCAACCUUUUGAUCCACUUGUUUCGCAUGAAGUACAAGGUGCUUAACCUUCAUGCUUUGCCUUGAUAUACUAAUGGUUACUAGCCAUAUCCAGUAGGGUGGGAUUUACUUCCUGAGGUUUUGAAUUUUAUCAUAUGAUGCAUGCACUACUCGGCAUGAAAGUAUUAUUCUAUUUGACCAUUGUUAGAUAGUUGCCUGUCUCAUGUUUUAAUCUAAUAUUGAAUAUUUACCUAGAAGAAAAUACUGUUAGAAGAAUGUUGGUUUUGUUCUUCGUUUGCAAUGGCCUGCACAAUUACUUGGUUUUUUGUGAUAAUUCUUCUGCAGAGAUGAAGUCUAUUCAACCUUCUUCCACAACUAGCACCAUAUCAUUUGAAACUCCUACAUCAAUAAAUCUCAAACCUCCACCUGUUGACCGCAACAAAUCAUUCGAUGAGGAUGAUACCUCAAUGAAACCCAUUAUCCCUCCUAAAAAAGCCGUUACAACUCCAAUAGAGGCAAAACAAUAUUCAGUGGCUGACCUACAGAUGGCUACAGAUAGUUUCAGUGUCGAAAACCUAAUUGGUGAGGGAUCCAUUGGACGUGUCUAUCGAGCUGAAUUUGAUGAUGGCAAGGUAUUCAAGUUUUAUGGCUGAUUAUUUAUUUCCUUUUCAUUUCAGGGUUUAGGAACCUAGUUUUUAAGAGCCAUUUUGAGAAUAGUAUGUAAUAUGAAUUCACAAUUAUGCAGAUUUUGGCUCAAUUUUUUCCUGUUUCCCAUGGACAUUACAAAUGUUUAUCUAUGAAUUCAUGAGAUGUUUAAAAUUUUCAUGACAUGUUCAAUUUUGUCAAUCCUAUGAUUUGAUGCUCGUGAAGAGUCCCUUGUUGAUAUAAUGACUUCUGGUCUUUUCAAAUCUUUGUUUAACCUGAAGGUUCUAGCUGUGAAAAAGAUAAAAUCGUCUGUACUUCCCCAUGCUGAAGAUUUCCUGGAAAUAGUUGCUGAGAUAUCACGCCUCCACCAUCCAAAUGUGACUGAGUUGGUGGGAUACUGUUCAGAGCAUGGACAGCACCUGCUAGUUUAUGAGUUCCAUAAAAACGGUUCGCUGAAUGAGCUCUUGCAUCUAUCUGAUGAAUAUAGCAAACCGCUAACAUGGAAUAGCCGGGUCAAGAUUGCACUGGGGACUGCGCGUGCACUAGAGUUAAGUCUGGUAUUUAAUUUGAUUGAUAUUUCUUUUGAACAACCUGGUAGAUGAUAUCAUUUGGGGAUAUGGCAGUUUUUUACUUUGUUUCCUGAAUUUCUGGAUUAUUACUGCCUGCACUGGAGGCUGAAUGCUUUCACACUUUUAUUUUCAAUAUGGUACUUCAGUCCUUGUUGUCUAGUCAAAAGAAAAUGACUGUCUUUUAAAUUCAAUCAAGAAAACUUUAGGGUCUCCAAGUUUUGCUGAAGAAUUCUUGAUUUCAUGGCAGUUUUUUUCUUUGUUUUCUGAAUUGCUGGACUAUUACUGUCUGCAGUAGAGGCUGAAUGCUUUCACACUUUAUUUUCAAUACGGUACUUCAGUCCUUGUUGUCAAGUCAAAAGAAAAUUACUGUCUGUUUAAAUUCAAUCGAGAAAACUUUAGGGUCUCCAAGUUCUGCUGAAAUUCUUGAUUUCUUGAAUGUAACAGCAUACUUCAUCAUUUGAGGUCCAUGGCCUAUUGUAUCGUGGUAAAAGAGGAAUAGUUGGUCACUAUGUUUGAUGGAUUUUGAUUAAUGAAUGGAAAAUGGAAGUCCAACUAAAGUUUCUUGCUAGGACGCAAUUUGCAAUCAAUUUGAAUAUUUUUUGUGGAGAGUUUGCUUAUGCAAAUGUUUUUUGCAGGUAUCUGCAUGAAGUUUGUUCACCUUCAGUUAUUCAUAAAAAUUUUAAAUCGGCUAAUAUUUUACUUGACAUGGAACUUAAUCCUCACCUUUCUGACUGCGGAUUGGCAAGCCUUGUCCAUGACAUCGAUCAGGUAAGCUUAACCUUCACAAGCUCUUAUGUUUACUUCGCAAGAAUAGUGUGUUACUUGUUUUGCUGGUCCUACCGGCCAUGCGCAGCAUAUUUUUAAUGAGGAACUCGAAAAGAAAUAUGUUAAUCCACUGUGAUACUGAUUUCCAUUUGUUUGGAGCUGUAUAGGAGAAACUCAACGUGUGGAUAGUGGCGGUCCUUUUCCUGUUUUUCUCAACCCAAGUAAAUCAAGAGAUAAGCAUCACAGGGUCAUCAGAAGUAGAGAGAUAUUAGGUUGACAUACACAGCCAGCUAGAAACUAUUAGCCUAAGAGGAUAGCACUGGACUCCAAGCAUUCUUCAUUGUAAUUGAGUUUAGAUAUAUAUUGCAUUGUGGAACCAGUCGGAUGACUUGAGCUGUGUUUGUUUUUCUUUUGUUUCUUAUUUGGUCCUUUUGUAGGCAUUAAACCAAAAUGCAGGGUCUGGAUACGGUGCACCUGAGGUUUCCAUGUCUGGUCAAUAUACCAUCAAAAGUGAUGUAUACAGUUUCGGAGUGGUCAUGUUGGAACUACUUACUGGACGUCAACCUUUCGAUAGGUAAAGUUUCUGAAGCAUCCGUGGUAUUCUAAUAGUUCUUUGUACAAUGGUAAAGCUAUUUAGUAAAUCACCAUGACUACAUUUGUUCUGAACAGCUCCAGGGCAAGAUCCGAACAAUCGUUAGUUCGAUGGGCAACCCCUCAACUCCAUGACAUCGAUGCAUUGGCUAAGAUGGUUGAUCCAGCACUCAAAGGGCUAUAUCCAGUUAAAUCUCUUUCCCGGUUUGCUGAUGUUAUUGCUCUGUGUGUCCAGGUAGCAAAUCUUAAAUUAAUAUAUGAUGUCCCAUGUGCAUUUAAAGACUGGAGUACAUCAAAUAAUUCUGGAUUUAACCUGAUAUUCCUUGUUGCUGCAGCCGGAGCCUGAGUUUCGACCGCCAAUGUCAGAAGUGGUUCAAGCACUGGUGAGGUUAGUGCAACGUGCAAACAUGAGCAGGAGAACACUUGGGAAUGAUCAGGGGUCCUCUGUACGAUCAAAUAACUCAGAUGAUCAAGACUAGUAGACAAAUAUGAAGCAACUGUUGGAGAGUUUCUUCUUUUUUUUUUUUUUUGACUAAGAUACUUGUGAUUUCCUUCCCAAUUCUUUGCUUUUGGGAAAUCACCCGUGGCUGUGAUCAUCUACACCUUUAGUUUUAGGUUCUUCUUGGUUGCGAUCUAAGCUUUCUGUUGUCCAUACCAAAGGAUUCUUUUCGAGUCUUUUCCUGGCCUUUUCAAUGUAUUCAAAUAGGAAACAAUUGCCACGUGUCUGCCGCAAAUGGUUUGUCAUUGUAACAUUUCCCUCGUAUGUAUGUAUGUAAUGCAUUUCCCAACCUUGAAUUAAAUGGAUAAGACAAACUCAUUCCAUAAAUAUCUCUAAGUAUCUGCUUUAUUGUUUUUACCUAUGUGAAGAAAUGUUCACAAUUUUCUUCAAACUUCAUUGGAUUUCUUUGUUCAUCCCUGUUGCUUUUUUUUUUUUUUUUUUUGGCCCUUGAGAAUAAUCUUUAUCAGAUCUAAAAUGUAUUAAGCCCUCCUCCCAGCCACCGCAAGAGAGUGCUUGAUUGUCAUUUUGCCCUAUUUAAACUUUGCUUCGUGUAUAACUUGCUAUUUAUGGCUUGAAUCUGUAAAUAUAAAAGGGAUAAUUUCAGAAACCUACCCUGAGGUUUCUGACACUUUCACUGACAUCCCCUGAGGUUCUCAAAAUUUCACUUACCUCCCUUGCUUUUGAUUUUGUGGUAACAAUCCAGUUCAAAUCAGAUUAAAAUAUUAUUUUCAUGUGUGAGAAGGUAUUUUUAUUCCAUAGCUACCCUUUGCAGAAGUUGUAUUAGUAGAAGAUUCAAAGAAGAAUAAAUGAUUUGGACUAAUUAGUAAAGUUGAGGGGGGGUAAGUGCAAUACAAAAAAUUGCAUGCACCAGAUGUGCCAUGCAACAGUUAUUUGGCAGAUUUUGCAACGGCUAGCUGCAAAUUGCAACGGCCAGAAGGUUUGCUGUUUCAGUAGCAAUAGCAUAUAAAGCAAAGCAACUUAACUACCUCUGAGGUUUCAAGCUAUUAACAUUCUUUGCUACUAAUUUGGAGUGAUAACAAGUGCAUUUGCUGUGCUACAAUUAGAGCUCUGAGUAAAAAGUUUUAGCUGCAACCAUGGCCUCUUCAAGCCAUAGGGGAGAAUCAUGGAAUUCACCUACAUCUUUCUCCAUUAAAAACAGGUUUUGCCGCUGUAAUCGCAAAGCAACCGUAAUGAUAUCAGAGAGUGAAAGGAAUCCAGACAAGUUGUAUUUCUAUUGAGAAAUUUCCAACUUUGUGAUGAAUUUUAAAAAAAUUCUACAAAAAGGGUGAUUUUGGGUUUAAUUUCCGUCAGGGGGGUCUUCGCAUUUGUGAAUUUCACAAAUGCGAGCUUACAAGAGCUCGCAUUCGUGGAAUGCGAGCUCUGGUUAUUGAGCUCGCAUUCCACGAAUGCGAGCUCUUCUCAAUUUUUUUUUUUUCCCUUUUUUAAGAGCUAGGGAAUUAUUUCUAGGAAGCAAAUGCGAGCUCUUAUCUUUUUUAUUUUGGUAUUUUUUGAGAGGUAGGGAAUUAUUUGCAGAAAGCUUCUAAUUUUUGUUUUAAAAAAUGUUGCAAAUAUUUAAAAUUUUGCAAAUAGCUCGCAUUUGUUAAAUUUGACCUGCAAAAAUUGUAUUUAACUUUUUUGUUAGAUUUCGCAUUUAUAAGUAUGACUUGUAGAAAAUUAGAUUCAAAUUUAGAUGUAUUAGGGUUUUAAAAAUAUUAUAUAAGUGAUAAAAAUUUUAUAAAUUGUAAAAAUAAAAUCAAAUUUAAAUAAUUAAAUGUUAUAUUUGCAUAAGAAAUAAUACAAUAAUCAUAAUAAUGAUAAUACAAUAAUAUUGGUGUAAUAGAACUGCCAUUAAUUUAAAUAUUUACUUAUAAUGCCCAAAGAGCCUAAUUACCAAUUUUUUCUUCUCGCGCUCAAAUAUAACAUUAACUCGCAUGCGAGCUAACCUUGAAAUAGAAAAAACACAGAAUCCCGCUUGCGGGUUUCAGGAGUAUUCGGAUAUUCUCAUAUGCACCUAUGCAAAUCGAACCAACCGGAUAUCUUAUCCGUAUCCCAUUUUUUUAAAUAAAAAUCUUAUAAAUUUGAAAAAUAAAAUCAAAUUUAGAUGUAUUAGGGUUUUAAAAAUAUUAUAUAAGUGAUAAAAAUUUUAUAAAUUGUAAAAAUAAAAUCAAACUGCUUGGAUAAUUAAAUGUUAUAUUUGCAUAAGAAAUAAUACAAUAAUCAUAAUAAUGAUAAUACAAUAAUAUUGGUGUAAUAAAACUGCCAUUAAUUUAAAUAUUUACUUAUAAUGCCCAAAGAGCCUAAUUACCAAUUUUUUCUUCUCGCGCUCAAAUAUAACAUUAACCCGCAUGCGAGCUAACCUUGAAAUAGAAAAAACACAGAAUCCCGCUUGCGGGUUUCAACGUUAUUCUGCGCUUCGUGUGUUUGCUUUUGUUUUGCUUUUGUCUUUUUUUUUUCGAAAUGGAGGGUUGGCGGUGGAGCUUAGUAACAAUUAAUUCUUCACUUUGUUGCCGCUACUCCAGUGCAUAUUAGGACCACUGGUUUGAUCACAAUUUCCUUUCCAUUUUUGUUCUUGUUAUUUCCUCUGUUUCUUUUCCUAUAUCCAGAAUGUCGUAUAAGACCACAUAUAAGUGAUCUUAUAUGUGAUCUUGUUAUUUCCUCUUGUCAAAUCACACCAGGCACAAAAAAUGGCGCCAAUAUUGCAGCUCAAUUGGCGCCUUACUCCCAAAAUGACUGGAUUAAUUCAUGUAUCAGGAAUCAAGUUUCUAUUAUUGUUGUUAAGCUUAAUUAAUCAUAUCAGAUGCCAUUAUGUAACUAAACGGUAGUAAUUAACCCCAACUACUUGGGAUAUAUCUGUAAUUUUGGCCCUGAUGACGUCAGAAAAGGGGCCCAAUUUUUUAUCAAGGGAGGUAAGUGAAAUUUUGAGAACCUCAGGGGAUGUCAGUGAAAGUGUCAGAAACCUCAGGGGAGGUUUCUGAAAUUAUCCCAAUAUAAAACCAUGCUGCGAAAGACCGACAGAAAUGACCUACAGUUAAGCCCUUAUUUUCAGUAAUUUCUCAAUGUUUUAAAUCCAAGCCCAAAUUGAACCGGUUGAACUGUCGAUGGCCUUUUUUCCAAUCAAGGUUCGAUUAAAAAAUCAAUUAGUAUCAAUUUAUAUUUAAAUAAGUUGAACCGUUGAUUCAAAACGGUUUUAUAAGAACUGGUCGGUUCAAUAUCCAACUUUAAUUAAUCUAACAAUUUUGAAUUUGAUCAACCAAUCUCAUUAAUAAGAUUUCAAAUUUAAUAUUUUACCAAUUACCUAUGCGUAAUUAUGUCCAAUUAAUUAGACAAUAACAAUGAUUGCCUUGUUCUACUCAUUUUUCUCUCUUCUCCAUAACUACAUAUUAACUCUUAUUUAACAUUUAUGACAUAUAAUUGACUAUUUUGUUUUUUUUUAAAAAAUCUUAAAUGCAUUUCAUUUGUUUGUUAAUGCCUUUUUAAGUGUUUCAAUUUUUAUCAUAUAAACUAGUACUCAUAUAAUUUAGGAAAAUUAAAAAUAUAUGAAAUAAUACUAUUUAAAAUCCUUUAACUUAUAAAAGCCAUUUUUGAGUCUCAGACAAAUAAUGCUACUUAGAAUAAUACAAUGAGAAUUGAAGUGAUUACAUUUAAGAAUAUGACUUGAGUUUCUGCGAACAUUUGUUUGUUUUUUGGAUGUUUAAUAUUUAUUAAUAAUAUUUAUAACAUCACAGAUUAAUGACGAUAGCCCAACAGCGAACCAACAACCCUUGAUCCAUUCAUUUUUCUGGGUCAAUGAUCGGUCUAGGUUUCAAAACCUAUAAUUUGGGUUUCACAAUUUCAAGCUAAAACUCACACAAGGAUCAUUCGUAAAUUACACACACACAAACCCCAGAUUUAAUUCACAAGCCGUGUUUAACUGACACCAACACCGGCAGGGUACAGCAAAUACGUUUUUAAUACUCGAAAUCCCUACGGGUAUAUCUUUCACAAUAGCUACAAAUUUAGCUCAAACCACCUCUGAUUCCUUUUCUCCCCACCAAUUUCAGGCCAGGAAAGCAACUCCGCCAGAGAAAACAAAAAAAAAGCAGUUUUAUAAGAAAUGACUCGAACCCCAUAACCCAUUCAAGCAAAAUAUAAGACCAACCAAAUCCAUCAUUACUGAAAAUGUAUCACAAAAAGACAACUGGUGACCAUGUAUAAAUGGAAGGAUUUCUUGGUGAUUUAGCUGUAACAAGAGAAGCAGUUUGAAGUACCAAUACAAAUAACCAUAAAACGGCAGAUCAAUUAAACUGCUUGUUCCAAGUUUUAACUGGUGCAACAACAAUAACUUUUCUGAAGGAGGGUGGGCAAUCAUUCAAUUAUAGACCAUAUACUUUGGUGUUGCACUGAAUUUCUGAUACCCCUUGAUCACUUUAUUCACGGCAUCUAGAAAAUCCUUCUCAGUA